UUAUUAUAAGAAUUUGUAAUGUCAACAACAAUUAUCAUAAGGGUAUAAUAGCCUUUCACCCCCCCAGGCGCAAAAAAAAAAAUUGCCCCAAAUAUAAAGAUCAUCUACAGUGUCAAUUAAUUAUGAAGGGCAUUAUUGCACAUUCACUCAACUACCUAACGGGUGCCUAACCUUCAUACAUGGCCGGGGGUAUGUUGUCAAUAUAUGGAUACAUUCUCUCUAAGUGUAGCAAAGCCAAACCUCAGGGGUGGUUUCUAAAAGUUUUCCUAAAUAGUUAAUAAUUUUAUACAACAGAUUCUUGGAUACCCCUCAAGUUCACUUAUUCUACGUUAUGGCUGACUUUCAAGAAAUUAAAUUCUACAUUAUGACCCCUAGGGAAACAACGUAGCCAAUAAAAUUAUAAAAUAUAUGUGUGUAAUAGUUGUCAAACCUGAACCUAUGUCGUUUAGCAAUUUACAAAAUGAGAAAGACGACAAAAGCCAAGUGUUAAGAGUGGCAGUGAGCCAACGAGACAAGCUCAAGUUCACUGUGUUUUUGUUGAACCUUCUGAAGACCCGAAACUCGAGGUUUGUUUUUCACGUUCCCUAAUCGUUUGACUACAUUUUAAUUCUGUGCUACGCUCGUUAAGAACUGUUCAGGCUUAUGAACUGUUCAGGCUAAGUGUUCGACGAAAUUCCUAAGUGAGUAUAUAUAAUGGUUUGCUCUUGUAUUUAUUCUGUUAUAGAAGGUUUUGCUUUGGGUGGUUAAAUAGAGGAGAUUAGACAUUGAACUUUAUGCACUUGUAUGUUUUCAAGUAAUUGUUUGCUGAGGCACAUGUACUUUGAAUGGCUUCAUUCAUCUACAGAGAUAUCAUAACAUUUUUGCUUAAUGUGAGUCUUAUUGUUGUUAAUUUGUCCAAAGUGAAGGCUUUUUUAACUUUUAUUUCUUUGAUUUAUUUAUUUAUUGGUGUGUCGAAGUUCUGUGUCUCAACUUUAUUUGAUAAGUUCUUUCAGACUACUAAUUAGAAGAAACAAAUGCUAGAGAGUGAGUAUGAGAGGGAAUGAUGUUUGGGCAAGGGGUGAUUUGUUCACUUGGCUCAUGAAGGACCCCAACUAUAAUGACAUGUAUCAAUUUCGCAGCCUAAUUGGAAGGUAAGCUCAUUUCUUGAUUUCCUUCAAUUUUCACUUUCAUUUUACUGUUUUCAAGUAGUAGGUAAUCUAAAUAAAAGUAAAAUCAGUAGUGAUUUGCUUCAAGUGCAUAUGGAUAGUAUAUCACAUGUGAGAAGAUUGUAUUUGUUAUAUGAAAAUCCUUAAUAACUGUAAUGAAAAAAUAUAUUCUCAAACCUGAUCGUGGAAUGUACUAUUUCUUAAUAUCUGAGUUUGGAUCCACACAUUUUUUGCCAUGCAAUUUGACAAGUUGUCAUGUCCUCAUAUUCUGCGCUAUCAUAAGUUUUGCCAAUCUGCAUAGGUGUUUAAUAGAUUGAGUUAAUCUAGUUUCGAGAGCAUGCCUUACUAAAGGGCAUCGAGUUUCUAAGUGAGGGCAAGCACAACUAUAAUUAUCUAUUUCAUAUCCUCCCUAUCAGCGGGGCAGGUCUGUUACCUCUAAAUUCUUUCAAUAACUUGGGGACGUUAAUCCUAUUAAUGACAGCCACAUAUUAUAAGUCAAGAAAACUGAUUUUUUGAUUAUUGAAAAAUCAAAUUUUUUGUAUUAUUCUAUUUAUGAUCUCAGUAACCUACAUGUUGCGAUUGUCUUGUAUGGAUCAUUGUUUCUCUUUUAAGCUGUUAUAGUGACAAUUUUUAGCUCUUAUUGCAGUUCUUAAAGUCAUUGCAAGCACAUGUUCUGUCGAUCUCCAUAAAUUCAGAUACAUAUGCAUAGUUAGCUAUUCAAACAACCACACUGGCAUUUAACUUCGAUAUUCAGAAAUAUGGCUGAAGUGAAGCUUCAUGGGGCAUGAGCGAGUGAAUUUUGUUACAGAGUGAUAUGGGCUCUGAAAUUGAAAGGCAUAGCAUAUGAUUACAUUGAAGAAGAUCUCUCUAACAAAAGUGCUUUGCUUUUGAAGCAUAAUCCAGUUCACAAGAAGGUCCCAGUGCUUGUUCAUGACAAAAAAUCAGUUUGCGAGUCCAUUGUUAUCCUUGAAUACAUUGAGGAGAUGUGGCCACAGAAUCCCUUAAUGCCAAAUGAUCCUUAUGAUAGGGCUCUGGCUCAUUUUUGGAUUAAAUUUGCCGAAGAUAGGGUUUUGCUUCAGAACUCUAGCUAAUGCCUUUAUAAGUUCAUUAUUUUCAUGUUUAUUAGUUAUUAGAGAAAAUGAUCAGUAUCCCCCAUUGUAUGUCAAAAUUAAUUAUUUGUUCUUUUAUGUUUUAAAACCUAUCAAAAUCUCCAUUGUCGUUCAAAAGAUUCUGUUAACCUUCAAUUUUUUUGUCUUUUACUAAUUUUACCUCUGGAAAAAUUUUUAUUAAUAGGAAGUUGAAAGUUUAAUAGAAUUUUUUUAACGGCAAGGGAAAUUUUGAUGGCUUUUGAAAUAUGAGAGAGAAAAGGAUUAAUUUACCAAAACAACAUUGUGGUUUUGUUGUUCAUUUACCCUUUGUCAUUCAAUGUAGUUGUUAACCUCUAGUAUAAGGGUGCUUGACAAAUGACAAGGAUAUGUAUUGGCUAAGUCUUUUAGUUCAUACAUAUUAUUAAUCAUGUGAUGAUAUUUUGGCGGGGAGCUACUGUUUGGAAAAUGUUUCGUAGCGUACAAGAUCAAGAGAAUACAAUGAAAGAAAUCUUGGAAAUGCUAAAAACCGUUGAAGAACAUGGCUUAGGAGAGAAGUAAUUUUUUCAUGGAGACAAGAUUGGCUUAGUGGACAUAGCAUUUGUUUCCAUUGUUUAUUGGUUGCAAAUCAUUGAAGAUGUAGCAGGAGUGAAACUAUUUGAAUUUCACAAAUUCACUCGCUUGCACGCAUGGUUUGAAAAAUUUAAACGAGUCCCAGAAAUUGAAGAGAACCUUCCUAAUUGGGGUGAACUAUUGGUUUUUUUCAAACGUCGCCGUGAAAAGUUGGUGGCCUCUUCCUCAUUGCAUUAGCACAAAAUUCGUGCAAUUGUAUUGUUGUCAAGAGGCCGCUCUUUGCUUAGUUUUUGAUUAUCUUGUGUGCUCAAUUGGGAGGCCCCGCUUUGCUGGGUACUUUCGUAUGGAUUUGAGUAAUAAUGGGGACUUGACUUUAUAUUUAUGAAUUAUUGCAUGUAUUUCGUUAAUUAUUAAUGGACUACUGACGGUUAUGUAUUGUUUGGGAAUUGUUUGGGAGGAAGUUUAAAAGCUGAUAUAUACUAAUGACUUGAAGAAAAGUCAACUUAUUUGAAGUAAUAUAACUCUAAAAAAUCAGAAGAAAAACUCUUUGUGGAAAAAGAUAGUUCUGGUAAACAUGCCCAGUAUUAAAGGGUAUUAUCGAAACUUAAAUGUGAAUGGUUAGAGCCAACAUGUGAACAGUACACCAUUAUGAAAAGAUUUUUUUUUUUCGCUAAGAAUAACAAGCCAAUAGGACUUUAGUGAUUUUUUUUAGAUCUAAUUUCUUGAGAGACUUCUUCAUCUUCUUCUUCCUUUAUGGUUGGGGUUUCUUUCUCCAUUUUAACACCACCAUAGGAAAUUUUAACCAUCUAUCUCCCAAAGAAGCCUUUUCCCUUACUCUUCUCCUGGAAAACUCUCUAAUCUCUAUAAAACUCAUAUCUCCCUCAUGUCAUUAUUCCUCAUAACCAACCUUUAAUAAAGUUUUGUCCAUAUUAUAAUGCAAAUUAUGUAAUACUUCAUUUAUAUAGUGGAUUGGAGAUGAGUUACUCUUAUGGAUGUAGAUCAAAGGGCCGAACAAUGUAAAAUCUUAUGUGUUCUCUAUUGUUUAUGCUUAUUUUCUAUUUAUUAGGAUGAUGAUAAUACUCAAAUCGUAUUCCAUACAUGAGCUCAUAUAGAGGCAUAGCACGAGCUCUAUUGAGCUCCCCAGAUAAGCUCUAUAGUUAAAGCUAUCCUCGAAUUCGCUAGAGCUACUUCCUAAACUCUCUUGAGCUCCCCAAAUCAAUUCUUUAAACUAAAUCCCAUGAGCUCCAUAGAGAUUACCUCCCAAAACACUUCAAUUUACCUCUCAAAUUACCUCAGUUCACCUUCCAGAUCACCUUAGUUAUUUCUUUUGUCCUUAACAGUAGAAAAACACACCUAGAUUUUUACUAGCUCAAUCUCCCCUCAAAUAUAAAUUUAUUUAUUUAAAUUAUAUUUAACCUUGUUCUGGUGAGGACAACCACUAAAUGAUUCAAAUCAGAUCCUAGAGAAAAUCCGAUGAAAACAUGUAUCUAUGUAUAAUAUUUAACAUCACCCUAACAAUCAAUACGAAUGCACUUGGAUUUAUUCUUAAUAGUACACAAAGUGGAAAAAGCAUGACAAGCAACACUUGCACACUCGAGGCUCAAUAUAAGCACAAACGUCAUAAUUCCAAGCAACAAACAAUGACCAUCAUUACUAAUUUUUUCUGAAAGCCACCAAAUUGGAAAAGUACUGCCAAGCAAUUAAUUAACGACUGCGACUUGCCAGCCUAAGCUUAUCCAAUGCUGAGAGUUCAUUAUUCUUCAAGGUUUGGUUAAUGUAAAUAUCUUUUAGAGUAAUUUCAGGGUAGAGCGGAGGAUUUUCUUCUGAUAGCAACUGUUUAAUUGGACCAUAUCGUCUCGAGCAACUAUUAUUCAUGAAAAACUUCCGAUUGAAAUUCUGGAGCCUUCCUUAUUUGAUAACACUCUAUAAUAGGCACUCUUGAACUUAUCAUUGGUAAUCAGCUGCAUAAACACAAACACGUUGGUAAUCAGCUGCAAAAACUCACACUUCAUAUAAACCAUAAUUAAGUUAUCUGAUAGAGAUUCAUGCUUGGGUGUUGACGUUCACAUGAAAUUUUGUAAGGACGAUUCUUUCACAGUAUUGUGAAAGAACGUUUCCGUACAAAAUUUAGUGCGAACGUCCCACUUGAGAAUUUUCAAUCUGAUGGAUAGUAUUUCUUAAUAAGUUAUCUAACACACACUUGCCUGCAUCAUGUAGCCUAAGUUUACAACUAGAGUUCCCGGAACAGGGGCAAUGUCAAACCAUUGAUCUUCGUGAAAGACUUGGAGGCCACCAAUUUGAUCUUGUAUGAGCACAGUGACAAAUUUAGGGUCAGAAUGUGUUGCUAUGCCGAUGGACAAUUCUGGUUGAGGGUAUUCAGGGUAAUAACCAUUCCCAAUAGUCAUUUCCUCUACACAACCUAUGUCUUUCAGGUAAUUGAGGUCAAGCCCUAAAGCUUCGGAUAGAAGUUCAAACAGAGUAUCCCCUGUUUUCCACAUUAGGUUGUUGUAUGCGAUCAUUAUCUCUCUGCAAAUUAAUAAAGACAAAAAAUAAUCACUACUAAAAGAAAGGGAGAAUGGCAUUUCGACUUUUAGAAAUUUUUUUUUUAUUGGGUUAACAACUAGAUGAAAUGAGAGUAAUAAAAACUUAUUAGGAACCCAAGUGAUGCAAAACGUUUUAAGAAAGAUGCGAGUGUUAUCCACUGUAAAAGAAAUAAAAUCUAUUGGUCAUCGUCCACAUACCUGCAAGCUUCAGGCAAAUCUUCAGGAUUUGAAAAAUCGCGACCCAUAACACAACUCAAAGUAUCUUUCAGUUAAGGAAGCUCAUUGUGCUAAGUUUAUGAAGAACAUGAAGGCAAAGAAGUUCUCAGUCUUAGUCAGUGAAGCAAGUCAAUAGUGCCAGCUCAUCAGUGCCAGAUCAGCAGAAUUAGUUACGGGAAUUAACAAGUCAGCAUAAGUUGUUAAUGCUUGUUACUAGUUUCUUUAGCAUGUGUAUGUAAAUAUCUUCAAGUAUAUAAGCUGUAGAAGUUCAGUUGGUAUGUAACGAAAAAGAAUUAAGAAAUAAGAACUUUGAUUUUUCAUCUGUAAAUUUUCUCUUGAAACCAACAGCCUUUAACUUUCUUUCAUGGUAUCAGAGCCAACCAUGGCUAGUUCCAGUACACCUAAUCAAGUUCAUUCCACAAACAAUCAAUUUCAAUCUACGCAAACUUCAUUUACUUUUGCUGCGACUGUAAACUCGAUCGAUCGAAUUUUCUUCUUUGGCGCAAACAAGUACUGACGUCAAUCAGAGGAAAUCGACUUGAAGGAUUAAUCUCAGAAGGUCAGAAUAUUCCAGAAUAGUAUCUAUCUCAAUCAAGAGCUGACAGAUCUAUGGAGAAGAUUGAGAAUCCAGCUUAUGUUAAUUGGAGAGCUCAGGAUCAGACUCUGCUUAGCUGGCUUCUUUCAACAAUAAGUGAAAGUAUUCUAAGCUCAGUUCUCAAUUAUGAUACUUCCUUCGAUAUUUGGAGAUCCAUUGAAAAACAAUUUAGAGUUCAAUCCGAAGCAAAAAUAAUGCAACUUAGAUAUGAAUUGGACACUUUGAGAAAAGAAUCAAUGUCAGUUGAAGAAUAUUGCUCAAAAAUGAAAACUCUUGUGAAUAAGCUUGCUUGUGCUGGUGAUAAUAUAACUGAAAAAGAUCUGUUGAUUAGGACUCUUAAUGGAUUAGGAUCUGGUUAUUUGGAUCUAGCUUCCAUAAUCAUAGCUAAUAAAAUGAACUUUGAUGAUGCGUAUGCACUGUUGUUGACACAUGAAGCUCGAUUAGAACAGAAUUAGAAUCCACAGCCUAUGUUUAAUGCCAACUAUAGUAUGGUGAAUGCAAAUUAUGCAAAUUCUUCGCAUAUGAGAGGUUUUCCUAGGAAAUGCUUCUAAUGGUCAAUAUGGAGGAAGAGUUCAGUAUUUUGGUCAUGGUAUGUUCUCUACUUCUUAUCCUAGAGGUUUUCCAGCUGGUAAUGGUGGUUUUGGUAGAGGGAAUGAUGUUGCAAGUUUUGGCAGAAAUCAGUUUCAACAUUUUCACAGACCACCACACAUCAGAAAUAUGUUUUCUCACGCACAUAAUCAAAACAAUUCUACUGGUGAACAUAAUGAACUGACACCUAUAUGCCAAAUAUGUCAUAAGCAAGGUCACACUGCUGAUGCUUGCUGGUAUCGAUAUGGUGAUAAUUACCUUCUUAAGAAUUUUGGCAUAGGUAAAAUGAUGGGAUCAAAGGCUGCUUAUAUGGCUAAUUUUGAGUCAUUUCCUUAUCAACAGUCAACAGAGGAAGAUUCUUAUGGAGUUGCAGAUAUUAACUACAGCUAUCAACCAGUGAAUUACUCACCUGUCUCUUCUUAUCAAUCUGAAGCUUUUACUUUCUCGGAAGCUUAUGUUGCUAACCUUGAAGGCUCAUCAGAUGAAGGGUGGUAUCUUGAUAGUCGGGCCACACAUCACAUUACAAAUAACAUGGGAAACAUGCAUGUGAGAGAAGAGUUCAGAGGUGCAGACCAGCUGACCAUUGGCAAUGGACAAGGUGUGAUUAUUACUCAUAUUGGUGAUGCUUGCUUUAGCUAUAAAAGUCUUAAUGCUGCCCACAAACACACACCUAUAGCACUUAAGGAUAUCUUAUUAGUUCCUUCUAUUACUAAGAACUUAAUAAGUAUAUCUAAGUUAACCACUGAUAAUAACCUUUCCAUUGAAUUUGUUGGUAAUGUGUGUUAUGUAAAGAAUUCACUGAAGGGACAAGUACUUCUGCAAGGUCUUGCUGAAAAAGGAUUAUACAAGUUGCUGUUACAAUCAUCUCAGUCAUCUCCUUCCUCUUUCUUGAGUCAAAUUUCUUCAAACAAGCCUCUGUCUAUGCUUUCUACAUGUCAUCUUCAAUUUCCUGUUAUAACGGAUGUCCAGAAUAAAGAUUCAAAGUCUGUAGCUUGUUAUCAAACUGCUGUCAAUUCUUUCUUUCCUUGUAAUGAAUUAGUUAAUAAAGUCAACUUGUUUCAUAGAUGAUUUGGUCAUCCUCAUUAUGAUGUACUAGUGCAUUUACUUAAGAAUGAUCAGUCUAUCAAUAUCUCUACUUCCAUUAUUAAACAAGCUGCACAACAAAUAUGUGAGGUAUCUCAAAUGGGUAAGGUUCAUAGGCUUCACUUCCCUGCAACUAAAACCAAAACUUCCCACAUACUUAAACUUAUUCUUACUGAUUUGUGGGGUCCUUCCCCUUAUUCUUCCAGAGUUGGUUAUGUUUAUUACAUCAGCUUUGUUGAUGAUUUCAGUAGGUACACUUGAAUCUAUCCACUGAAACUGAAAUCAGAAGCCUUACAAAUUUUCAAACUCUUCAAACUGCAAGUUGAAAAACAAUUCCAGUGUUCCAUUAAAAAGUUACAAUCUGACUGGGGGGGAGAAUAUCGAGCAUUCACUGAAUUUUUGAACCAAAAUGGAAUUAUUUUUAGACACUCUUGUCCAUACACACAUCAUCAAAAUGAGGUAGUUGAGAGAAAGCACAGACACAUUGUUGAGUUAGGACUUACACUUCUAACUCAAGCUAAAUUACCCUUAAACUUUUGGUGGGAAGCUUUCCAAACCUCAGUCUAUCAUAUUAAUAGGUUGCCUUUUGCAACUUUGAAAUUUCUUACUCCCUAUGAAAAGCUCUUCAAUCAUAAGCCAGAUUACAAAAUGCUCAAGUGCUUUGGUUGUGCAUGCUAUCCUUACUUGAGAGAUUAUAAUAAGUAUAAGUUUGCCUAUCAUUCUAACAAGUAUGUCUUUAUUGGUUACAGUCCUUCUCAUAAAAGGGUAUAAAUGUUUGCAUCCAUAUGGUCAGGUCUAUAUAGCUAGACAUGUCAUAUUUGAUGAGCAUUCCUUUUCUUACUCAUCAGAUUCUGUUUUCACUUCAAAUAAUUCAUGUCAACCUCUGUCAUUUACUCCUCAACAAGUGUAUCAUCUAUUCACUUUGUCAAUACCUUCUAAUUCAAAUGACAGUAACUCUUAUAAUCCUGUUUCUGUAAGUUCUACCAGCAGCAGUUCUCAUCAUUCAGUGAAUCAUACACAUAACAAUGACUCUCAGCCUUUGCCACAAAUAUUUGAGCCACAUACAGAAUCUCAUCAUUCCCUGCCUACUCAAUCAUUCACUACCAACACACUCUCUCCAUCACAAAUUUUAACCAACAUCAUUUCCACAACACUUUUGCUCCNNNNNNNNNNNNNNNNNNNNNNNNNNNNNNNNNNNNNNNNNNNNNNNNNNNNNNNNNNNNNNNNNNNNNNNNNNNNNNNNNNNNNNNNNNNNNNNNNNNNNNNNNNNNNNNNNNNNNNNNNNNNNNNNNNNNNNNNNNNNNNNNNNNNNNNNNNNNNNNNNNNNNNNNNNNNNNNNNNNNNNNNNNNNNNNNNNNNNNNNNNNNNNNNNNNNNNNNNNNNNNNNNNNNNNNNNNNNNNNNNNNNNNNNNNNNNNNNNNNNNNNNNNNNNNNNNNNNNNNNNNNNNNNNNNNNNNNNNNNNNNNNNNNNNNNNNNNNNNNNNNNNNNNNNNNNNNNNNNNNNNNNNNNNNNNNNNNNNNNNNNNNNNNNNNNNNNNNNNNNNNNNNNNNNNNNNNNNNNNNNNNNNNNNNNNNNNNNNNNNNNNNNNNNNNNNNNNNNNNNNNNNNNNNNNNNNNNNNNNNNNNNNNNNNNNNNNNNNNNNNNNNNNNNNNNNNNNNNNNNNNNNNNNNNNNNNNNNNNNNNNNNNNNNNNNNNNNNNNNNNNNNNNNNNNNNNNNNNNNNNNNNNNNNNNNNNNNNNNNNNNNNNNNNNNNNNNNNNNNNNNNNNNNNNNNNNNNNNNNNNNNNNNNNNNNNNNNNNNNNNNNNNNNNNNNNNNNNNNNNNNNNNNNNNNNNNNNNNNNNNNNNNNNNNNNNNNNNNNNNNNNNNNNNNNNNNNNNNNNNNNNNNNNNNNNNNNNNNNNNNNNNNNNNNNNNNNNNNNNNNNNNNNNNNNNNNNNNNNNNNNNNNNNNNNNNNNNNNNNNNNNNNNNNNNNNNNNNNNNNNNNNNNNNNNNNNNNNNNNNNNNNNNNNNNNNNNNNNNNNNNNNNNNNNNNNNNNNNNNNNNNNNNNNNNNNNNNNNNNNNNNNNNNNNNNNNNNNNNNNNNNNNNNNNNNNNNNNNNNNNNNNNNNNNNNNNNNNNNNNNNNNNNNNNNNNNNNNNNNNNNNNNNNNNNNNNNNNNNNNNNNNNNNNNNNNNNNNNNNNNNNNNNNNNNNNNNNNNNNNNNNNNNNNNNNNNNNNNNNNNNNNNNNNNNNNNNNNNNNNNNNNNNNNNNNNNNNNNNNNNNNNNNNNNNNNNNNNNNNNNNNNNNNNNNNNNNNNNNNNNNNNNNNNNNNNNNNNNNNNNNNNNNNNNNNNNNNNNNNNNNNNNNNNNNNNNNNNNNNNNNNNNNNNNNNNNNNNNNNNNNNNNNNNNNNNNNNNNNNNNNNNNNNNNNNNNNNNNNNNNNNNNNNNNNNNNNNNNNNNNNNNNNNNNNNNNNNNNNNNNNNNNNNNNNNNNNNNNNNNNNNNNNNNNNNNNNNNNNNNNNNNNNNNNNNNNNNNNNNNNNNNNNNNNNNNNNNNNNNNNNNNNNNNNNNNNNNNNNNNNNNNNNNNNNNNNNNNNNNNNNNNNNNNNNNNNNNNNNNNNNNNNNNNNNNNNNNNNNNNNNNNNNNNNNNNNNNNNNNNNNNNNNNNNNNNNNNNNNNNNNNNNNNNNNNNNNNNNNNNNNNNNNNNNNNNNNNNNNNNNNNNNNNNNNNNNNNNNNNNNNNNNNNNNNNNNNNNNNNNNNNNNNNNNNNNNNNNNNNNNNNNNNNNNNNNNNNNNNNNNNNNNNNNNNNNNNNNNNNNNNNNNNNNNNNNNNNNNNNNNNNNNNNNNNNNNNNNNNNNNNNNNNNNNNNNNNNNNNNNNNNNNNNNNNNNNNNNNNNNNNNNNNNNNNNNNNNNNNNNNNNNNNNNNNNNNNNNNNNNNNNNNNNNNNNNNNNNNNNNNNNNNNNNNNNNNNNNNNNNNNNNNNNNNNNNNNNNNNNNNNNNNNNNNNNNNNNNNNNNNNNNNNNNNNNNNNNNNNNNNNNNNNNNNNNNNNNNNNNNNNNNNNNNNNNNNNNNNNNNNNNNNNNNNNNNNNNNNNNNNNNNNNNNNNNNNNNNNNNNNNNNNNNNNNNNNNNNNNNNNNNNNNNNNNNNNNNNNNNNNNNNNNNNNNNNNNNNNNNNNNNNNNNNNNNNNNNNNNNNNNNNNNNNNNNNNNNNNNNNNNNNNNNNNNNNNNNNNNNNNNNNNNNNNNNNNNNNNNNNNNNNNNNNNNNNNNNNNNNNNNNNNNNNNNNNNNNNNNNNNNNNNNNNNNNNNNNNNNNNNNNNNNNNNNNNNNNNNNNNNNNNNNNNNNNNNNNNNNNNNNNNNNNNNNNNNNNNNNNNNNNNNNNNNNNNNNNNNNNNNNNNNNNNNNNNNNNNNNNNNNNNNNNNNNNNNNNNNNNNNNNNNNNNNNNNNNNNNNNNNNNNNNNNNNNNNNNNNNNNNNNNNNNNNNNNNNNNNNNNNNNNNNNNNNNNNNNNNNNNNNNNNNNNNNNNNNNNNNNNNNNNNNNNNNNNNNNNNNNNNNNNNNNNNNNNNNNNNNNNNNNNNNNNNNNNNNNNNNNNNNNNNNNNNNNNNNNNNNNNNNNNNNNNNNNNNNNNNNNNNNNNNNNNNNNNNNNNNNNNNNNNNNNNNNNNNNNNNNNNNNNNNNNNNNNNNNNNNNNNNNNNNNNNNNNNNNNNNNNNNNNNNNNNNNNNNNNNNNNNNNNNNNNNNNNNNNNNNNNNNNNNNNNNNNNNNNNNNNNNNNNNNNNNNNNNNNNNNNNNNNNNNNNNNNNNNNNNNNNNNNNNNNNNNNNNNNNNNNNNNNNNNNNNNNNNNNNNNNNNNNNNNNNNNNNNNNNNNNNNNNNNNNNNNNNNNNNNNNNNNNNNNNNNNNNNNNNNNNNNNNNNNNNNNNNNNNNNNNNNNNNNNNNNNNNNNNNNNNNNNNNNNNNNNNNNNNNNNNNNNNNNNNNNNNNNNNNNNNNNNNNNNNNNNNNNNNNNNNNNNNNNNNNNNNNNNNNNNNNNNNNNNNNNNNNNNNNNNNNNNNNNNNNNNNNNNNNNNNNNNNNNNNNNNNNNNNNNNNNNNNNNNNNNNNNNNNNNNNNNNNNNNNNNNNNNNNNNNNNNNNNNNNNNNNNNNNNNNNNNNNNNNNNNNNNNNNNNNNNNNNNNNNNNNNNNNNNNNNNNNNNNNNNNNNNNNNNNNNNNNNNNNNNNNNNNNNNNNNNNNNNNNNNNNNNNNNNNNNNNNNNNNNNNNNNNNNNNNNNNNNNNNNNNNNNNNNNNNNNNNNNNNNNNNNNNNNNNNNNNNNNNNNNNNNNNNNNNNNNNNNNNNNNNNNNNNNNNNNNNNNNNNNNNNNNNNNNNNNNNNNNNNNNNNNNNNNNNNNNNNNNNNNNNNNNNNNNNNNNNNNNNNNNNNNNNNNNNNNNNNNNNNNNNNNNNNNNNNNNNNNNNNNNNNNNNNNNNNNNNNNNNNNNNNNNNNNNNNNNNNNNNNNNNNNNNNNNNNNNNNNNNNNNNNNNNNNNNNNNNNNNNNNNNNNNNNNNNNNNNNNNNNNNNNNNNNNNNNNNNNNNNNNNNNNNNNNNNNNNNNNNNNNNNNNNNNNNNNNNNNNNNNNNNNNNNNNNNNNNNNNNNNNNNNNNNNNNNNNNNNNNNNNNNNNNNNNNNNNNNNNNNNNNNNNNNNNNNNNNNNNNNNNNNNNNNNNNNNNNNNNNNNNNNNNNNNNNNNNNNNNNNNNNNNNNNNNNNNNNNNNNNNNNNNNNNNNNNNNNNNNNNNNNNNNNNNNNNNNNNNNNNNNNNNNNNNNNNNNNNNNNNNNNNNNNNNNNUUGGUUCACUUCAACUAUCUAAGGAACAAACUCAAUGUGCAGCCUUGCCCCUUGAGUUUGAGGGGGGCUGUUAAGGAAGCUCAUUGUGCUGAGUUUAUGAAGAACAUGAAGGCAAAGAAGUUCUCAGUCUUAGUCAGUGAAGCAAGUCAAUAGUGCCAGCUCAUUAGUGCCAGAUCAGCAGAAUUAGUUACGGGAAUUAACUAGUCAGCAUAAGUUGUUAAUGUUUGUUACUAGUUUCUUUAGCAUGUGUAUGUAAAUAUCUUCAAGUAUAUAAGCUGUAGAAGUUCAGUUGGUAUGUAACGAAAACGAAUUAAGAAAUAAGAACCUUGAUUUUUCCUCUGUAAAUUUUCUCUUGAAACAAACAGCCUUUAACUUUCUUUCACUUUCCAAAAGAGGGUUGGUGCACUAUACAAAUUUAAAUUUGAACAAUAUUUAAUUUUUUUGGAGUAAUCACGAGAAUAAUAUUUCUGCUUAACCUCAACAUCUUGUUGAAAAAAAGCUACGGAUCCCAUCAAUGGCCUGAUCCAAAAUGCUUGUUGGGAUUCCAUGAUUGAUCACUUGAAAGAAACCCCACUUCUCACAAGCACUUCUAAUUUGGUCAAUUACCUGAGAACGCAAACUUGAAUCCUUGAGUAUUCUUUGAAGGUCUAUGAUAGGGAUGCUGAUUUUGGGGUCCCUGCAGAUUGGCUUAUCAUCAAACUUAUGUUUAGUGUGACGAUCUUGAAUGAUGAUCUGUGGAAUGGUUGUGAUCCCAGCAUCUACGAGUCCCUUAACACCAGCUUUCGUGUCAUCAAAAGCUUUCAACUCGCUAACUCUGUCACAAGUAAUGCUUCCCAUUGCUUGGUGAAUUAUCUUUUACCUGGUGAAUUAUGAAGUACAAAUGCUGACUUGCGGGUGAUUGCUUUUGGUAUAUGCCGUUUAUAUGAAUAUGAUUCCUAGCUUGCCACGUGCAACAUGUUGAAAUAUAGCGAUAGCAUGAAGAUGUGGAAAUUUGUAAAAUUUGAUCCUGCGUUAUUUAUCAUGAUUAAAUUAAUUAUAAAUUAUCAAUAAUAGUCAAUUCCGGGGACCACCAAUUACUGGGUGGCACAUCACAAUAAUAAAUUAUCAAUAAUAGUCAAUUCUGCAUUAUUUAAUAUUUAUGUGGAUAAAAUUUCAAUUAGCUACACUACAUUGUUGUUUGAUAGUUAACGGUUCACCUUCUCCAUUUGUAAAUAUUAUUAUGGACUUAUAGUGUGGCUUAAAAGCUAGAUCUUAAAUGAAAAGAAAGCUUUAAUGGUGAAAUAAAAAUUUAAAUAAAUGAUAAAGGGAUUAAAGGUUAACCUAAUGUUAACAAAAAUAAUUGUAAAAUAUACAUGUUUUAUCAUGUUAAUUGAUGUUUUUCCAGUAUGCACAUAAAAAAGAUCUAUUUUACAAUUGUUUCUGUUGGCGUUGGGGCAGAUUUUUUUUUAGUCUAAUUAAGUAUAUCAUAAGUUAAUAAUAGUGCGUAUUUUAACUUUAAUAAAUUUGGCCACUUAGAUUUUUAAUUCUGACUCCUUCCCUAAUCAAUCAAGAAAAAGAAUGCUUUUCUCCAUAAAAAUUAAAAUAGAAAAUUCAGCAAGGACAUAACUGCGGAGAUGUUUGAUCCUGGAUUUAUAUAUCAAAGCAACAUCAAAAUUAUAAUACUUCCUUGCCACCGAGAAGAGAUAUAUUCAAGAGCACUGGCCUUAUAAAGCCUAAACCAUACUAAACUACCUACAUGGAAUCUAAUGCGUACAUGCAAUGCUUUCUAAAGUGAAACUGUCGCUUGAAAAUAGAAUUCAUGUUCAGCAGCCUCUCUCUAUCCGGGCUCCAAUUUUAUAACAAGGCAGCUAAAUAAGAUGAUUUAGAUGGCAUCGGCAUCUGUAGUAUCGUUUGUCUGUAGUCCCUCAUUAUCUACGAUCUGAUCGCUCCCUAUAGUAUUGUUUGCCUGUAGUCCCUCAUUAUCUACGCUCUGAUCACUCCCUAUGUAGAGAAUCGACAAGAGCAAAUUGAAGCACACGUUCACAGCACUAAUAACUGUUAAACUCUUAUAGUACUUGUCAAGCCUACUAUCAUCCAGGGUUUCAGCAAAGUCGCCUUUGUUUGCCAAAAUGAAAAAGAUGUUAAAAAUGCUUCCUAUUCCGACGAAAAAAUAACUUAUUGCUGAUACAUGGUACUCCAUCCGUUCAGGAAAAUGAGAGCUCGAGUAUUCAUCACAUCCAUACCAGGCAAGCCCUUCCAUAAGACCUAAUAGACAGAAUUGUGGAACAAGCCAAAACAUGCUCAUAUUUUACAGUAAAUGUUAAAUUUCACAGCAUGUAAAAUAUAUAUAUAUAUAUACACACACACACACAUACCUAAUAAGAGGAUAUUAGGAGCUUUACCCUUAUAAAAAUAAUGCUAGAGAUCUCAAUAGUUAAGUUACAAUUGAUGUGACAUUAAUUCAUUUUGGCUCCACUUUGAUUAUAAUAAUGAUUAAGAAAAGCAUUUCUAGGAUCAUAAUGUCAUGCUAUACAAUUAGUUCCAACAAUUUUCGUUUCAGGCAUUGGGGCUAUUGUUCUGUACAGCGUCCAGAGAAUUUUCAGAAACCAACUUUGAGCUACUCAACAUGAUAGGAAUUAUCCUGUUAGCAGUGGGUGAAGUUGGAGCGGCGCCUCUUUUGGGACCAUUUCUUGCCGAUCAAUUAAGAGAACAUGGUAAAGGAGGGAGAACAGAAAAUUCAAAUGAGGAUCAAGUAAUGGCUCAGAAAAGAGUGUGGUGGCGGUUUGCCUGGUGCUGUGGUUCAGCUGCGGCAUUCUAUGCAAAUAAUAUUAAGACAUGGAAGAAGACUUUCAUGUUCACAUUGUUGUUUAUGGGGGGCAGUUUGAUCCUCUUGUUGUUGGGUAUUCCCUUUUAUCAUAGUAGACAAAUACCUCCUAUUGACCGUUUUGCUAUAAUCCGCGUUGUUAAAACCUCCCUGAAGAAAAAGCAUCUCAAUUAUCCUCUUUCUCCGGAGCUGUUCUUCAGUAAUGAUGAGGGAAACGUAUUACACUUGUCACCAAGAAUCAAAUUACUCAGGUAUAUGCCCAACAUGUAUACACCCACACCCGGCCCGUGGUCUGGCAAAAUUGUUGGGGAGACCCUCUUAUUUUUAUUAAUAAUUAUAUAAACCUCUUUAUGGACACAUUAAUACCCUUUUGUGUUCGGGAAUAGUCACACCGACCUCCAAGAUUUGUCCAAAAGGGCGUAUUUAUAAACGCGUCUGUGUGAUCAUUUUGCCAAACCAUGAGCUGUCGCUUUCUCUUUUCCUAAAAAAUUACCAAUAAAUUAAUUCUUUGAAUUGCAGAUGGAUAGACAAAGCGGCAAUUAUAGAGACAUCAAGUACUUCUAACGAACAAGAAGAGGCAGGCACACUUUGCACUGUGGCCCAGGUCAGGGAGUCAAAAUCUCUUCUUAAUGCGUACAUGCAAUGCUUUCUAAAGUGAAACUGUCGCUUGAAAAUAGAAUUCAUGUUCAGCAGCCUCUCUCUAUCCGGGCUCCAAUUUUAUAACAAGGCAGCUAAAAAAGAUGAUUUAGAUGGCAUCGGCAUCUGUAGUAUCGUUUGUCUGUAGUCCCUCAUUAUCUACGAUCUGAUCGCUCCCUAUAGUAUUGUUUGCCUGUAGUCCCUCAUUAUCUACGCUCUGAUCACUCCCUAUGUAGAGAAUCGACAAGAGCAAAUUGAAGCACACGUUCACAGCACUAAUAACUGUUAAACUCUUAUAGUACUUGUCAAGCCUACUAUCAUCCAGGGUUUCAGCAAAGUCGCCUUUGUUUGCCAAAAUGAAAAAGAUGUUAAAAAUGCUUCCUAUUCCGACGAAAAAAUAACUUAUUGCUGAUACAUGGUACUCCAUCCGUUCAGGAAAAUGAGAGCUCGAGUAUUCAUCACAUCCAUACCAGGCAAGCCCUUCCAUAAGACCUAAUAGACAGAAUUGUGGAACAAGCCAAAACAUGCUCAUAUUUUCCAAUUGUUUGAGCUUUUCCAACCUGCGAACCUCAACCUGCCAUGCCACUACACAGCAAACUGUAGUCAUCACCAUUCCAAUAAAUGUUCUCAACACUUGAGCUUGUCUCUUUUUAGUUUUUGGAACAAAAUUGGAAAUUAAAUUUUUUGACAGAUAAGAGAUCGUUGCACGAAUUAUCCCUUUAAAAGUUCGUAGAAAGAUUAAGUAUCUUUCAGAAAUCAUGUUGGCUCCCUGCCCAGGAAAAAAUGUAUUUCCUGCUGACAGAACCAAUCCAAACACAAUGAAGCUAGACCACAAUGGCAACAAUUUAAGAAGAGAUUUUGACUCCCUGACCUGGGCCACAGUGCAAAGUGUGCCUGCCUCUUCUUGUUCGUUAGAAGUACUUGAUGUCUCUAUAAUUGCCGCUUUGUCUAUCCAUCUGCAAUUCAAAGAAUUAAUUUAUUGGUAAUUGUUUAGGAAAAAAGAAAGCGACAGCUCAUGGUUUGGCAAAAUGAUCACACAGACGCGUUUAUAAAUACGCCCUUUUGGACAAAUCUUGGAGGCCGGUGUGACUAUUCCCGAACACAAAAGGGUAUUAAUGUGUCCAUAAAGAGGUUUAUAUAAUUAUUAAUAAAAAAAGAGGGUCUCCCCGACAAUUUUGCCAGACCACGGGCCGGGUGUGGGUGUAUACAUGUUAGGCAUAUACCUGAGUAAUUUGAUUCUGGGUGACAAGUGUAAUACGUUUCCCUCAUCAUUACUGAAGAACAGCUCCGGAGAAAGAGGAUAAUUGAGAUGCUUUUUCUUCAGGGAGGUUUUAAUAACGCGGAUUAUAGCAAAACGGUCAAUAGGAGGUAUUUGUCUACUAUGAUAAAAGGGAAUACCCAACAACAAGAGGAUCAAACUGCCCCCCAUAAACAACAAUGUGAACAUGAAAGUCUUCUUCCAUGUCUUAAUAUUAUUUGCAUAGAAUGCCGCAGCUGCACCACAGCACCAGGCAAACCGCCACCACACUCUUUUCUGAGCCAUUACUUGAUCCUCAUUUGAAUUUUCUGUUCUCCCUCCUUUACCAUGUUCUCUUAAUUGAUCGGCAAGAAAUGGUCCCAAAAGAGGCGCCGCUCCAACUUCACCCACUGCUAACAGGAUAAUUCCUAUCAUGUUGAGUAGCUCAAAUUUGGUUUCUGAAAAUUCUCUGGACGCUGUACAGAACAAUAGCCCCAAUGCCUGAAACGAAAAUUGUUGGAACUAAUUGUAUAGCAUGACAUUAUGAUCCUAGAAAUGCUUUUCUUAAUCAUUAUUAUAAUCAAAGUGGAGCUAAAAUGAAUUAAUGUUACAUCAAUUGUAACUUAACUAUUGAGAUCUCUAGCAUUAUUUUUAUAAGGGUAAAGCUCCUAAUAUCCUCUUAUUAGGUAUGUGUGUGUGUAUAUAUAUAUAUAUAUUUUUUUUUUUUUUACAUGCUGUGAAAUUUAACAUUUACUGCAAAAUAAUAAAUUUUUAAUUUAGCCCAAAGUACUAUAAAGUCCUGGGUCCGCCCCUGAAUAUAUAUAUUGCUUGCAAUGAUAGACAUAUGUUUUAAUUUCGUCUCUGUUUAGAAGUUUAGCAAAUUCAAAACAUAUUAACUUACAAGGAUGUAGGAGACAGUUGAAAAAAUGAGGAUUCUGAGAGGACGAAUGGCAUAACACGAAAUCCAGGCGGCAACAACCGUAAGAGUUGCUAAUAUUACAUCCUGAAUACUCGUAAAUAUUGCAGCUUUCUGAAGUGUGAAUACUUUUGAAUAUUCGGAGUUGGAGAAGUAAGUUAUCAAGACGCCCACUAUAGCCAAGUCUACGAGUUUGCGGCUUAUCAACAAACCUGGAAUCAAAAUAAUCAUUAGAAAAAAUGUUCGUGCUCACUAAAAAAAGCUUACACAUGAGGACUGCAAGAACAACGUGAGAGAACUAUUGUCAUGUUUUAUAAUUUAGCCCAACCUAAUCAAAGAUCUUAAGUACACCUCUCUUAACUGAAAUUAUUCUAGGGGAUUAUCUAUUUAGGAAUCUCAAAGUUCAUGAGCUCUUAAUACAUACACACAUACAUAUACAUACAUACAUCAUCAUGUUGUUAAAGUAAUGAUGUUAGUAAAAUACAAAAAAAAUAUAUGUACAUGUAUUAAAUUGUAUGAUUUAACAGAAUUAGUACAAAUAAAUAAAUUACAUGAUUUUGUAGUGCAUUGAAAAUUAAUUUUAUUAAACUAUACAAUUUACUAGUGUGUCUCCAUUAAAAAAAAUAAAGACCCUCAUAUAUAUAUAUAUAUAUAUAUAUAUAUAUAUAUGUAUACAAGUUUAUGUUCUGAAUAAAUACAUUUUUAAAAGAUAGGAUUACCUAAGGCCCCACACGCAAAAUUACCUGACAGAAAUGCAGCAGCCUUACAAAAGCAGACGUAAUAUCGUACCCAAGUUAUGAACCUGUUUUGAAGCUUCAACAGCUGAGAAAAUGGAAACAUUGUAGUUUCUGAAACUGCUUUUAUCUGCAAAGACUUCUACUUGUGAGUUGUGAAUCCCGAGACGAUGAAGAUUUUGUAAUUAUGCCAAAGUCUUUUAGGUAGUUUAUUCAAAUUAAAAAAUAAUAAGUCGCACUUCAAGACCACCUAUUGGUCACAUCAAGACCACCAUUUGGUCACAUAAGUCUUCUUUUUUUUCUUCUAACUUUAAUCCAGCUAGUCAGCUACGGUCCAACAGGUGCACCGUGCCCUCUUUUUGACAGCACCCCUUACUUUCUUCUAUAUUUACAGUUUAUUAAAGUAAUUUCUUUUUCCUCUUUCUUUCACCCCUCACCUUUACAAUCUUCCAAUUUUUUCCAUUUUCAAUUAAACCUGUAAUCAACCAAUUGCAAGCAAUAAGAAAAAAGUUGGCAAGCUAUUUGCUCUAUAAUACACAAGUAAUUAGGGGUGGGCAAAAUACCCGACCCGAUCCGACCCGAAAAAUUUCAGGUUCGGAUUGGAUCGGGUUAUUAAUAUAAUCCGAUCGGAUGAAAUAUUACAAACCCGAUCGGGUUGUGAUCGGAUCGGAUAAAACCCGAUCCGAUCCGAAAACCCGAUCGGGUUGCUAAAAAAAAUAUAUAUAUAUCUAUGGCCAAACACACACACACGGCACACAGCACACCACACAUAAUCACACAAAUCAGUGAAAUCACAUACUCAAAAGGUUACACUUUACAGUUUACACAAACACAAAACACACAAAAACAAAAAAAUCACAACACCCAACCCGUGAACCCACCCUCAAGAAGCAAGAAAACAUUCUCUCCUUCCCGCAAUCUGCUGCUGCCGUGUUGCGAGUCCGGCCAUCUGCUGCUGCGUCAGCGAUCUGCUGUUGCCGUGCUGUUGUCAUGCUGCUGCCGUGUUGCGUCCAGCCAUCUACUGCUGCGUCCACGAUCUGCUGCCGCCGUGCUGCGUCCACGAUCUGCUGCCGCCGUGCUGCGUCCAGCCAUCGCGAGGAAACUGCUGCUGCGUCCACGAUCUGCUGCCGCCGUGCUGCGUCCAGCCAUCGCGAGGAAACUGCUGCGCGUCCAGCCAUGCGCAAGCUGCUGCUGCACGCCCACCGAUCUGCUGCCGAAAACCCAGCCGCCGAUCUGCUGCUCCAAGGCUCAAGCUCCAACCCGACCCGAGUUUCUCCCUUAGUCCCUUAUGUGUUUUGAAUUUUGAAGCUUUCAUGGUGUAUUGGUAUAUAUGUUUUGAAUUGACCCGUUUAAUUUGACCCGAAUUGGUUUAAUUUGACCCGAAUUUAAUAUGAUCCAUUUUUAAUUCGAACCGAUUCAACCCAAAUUCAACCCGAUUUUUUACCCGAUCCGAACCGAUCCGAAUAUAUAUCGGAUCGGAUCGGGUCGGGUUGUAAGUUCGGGUUGUAUUCGGAUCAAUGUUUGCACAACCCGAAUAACUCGAAACUCGAUCGGGUUGACCCGAACCCGAUUUUGCCCACCCCUACAAGUAAUAAUGAAUUGAAGUUUUUAUAUAAAAAAAUUACAUAGAUGUAAUUUUUUUACGCACACUAUUUAUCAUCUACAAUGAAAUUAACAUGUAAGUAAAUUUAUUUUUUUAUCUUUUAUUAUAUGUAUUCUUCCCCUUUCUCCCCCGUAUGUCUUUUCAUUUUCUCUUUGAAUAAUCUAACCUAAGGCUUUCUAAUAAUUGGUUUAUUGUUAUUAUUUUUAUAAGUAAACCUUCUCUUUGUUAUGUCAAUAGGUUUAUUUUAUAAAAAAAAAUUCGUAAAUGACCAAAAGUGAGAACCUUAAUAAAAAUUCAAAACCUAUCUUAGUUUUUGUUGUCUUUGUUGAUGCAUCUUGCAUGUUUGAUGUCUUAAUUAUAACUUGUGAGAGUAAGUACUGUAAUACAAUGAUGAUUAAUGAUUAUUACUAAGAGUAUUCAGAGAAAAAGAAGUUGGUGUAAAAUUUUAUAAACUUUGAGUUUUCUAAAUUUUCACUAAACAAUAGGGAUUGCAUUAUUAAUAACUAAAUAAACACAUCCAUAACCUUGAAACUACAUUUGUGUAAGUUCUUUCUCUUUGUAAUGGUUACGAAGACUGACAAUUUUCUAUUGAAGUUAUUUAUACAUGUAUUUCUUUUUCAGCAUGUAAUACAUUUAGGAAAUGAGUAAUGAUUAAGUACAAACACUUUUAGAUAAACAAUGUUGUACGAACUUAUGUGAUAUUUUUUAGAAAAAAGGAUCUGAACAUCCUUAAGAUUUUAAAAAAUGGUCAUUUAUACUUUGAGUUUUCAAUACAGAACAUCAAGACACUUUUUUACUAUAGUAUUCUUAAUAGAUAAUAACAAAAAUUAUUGAAUUUAAACAUUUUAAUAAAUAUAAAUAAAAUUUAAAUAGUUUAAUAUGUCUAGUAGACUAAUAAUAUUAGAAAUUUCUAGUAGACUAAUAAUAUUAGAACAUUUCUUAAUAUGUAAAUAAUUUUUAAAAGAUAAAUUAGUAUAUUUAUUUUAAUAAUAUAUUUUUACUUAUUAUAAAAAUUGUAAAUAAAUCUUUAGGUUAGAUAGAUUUUAAAUUUAAUAAAAUACAUGUCAUGUACUAAUAAUAUUAAAACUAUUUUAUAUAAUAUUGAAAAUAAUUUAAAUUUUAAAUUUUAAUAUUAUCUUUCGAUUUAUUUUGAAAUUUAGUUUAAUAUAAUUUAAUGUUGUAAAGUAUUAAAAUAUUUUAAAAAUAUUGAAAUUAUUUUAAAAUGUAUAUAUUGUUACAUUUAUUUUAAUAUUAUACUUCUAUUUAUUAUAAAAUAUUAAAAAUAAUAUUUUAAUUAAAAGGGAGUUUUGGUGUCUCUUACUGAAAAAUAGAGUGUACAUAAUCAUUUUUUCAAAUUUUAAAGGGUGUACAUGUCAUUUUUCUUACUUUUUUAUAAUCAAUUGAAUAAAAAAAAAGUCAUCUGGCCACAUAAAUUAUUUCUAAUUUAUAUUUUCAAUCAACAAAUCAUAAUGUGUCAUAUCUAUUUGUAUAAGCAUUUAUGAACAUAAAAAAUUAAGUUUAGGCACUAGUCGGGUUGGAAAUCAACUCAUCCAAACCCAUGUAUAGUGCUAGUUGGGUGAGUUGGACUUAUCUCGAAGACCCAUUUUCUGUCUUUGAAAUAUCAAUAUGAAAUUAAAAUAAUUAAAAAAUAAUUUAAUUGAAACAACUAAAAAUAGAAUACAAAAUUACAAAUAAUAACUAUCCCUGAAACUUCAUUGUUAAUAAAAAUAAUUAUUUGUAUAGGAUCCUAAUUACACCAUAAAAAGUAAUAGGAUGAAUUCAAGAGUUGGGUUUGAAAAUUUUCAACACCUAGUAAAUAUAGUGCAUUUUCUCCACCCCUAUGAAAUUAGGGGUUGGCUUUCUACUUGAUUUUAAGUAGAGAAAAUGAUCAAUCCUACCUUAUUGUUUGUUGAAACUAUAGGGUGAAUUUAAGAGUUGGGUUUGAAAGAUGCAAUAUGUUCAUAUGUAUAUAUGAACAUAUUGCAUCUUCACUAUCUUAUCCCCAGAAUUUUUGCACCAAAUCAUGGUACAAGAAUAAAAAUUCGCAACUCGAAUCAACAAAGUAUAUCACUUAAGUUAUUCUGCAAGCCGCCAAAUUGGAAAAUGUCCCAAAUAAUUAAUUAACCACAUCGACUUGAUAGCUUAACUUUUUCCAACGCUGAGAGUCCUUCAUUCUUCCCUAUUGAGGAUUGGUUAUUGUAAACGUCUGUUGGAGUAACAUGGGGAUAGUGCGGAUGAUUUUUUUCGGAUAGCAACUAUUUAAUUGGACCAUAUUGUCUCGAGCAACUGUUGUUCAUAUAAAAAACUUCCAAUUGAAAUCGUUGAGCCUCGCCUUCUUGACAACACUCUGUGAUAGGCACUCUUGAACGCGACACUGGUAAUUAGCUGCAUAAACAUAUAAAAGAACACUAUAAUUAAGUUAUAUGAUGGAUUCAUAAUAGUCAAAGUUGUGCAUAACAUCUACUUGCCUGCAUCAUGUAGCCUAAGUUUACAACUAGAGCCCCGGAAACUGGGGUAAUAUCAAACCAUUGAUCUUCACAAAAGACUUGGAGGCCACAAUUCGAUCUUGUAUGAGCAUAGUGACAAAUCCAGGGUCAGAACGUAUUGUUACGCCAAUUGUCAAUUUCGGAUGAGGGCUAUCUGGGUAGUGACUAUUCCUAAUAGUCAUUUCCUCUACAGAACCUGUGUCUUUCAGGUAACUGGGGCCAAACCCUAAAGCUUCAGACAAAAGUUCAAACAGAGUGAAUUAGCAAUUGACGUUGUUGGAGAAAAAUCAAUUUUUAUUUUUUUUAAAAAAAAAACUUUUUAGAGUCGAUCUCAUAUAAUAUAUAAGAAUUCAUAAUUUAGAAAUUAUACCUUGAAAAUAUGAGAAAAUGAACAAUCUUUGCUUUUUCUACUGAAGUGAAACAAGGCUCCCAUAUCACGAUUUGUCACCACCACACCUGUUAGAUUACAAUCUGUCACCACCACGCUUGUUAGAUCACGAACUAUCACCAAUGAUUUUCUAGAUUAUGACUCAGGUUUGAUCUGCACUUGACGUGUGGGUGCUUUUAUCACUACCAAUAGCAACUAGUAUGAGAAAAAUUUUCUCUCAAGAUUAAAGAGAAAAAUUCUUUUUCUCUUAUCUGUAUAAUGUGGCCUUAUAUCUUUUCAAGAGAAAAUAAGCCCUUUUAUAUCUUAUCUAGUGGAAAUCCUAAGCUCUAUAUUUUUUAUUUUUUAAUUCUAUUAACACAAGGCCCCUUACACAUAAGCAUAUUACAUGGAGCCUCCCACUAAAUAAUAUAUUUAGGCUUUUAACCCAAAUAGCUAGUUAUUUUACUUAUUAAUCCAGUAGCGGCGCAGUCAAUUAAAUGAGCUAACCCAAAUAUCAUUUGAGAACAUACAAUAGUGGCUACAAUAAUUAGGCAUGUAAUCAAACUAGCCCAAUUAUUUAAUUCUAAAUCUACUCCACUAAAAGAUUGGAACUGACCUCCACAAUUGUAUGCUUGAAUAAUAAUUCAUCCCAAACAACAUUGAUUUCUUUACUGCACAAUCUUUUGUACCACAUCAUUAAUUAAAUUGAUAUCUCACCUGUCCAAUCAAUUUAACUACAUUUUGUUCCUUGAUUCUUACUGGUUUUCUCUAAUGAUCAUUUUCAACAUACUAAAUAUGUCGACACACUCUGACCAAAGAAUUCUAUGAUCAAGUGCCGAAAACCCAUCAAGAGAUGUGUUGUACAAAUUCUAUAUUGUCAAUUUAUAACUCCAAUACUCAUAAUUGGUCUCAUCAAGAUACCGGAUAAUCUUGACUACAAGUAUGUGUCGUGCCCAUUGGUAAUUCAAAUGGAAUAACAAUUAUAAUCAUGAAAUCAUAAUUAACUCAAGAUUAAGAUUGCAGUAAAAUCCAUGUCUAUGAGAUUUAAUAAGUCUGACAGUAAUUACAAAGUUAAUUAAAUCUCAUAUGUUAUCUUGUUCAAUGUAGUCUUACUACAUCAAUAAAUUUUUACAUGAAUAAGACAAAUCAUUCAAUGAAUUCAUUACAGUCUAUACCUAAAUAAAGUGCCCAACUUUAUUUAUCAACUGCGAAUUAAAUUUAUUUAAUCAUAAGAUAACUUGUAUUUAUGUCUUCUGUAAUCCACAUGGUGAUUCUUGUGCAAAUUUAUUGAACUCGCAAGUGCACGAAUAUAUUGUAGAAUAGAUUAAUGGUGACAAGUGUCGAUCCCACGAGAAAGUGGAUUUUAAUUAUGUGUAAAUUUAAUUUUCUAUGAGGGUGGUUGGAUUUGUGGUGAAAAUGAUUUGGAAUAUUCUAAACAUUAAAUUAGAAUGGCAGGAAUAAAUUAAAGCAAAAUCUAUUGAAAUAAAGCACUUGGGUAUCUGGAUCUGCAUUAACAUGCACCAUGUGCUAAAUAUUCCUUAGUAAUGCCAAUUAAAUCAUGAGGGGGGUUUCUACUCCUCAUGAACCACACUCUAAUCAAUAUGGUGUUAAGGACUUAUUGUGGCAAACAAUAAUAACCUUGUACUAGGGAGUCGGUUAAAUCAGCGCAGUAUCCAGACAAGAUUAUUACUAUUUGUCGACGAAAAGUCAAAAUAUCAAUAAUAAUUAGAGGAGAAGAGAAAGUAAAUUUACUAAAUAAAGCCCACGACACAUGUUGAGACUUCACCAACCCAAACUUGAAAGAAAAUUAGCUACUUAUAAUUGAACUAAGGGUAAAAUGAGAAUUUAUUAAAAUACAUAGAAAAUACAAGAUGGAGAAUGAAUUACAGAAAAUAGGCUCAAAAAUGAAUUCAAAAAUGCCAAAUUAGGGAGGAGCCCCCCUUUUAAUAGAUACACUGAGUAAAUCAUGGCCAUCAUAUUAAAAACAUUUUGGACGCUCAAGAUUGCGCCACGUCAUCGGUCAACAGUACGUGGUUUGGUUGUAAAUAAUCUCGUGUAUAUGCAUGUACCGUACGCACUAUUUUUGAUCCACUAACAUGCUGCCACGUCACAGAUCAACAGUACAUAAGAAUUUUAGUCUAAUAAAAUCGUGACAUCUCAUCAGUCAAUACCACAUCAUCAGUCAAUGCCACGUCAUCGUUUUGUAUAUGUGAAUAGUGUCGUGAACAGUAACAUGGAUAGUAUCGUAUCUGUGAAUAGUACCGUACAUGUGAACAAUUCCAUUUUUCCUUUUAAACUCCUCCUAAGAUUUUCGACUGUCCUGAUCUCAAAAGUGAUGUCUGUUUUGCUGUAUGAUCUCUCGUUCAUUGUGAAAUGACCAUGAUGCCCCUAAAAUACAUAAAAUAUUUAAUUAUAAUAUAAUACACAUAAUUAAAUCACAAGGAACUUAAAUACAUAAAAGUAUGAAUGUUAGUGAAACUUGAAGUGUAAAAUGACGAUUUUCUCCUUCAUAAAUAUACACUUUCUAACACUCAAAAGUGAUCACAUAAAUACAUAUAAUAUGAUUAAAUGGACUUUAAUCAAAAUAUUAAUGCAAUUAAGAUAUUUGAAUAAAAUACCUUAUUUAUUUUAUUAAUCAGAAAAAUUAUUUAUUACAAUUAAAUAAACACUUAUGCUUUUAAAGAGCAUAUUUUCCCAACAGGCGUAUCUCAUAAAGGCAACUUCGGUGGUUGAGGUAUCCUGCCGUGCAACACUGUAUCUCUUAUAGUCAACUUUUACGACUUGGACAAUUUGUAUUUUACCGAUUGUCCAUUGAAUUAAUUUGUUUUUGCUGAAAAUGAAUAUUAAAAAAAGAUUAAAAUAAAUAAAAUUAUAAAUAAUUAAAAUCACAGAUUGUCCCAAACCACCAAUAAAACCUCUAAAACUAAAAUUAUAAGCUCCUCCGUAAGAUCCACCAUUAUAUUUCUUAUUACCACUAGCAUUCUUUCAAGGAUUAAAAUGGUUUUGAGUUACAUUAGCUAACAAGUUAUGUGUGACAUCACUAGCAAUUUUACCUCUUGUCUGUUCAACUCUAUUCUCCUGAUUUAGCAGUAAAGAGUAAAAUUCAUCAAGACUGAUCUUAUCACCUCCAGCUAACACACUGAUAACUAAAGACUCAUAAUCAGAUGAAUCUAGUCUAGUCAAAAUAUAUUGAACAAAAUCACUUAACUCAACAGAUUUUCUAGCUAAAGCCAGACUGUCAGACAAUCUCUUCAUUUUAACAAAGUAAUCAAUCAUAGACAUUGAUCUUUUUUUGAGUGUUUGAAUAUGCAUCUUAAAGGCAUUAUUCUAGCUUGAGAUUGUAAAGUAAACAUACUUGUGAGUGUAUCCAAAAGCUCUUUAGCAAUGGAGCAAUGAACGAUUGUAGCGAGUAGAUUUUGCUGAAUAGAUGACAACAUCCAACUCAAAACUAAUUGAUCUGUCUUCAUCCAGGCUGUGUAUGCUGGAUUGACCUUUCGAUUUUCAGUAAUAGUUGAGGACCAACUUCAGUGCUAGCUGGUGUGAGAAAUUACUCCGAACAAGUUUGAUCACCAUUAAUGAAAUUAUCCAGAUCGUUUCCUUUGAUGGAUGUUAAAACCUGAGUUUGUCAGACAAUGAAAUUAUUAUGAUCUAGCUUAACAGGAUUGAUAAAACUAUAGGAUCCAGAAAAUUGAUUAGAACUGACCAUUGUAGGCUCUGAGAUCAUGAUAGAAUUUGUAAUAUAUAUGUCUGGAAAGCAAGAAAAUUAAGGAGAAAAAGAUAGAAAGAAAAGAAGAAGAAUUUAGAAUAUGUUAAUUGUUCAUUACAUUACAAAUGUGAUUAUAGCCUUUGUAUUUAUAUUAAGUGAAAUGCUUAACUAUAAUUUGUUAUAACUGGAAUAGGUGCUAAACAGUUCUUUAGCUAGAAGGCUGAGAUGGCUAACUAAUUAUUCCACGUUAGCAAGAGCACUCAUGUAUGGUCCUCAUCCGUACUGUAAUUAUCAUACUCUGUAACAGUUCUUCUACAUCUUCUUGCUCUUCAGGACCAAGUGUACUUCGUGGGUCUAUAAUUGCUGCUUUGUCUAUCUAUUUGCAAUUCAAAGAAUUAAUUUAUUGGUCAUUUUUUUAGGAAAAAAGAUAACGAAACAUAGUUGUUUGGUAAAAUAGUCAUGUGAACUCUUUCUUCAAAACAUAUAUAAAAACAAACCUUGGAGAUCAGUAUUGUCUAUGUGAUAAUUUCUAAAAAUAAGAGGUCUAGCUGACAAUUUUUUCAAACCAUGGGAUGUUGGUAUAUACUCUUUAAGUAUGUACCUUAGUAAUUUGAUUCUAGGUGACAAGGGUAAUUCAUUUUCAUCAUCUUUACAGGAGAAUUGAUCUGCAAAAGAAGGAAAAUUUAGAUGCCUUUUCUUCAGGGCAGCUUUAAAAAGACAGAUUAUAGCAAAACCGUGAAUAAGAGGUAAUUGUUUACUAUGGUAAAAGGGAAUACCCGACAGCAACAAGGCCAAACUGCUCCCAUAACCAAUAUUGUGAACCUCAAAGUCCUCCGUCAUGUUUCCAGAUUAUUUGCAGGGAAUGCUGCAACUACAUUAUAACACCAGGCAAGCUGCAGCUAUACUUCUUUUUGAGCCUUUACUUAUUUCUCAUUUGGAUUUUUUGUUCUCCCUUCAUCACCAUGUGCUCUUAAUUGAUCGACAAGACAUGGUCCUAAAAGAGGCCCCAUUCCAAAGUCACCCACUGCUAACAAGAUCAUUCCUAUUACGUUGUGUACUUCAAAUUUAGUUUCUAAGAAUUUACUGGACGCUGUAUAAUACAAUAGCCUUAAUGCCUCCAACAACAAUAGUCGGAACUAAUUGUAUGGCAUAACAUUAUGAUCCUAAAUAUGCUUCUUAAUCAUUACUAUAGUUAGGAGCGGAACAAAAUUGAGAUUUAGGGGGCCAAGUGUAAUUAAGGUAAUUAUUUCAGGAUUAGAGAGUAUUAGUUAUUUUCUGGGGUUAGGGGAUGGGGUUCACGUUUAUGAAGCCACCAUAUAAAGAAAAACAACUAGUUUGAAAGUUGAAAUUACAAAUUUAUAUAGUGUGAGAUUAUUUCAACCUACUAAAAUAUAUGUUAUUUUAAAGACUAAUGAGCUUGCGGCUUUGAAAAGGUUGGAAUGUUAUUUGGUUGGAGAGGGACUCGGUUUCAACUUUAACUUGUCUUACGAGUACCAAAUUCAAGCCGUCGUAGCAUCUGCAUAUCAUAUAGUUGAAUUGUUUGAGAGCCUAAAAGUCAAAUAUUGUGGAUCAUAUCAAAUGCCAAAUGUUGGAUAAUCUUUUCCAAAUGUUGGAUAACAAGAAAAGGGUUGCACACAAGACCGCUGACUGAAAAUAGAAAUAAUUGGACAAAUAAAGCCCAAACCACAACUCAUCAUAAUCUUUGUGUUACUAAUGGAAGCUAAAAGCACCUGAGUUAUCAACUAUUCACAUUUUCUAUUAGAUACUGAUGCUUGAUACAUUCAUCAUGAUAUCCAGAAACAAUAAAAUUAAGCUAGUACAAAGAUAUCUAAAUGAAGAUGAUAAUAUCAUAGGCAAAAUAUGGUCCAAUUGAUUAGGAAAAUCAAGCUAAGGUAAUUUUUUUUUAUACUAAAUGCUUAAUUAAAAAGACAUCAUUAUAUGUUUUAUACAUGCACAAAUUGUCAUUUAUUUGAGGCAUGUCUAAUAUUUAGUAGAGUGACAAAUAUACUUGAAAAUGUAUAAAAAUUAUCAAAUAAUAUGUGAGAAAUAUAGUUAUUUUUGUUGUAAUAUUAAUGCAAUAAACUUUUAUUGUAUCAUAUCGGCAUGUUUAAAGAGGAAAAAAAAAACUCAGAGACUCAAAAAUUCCAAACUUUAAUGUGUAGCUGGCAUUUAUUUGUAGGCUCAAUUGAAGUACAGAAGUCACAAUUCCAAACAACAAACAAGCUAUCAUCACUAAUCCACCAAAUUGGAAAACAUCCUCAAUUAAAUUAACCACCGCGCCUUUCCAGCUUGAGUUUUUCCAAUGCUGAUAGUCCUUCUAUUGAGGAUUGGUUAUUGUAAAUAUCUUUUAAGGUAAUUUCAGGAUAGAGCGGAGGAUUUUCUUCGGAUAGCAACUCUUUAAUUGGACCAUAUUGUCUCGAGCAACUGUUGUUCAUAAAAAAACUUUCGAUUGAAAUUCUUGAGCCUUCCUUUUUUGAUAACACUCUGUGAUAGACACUUUUGAACUUGUCAUUGGUGAUUAGCUGCAUAAACACACAAUAAAAAAAUCCACUAUAAUUAAGUUACAUGAUGGAUUAAUAAUAGUCAAAGUGAUGCAUAACAUGUACUUGCCUGCAUCAUGUAACCGAAGUUUACAACUAGAGCUCCGGGAACAGGGGUAAUUACGAUAUGCAGUUUCCUAAUUUAACUCAUGCACGCUCGAGGCUUUUGUUUACCCUAGUUUUCAGUAUAAAAAGAGGCGCGCAUCACAUAAUACGGCGGCAAAGAAUUAUCAUUAGAAAAAUUGGAGAGAAAAAGAAGAAGAAGAUCAUAAUUCAAGGGAACAGCUGCAACAUCAUUGAAGAAUCCAGCAGAGUUAUUUGGAUUCACUUUUUGUCGUUCUCGACUUAUACCUUUCUUCUUUCUCUAACUAAUCUAAUGUAUCUCAUGAACAAUAUGUUGCUGAUUGUUUAUCUCUUUCAGAAUAUGAACUAAACUCGCUUGUAUUUGAGUGACAAACAAUCUAAUGGGUUCUUGACUGUUCUUAUGAGUUGCUAUGUCAUUGCUGUAGCAUUUUACUCUAGUAGCUAUUAUUAUAACUGUUAUUUCGGUUGACCACCCAUUUAAUGGUUCAAGUUAAGAUAGGACCAUAAAAGGGCAUGUCUUACUGGAUAUUAUUAUAGUAAUACUUGAUCUUAAUUUAAGUUUCCUAGAUUACGUUUAUCUUGAAUCCCAUAAGGGCUAUACUUAAAGUUAAGAUUUGUGAUAAACUAGACAUAAGUAUUCACCUUGUAGGGUGGAGAGAAUGGAUGUUCAUAAUAUCAUGCCAUAGGUAAAAUAGCAACUGGCCAUUGUUAAGAUGUUUACGGGUAUGAGACUUCCAAUAUGCGACAACUGAGGAUGCAAAUUAAAUUAUGUCCAGUGCUAUAGAAAUUAUUGUAGCAACUGGUGUUAACUUGAUGAAAAGCAGUUAACCCAUAAAAAGAGUUUGAUCAUUCAACUACCUUAUUCUCAUUUGAUUCUUCGACGCAUUUUAUUUAAUUUGUUUCAUUACUACAUUGUUUAACUUUAUUCUCUCACAAUUAUCAAUUUCAAUAGUAACCAACUUUACAUUUGUUAAUUUAGGAAUUAAGUUAGAUUACACUAUCAUGAUUGCUGUAGCAUUUCUAGUAAUAUCAAUCCUUGUGAAGACGAUCUUAAAUAUUCAUCACUUUAUUACUUGUUCUGUACACUUGCACAUUGACAUAAAUAAAAUUUGAUAAAAAAUACCAACAAUGAGAUAGGGGUAAACUUCAGGAUGUGCUGCGCUUUUUAAUUGUUGUGUAGAUUCUUUUGAUUCCUAUCUCUAGUGGAGAACCAGAUGUGAUUUUGUGAGACCUUUCUCCUGAUGGUAGUUUUUCUUUGAGGACUGCUUCAAAUAUUGUGCAUUGGACAAUGCCAAGUGAUGAGGCUUUUUUUGUUAUUUGACAGCGACAUCUUUUCCUGGAUAUCUUUUUUUCUCUAGAGGUUGUGACACAAAUUCUUGACCACAGAUGAUGCCUCGUGUUCGGGGGAUUUCUGCAUAGUUUCUUAGUAUCUUUGUGGUCGGGCUUAUGAGACUUCUAGGUAUUUUCUUUCUUGGUUGCCCUCGAGUUAGGCCAGUUUGGGUCCAUUUUCUAUGUACUCUUGGUUUGCGCUAUGUUGCUUUUCUAUUCCCCCGCACUUUAUUUUUUAAUUGGUAGUGAUGUGCCCUUUCUUGGAGCCAUAUUCGAGUUCUUCUUCCUUGUUUCAUUUUGUGGCGAGUUUAGAAGGCCUGUAAUGCAUUGAAGUUUGACUCAAUGGCCUUUUUUGUUGAUGCUGUUAUUUAUUGGGCAAUGUUGGAUCUUAGGCUUGCUGGUUCUGCCUUUGGUCUUAAACCAUCCCAACUGUGAGGAGUUCUAGGUUCUCGAUUUGCAAAGUUCUUGAGAGUUGUUGUUUCAUCCAAGAGGCUGAUUCUUUUAGUUUUUUGGCAGUGGUCACCACCUGGGGCGGUGAAGCUGACUAUUGAUGGUUGCUUUAGGAGUAAUCCUAGGAUGGCUGCUUCAGAUAGUAUUUUACGUGAUGAUUAGGGUGUGGCUUUGGCUGCUUUUGGUUCCUUCCUUGGGCGCUCACUGAUCUUUCAUGCAGAAUUCAUGGCUGUUUUUUAGGGGUUAGAGUUGGUGCUCAGCUCCAUUAUUCUGUGCUUGACGUAGAGUUGGACUCAACCAUGGUGGCUUCUUGGAUUCUUUUCUAAGGCCUUGUUCAUAUGGACUAUACCUAUUCUUUGCAUCGGGUGUGUAGUUUGACAUUUUCUUCUACUUCGUGGUUAGUCAUGUGCUUCAGAAGGUUACUUCUACUGCUGAUUUCUUUGGCCUGCACUCUUCAAGGUCAUUUGUGUUUCUUGGGUUCUCAAGAUAUAUUUGCUAGCUUAUCUAAUAAUCUCUGUUUGGAUAUGUGGGUAAUUUCUCGUAUCAGGCAAUAGGAUUGCUUAUUUAUGUAUUCCAUUUUUUAUCUUGUAUUUUUCUCUUUUCCAUUCUUAUGUUCUUGCAAUUGCGGUUUUGAUUUAUAUUCACCUCCUUAUGUAUUUGAUUCAUUCUAUGAUUUAUAUGAAAGAUAGGAGUUCCACCUAACCCCACCUUUUUGUGGUUAAAAAAAAAAAGAUCAGGAAUUCAACCUAGAUCAUCAAGGUGAAACAUCAAAUAGGUUGUAAAUUUAACAUAUGAACGUAAAAGCUUAACAAAACAUUUGAAGUUGCUUGACAACAUAGAAAUACAAGCAAAAAGAGAUGCUAAACAACACAAAAUUUUGAUUGGGUGGGAGUAUUGUUCAUGCUAGCAUAAUAAUGAGGUGCUUGAGAAUACCUAAGACUUUCUUGAUAAAUAAUAUCAUCUAAAAGGUUAGGAAUCAUAGAUAAUUGUCCACGUAUGAACAAACCUAGCUCAAAAUGUGAAAUGUGUUAAGAUUUUCAAACAUUUAAAUCAAUAGUUAAUAAUUUCAGACAAAGGAUUCUUGGAGACCUUAAAGUUCACUGAUUCUAUCUUAUGGCUCAUUGUCUCUCUCAACAAUUUAAUUUCUAGAUUAUUUGGCUCCUAUCUAUUAAAAGACAACACCGUUACUAAAAUUAUAAAUUAUAACAGUUAAACCUAAACCUACGUCGUUUAGCAAUUUACGAAAGAAAAAAAUAUAACAAAAGCCAAUUGUUGGAGUAGCAACGUGCCAACGAGAAAACCUCAAGCCAUGUAAUAUCAUGUGUCAACAACUAAAGAAGAACAAACCACCACCCUCUAGGUCGUCGCUGCACUAACGCUGGGCCCGAUUUGAAUAGUUAGAAGUUGUAACAUUAAUUAGGGAAUGAGGGCAAAAUUUUGGACUUCGAUUUAAUAAAAUUGAUUUAAAUGAGUCCCAAUAGAAAUAUGAUUAUAAAUAUAUCAAUACAAUUAUGACAUGUUUAAAAGAAAAAAAUUAUUUUCACACAAAACAAAAAACACAACCCUUGGAUGUGGGAUGUGUCUAAAAAAUAAUAGGGUGGAAAUAUUAUCACCCUCAAAUUAGAUAUAUAAAUAUUUAAUGUUUUACUCUUAUAAUUUUAUAAUUGUUUUUUUAAAUAUUAGUAAGAGAAAGAUAGAAAUUAAUAUAUAGACAAAUCGAGUCCUUUAUUUUAUUAUUCAUAUCCAUAAAAAGUAACCACUAUGCUAGUCCCACGAACUUAGCAUAAGACGGUAAUUUAGAAAAAAGAAAAAAAAAGGAACGUUUUAGACACCAAAACAAAAGCAAAACAAGCACAAAGCGAGACAUACAAACAAAUUUUAUGCUACUGCAUAGGGGUGUUCGCGGAUCGGAUUUUAUGGAUAUGAUAUCAAUCCAUAUCCGAUCCAUGAUUUUGCAGAUUAUAAUUUUUCAAUCCAAUCCAAUACACAGAUUGAUAAAAUUCAAUCCAAAUCCAAUCCAUACAUCUGCGGAUCGGAUGCGGAUUUGACUCAAUCCAUAUGCAAUCCACCAUUUUGCGCAUUAGUUUUCGAAUUAAAAAUUUUUAGUUCUCUCCAACUAAUGAAAUAAAAAAAAUCUAAUAUAAAAAUAAUUUUGCUACUAAUUAAAUUUAAAAUUGAAUAAAAUUUAAAUAAAUUAAUUGUUUAAAUAAAGCUAAAAUAAUAUAUUUAAAGUUUUAAAAUAUAACACAUCGAGACUAAUUAUUCAAAUAAAGCUACAAUAAUACGUUCAAAGUUUCAAAAUAUAACACACAAAGCUUAAUUGUUCAAAUAAAGUUACAAUAAUACGUUAAUAUAACACCGAAAUUAAUUGUUCAAAUAAAGCCACAAUUAAUUGAAAAUGGCGAAGUUUUGGAAACCAAACACAGUUUGAUCCUUCACCAGGGCUGUUGUGCCUGUCGAAAAGUGGUGAUUACGGAGCCAUCCACGAUGGGAACCAGGAGAAGCCGUACGGGUGGCGAUUUUGAAGGUUGUGAUUGUGAAAUUGUUCAAUUGGAACCAAUGAAUGUGAAGUGGCUCGAUGGACUUGGGAAAGAAGAUGGCUUGCUCUCGCCAGAAUCGUGCAGCCGAUGUCCUUUAAAUCCGUGUCGAGAGUGUAUCCAACCAGUAUUAAGUGUUGUUAGUGUGUAUGACGGCGGGAAAGUUUAGGGUUUUUUGUUUGUAAAUUGGUUGUAACUUUACGUUAUGUUACUUUGCUUUUGCUAGUGCGUGUGACUUUGCUUUUAUUUUGUUUUACAAUUUUUACAAGUUAUAUUUGUAUAUUUGAUUAUUUAAUUAUUUUUCAUUUUAUAUUAUUAUUAGGUAAUGGCUAAGAUAUGUUAUAAUGUUUAGUAACUAUGUAAUGUCAUAUUUAUAAUUUUUUAAUUAUAUAUAUAUAUAUAUAUUUUGCGGAUUCAUGGAUUUCUGCGGAUUUACAGAAGUAAAUCCAUAUCUAAUCCAUCGACUGCGGAUUUUUAAAUUUUCAAUCCAUAUCCAAUCCACCAAUCCACGGAUCGGAUUUAUACGGAUCAGACGGAUUGAGGGGAUCGGAUUGGAUUCUGAACACCCCUACUACUGCAUUCAAGCAGAAGCCACCAAUUGUUCACGACGGCGUUUGAAAACAACCAACAUUUCAUCCUGAUUGGGAAGGUUUUCUUCAAUUAUAGGGACUUGCUUGAAAGUUUCAAGCCAGGCAUGCAAGCGAGGGAAUUUGUGUGAUACAAAUAUUUUAACUCCUACUACAUCUUCAAUGACUUGCAACCAAUAAACAAUUGAACCAAAUGCUAGGUCCACUAAGCCAAUAUUGUCUCCGUUGAAAAAUUUCUUCUCUCCCAAGCCAUGCUCUUCAACGUUUUGUAGCAUUUCCAAGGCUUCCUUCGCUGUGUUUUGUAGUUCUUGUCCAGUGCUACGAAACAUUUUCCAAAUGGCAACACCCUGCCACAAAUAUUUUUACAUCAGAUUUUAUCACCGACAUGAUUAAUUAAUAAUAUGUAUAUAAAAGCGAAAAAUCGUUAGACGAUAUGUACACGUGUCACAAUAUCCUUAAAUUAGAGGUUUAAUAAGUUAAUUAAGAGAGUUCAACCACUGAGUUGUAAAAUCUGUCAUUAGCUAGUAAAUUCACUUUUUCCCAAUGCUUCAAAAGUCAUCAAAUUCCCCGUGAAGUUAAAAACGGUUGUGUUAACUUUAACUUAUUACAACUUUUCAUAUUUUAGGAUAAAACAGUGAAGACACCAGAAAUUAACAGUUUAGAGAACGUUUAACAAAUAAAUAUGAAAAAGACCCCUGGGUGGCUGGGCUCGACUGGCUAUGAAUUCACUUUCACUUUGCGCCAUCACCCGAGUUCGAGUACAUAUAGAGAAUAAGAGUUGCUGUUUGGCGGGUGGAUUUUCUUAUCCUCGUCACCUCAUCUAGAUCUUAAAAUAAAUCAAUAAAUAAACAAAUUUGAAAAGAAUGAACUUAAUCAUAAACGUGUUUGCCAGAGUUGUGAGCGAACCUUGUCUUCAGCGAAUUUGAUCCAGAAUCAAGCAAGAGCCCUAUCAUAAGGAUUAUUUGGCAUCAAGGAGGGAUUCUGUGGCCACGUCUCUUCAAUGUAUUGUAGAAUAACCAUGGACUCACAAACUGGUUUUCCGCCAUGGACGAGCACUGGGAUCUUCUUGUGAACUGGAUUAUACUUCAAAAGCAAUGCACUUUUGUUUGAGAGAUCUUCGGAAACAAAUUCAUAUGGCACGCCUUUCAAUUUCAGAGCCCAAAUCGCCCUGUAAACAAAUGGACUCGGCAGGGCCCCAUGAAGCUUCACUGCAGCCAUGAUAAUUCUAAGAUUGAAUUUGAAUUAUCGGUUUUUCUGAUCGAUGUUGUGUAUGGCUGUUAACUCAUUACAUAUGUUUCUGAAUUUAUAGUGAUUUAUGGAAUGCACUUUCUUGAGCAGAAAGCUUCAAUUUUCCAUUAAUAAAACGAUUAAUGAUGAAUUCAAAGAACUAGUGCAAUGACUUUAAUUAAAUAUUUUUUUACGUUGUGUGCAACCGCUUUUUGAGGUUAAUAUAAAGGAUAUUAUUUUCUCCUGAUCAAAACUUUUAUAUAAAAAAAUAUAAUUAUGUAAUUGGUAGUUAUUAAGUAGAAAUAAAAUAAAAAAUAAAUUUUGACCGUAAAUAAAUAAAAGUUCAUAUAUGUUAUAAAGAUUUUUUAAAACUCAAAUAAGUGCACCCAAUUCCUAAUUUAAAACGCUAGCCAAUGAGAUCAAUAAUUUGGUCAACCAGUCAGAGAUAACCAUACAAUAAUUAAUCAAAAAUUUGCCAUUUGUUUUACAUUUAAGACCUUUGCGUCAUGCAUGAUGAUCAAUUGAUCAUGGAUCAAUUAGUCAACAAGACAUUUGCCUUUUGUGAAUGUGUUCACAUUGGACGCAAAUAUAAUUUGUUAUAAAAAAAUUGGACUAAAUUAUUUUUUAAUAUUUUUUUAAAAAUAAUACAUCUGAUCCUCGAGGGCCUGUUAUUUAGUUCGUGAAUCUUAUAACAGGACCCAUGAUUUAUUUAUUUUUUAAAUCUUAUGGGUCCCCUAUUAUUUAAUUUGUGGAAUUGACGGAGGUAACUUACAGUUUCAUUUUUGUAAUUUACAGCUUUCAAUAAAUUCAGAUAAUAUUAGGCGGUAAAAGUAGGCCAGGCUGGAGGAGUAGAUCUAUAAAAUUUGCAAGCACUUUGCACUGUCUGUUUGGUGCCCAGAAACACACAUAUUUAUCAUCCACUUUUUAUUUAACGCUGGGUUUUUUUCGACCCAUAAUAAUUUCUCUUUGCACAUCAACUUUUUAAUAAAAACUUUUAUUGUCAAUAAAUUGUUAGUAAUUACUUCACUAAUCCUCCUUUUUUUUUUGGGCCAAUUUCUCUUUCGCAACUGACAAAAUUUAAUUCACAUCAUGUGAUAGUAUGAUUGCAAAUAAAUUUGAAGUUAUCUCUCGAAAGUUGUUCACAUAUCUUGUGUAUAGAACUAAAGAACAAUAGCAAAACCACUAUCCUCUAGCCGAUCGCUGCUAUUAGGACGGCAAAAUUAGUUGUAAAUAUGUAAAUUUGUCUAAACCCAUCUACAAAAAUCUGUCCACUGCCAAUAAUUUUGUAGGUUGCGAAUAAGUUUGAUAUUUUAAAUUUAAGUUCGUUGCAGGUUACAGAUGGAUUUAGUAUUGAAAAAAAAUUGGCGGGUAUCUGCCGACUAGCAUUUUUUUAAUUAUUUAUGUUUUUAAUUUUAAUCACAAAGAUUGUCUUUAAAAAAUUAAUCAAAAAAUAUAGUAGUUAAAGUUAUUACUCUAAUCUUCCAAAUUCCUAAACCUAACCUAACUCAUGACAGUUGCACACCCUACUCCUUCAAGUAUGUAUGUAUGUAAAUGUAUACACACGCACACACACACAAAAUAAGCUUUUAAUAAGUAGAUUUAGUAUUUUUGAAGUUUAAUAUUAAUGAUAUGUUAAUUUAAUUAAAUUACUUUUGUUUGUUUCUCUUUAAUGACUUGAACUUAGUGAUUGCUGGCUAAGAUUUGAUUUUUAUUUAUCUAAUUAAUGGUCAAUAGUUGUCCAAAAUAUAUUUGUUAUUAUUAUUGACAAUACUUAUAUAUUGACUAAAAGAUAGAGUAAGGCAUUAAUUUUAGUAAUAAUUAUUUGCCUACAACAAAAAUAUUUUGUGUUAGAAUGAUAUAUUUUGUGUAUUUGUUUUAAUAUUGAAACUUUAAUUUCUCUUUUACAUUGAUGAAAUCUAAAGUUGAGUAGUUUAUGUAGAUUUUUUAGUCUGUUACUAUAAAGUUAUAUUUUGAAUUAUAUAAUUUAAAUUAUUAAAUAUAAUUUUUUAAUAUUUAUGAUUUUAAAUAUAAAAAUUUAUUAAAAAAAACUACUACAUGUUAUGGGUGGAUUUGCUAAUUAUUAAAAAUUAUAGCGAACGAACUAAAAAAAAAAGAAGCAACCGGUUACGGGCGAAUUUAAUAAUGGCAAACUCAUAAUAAGCGAUACCAUUACCAUCGGCAGCUUCUAUAACGCAGGGCCGGGGGCGGUCUUGAAUUGUUAGAAGUUGUAACAUUAAUUAGCAAACUUUUCAGCGGCAUCCCUGAAGUUUAGCAUAGAGUUAGAUAUAUCCCCUUGUUUUCAAAAUUAGUCUCUGAUUCCCAUGUUGUUUACUUUAUUAUUUUUUGUUUUCAUUUCAAUUGGAUUUAUAACUUCGUAAUGUUGCGCCUUGUAAAAUGUAUGCUUAAAACGCGUGCUUCUUAUUUUUUAUAUACUGCUAAGAGAAUUUGAGAAUAGAAAUAUAUAAAAUGGUGUCUCAUUUAUUAAUUAUUUAUAUCCUCUAAAUAGCACCUAACAUGCAGCUCACUUCAAUGGUAAAAUUAAUUAAACAAAAUAAAAAAAAGCAUUUUUAACACCAGUACAAAAACAUAACAAGUGUAAAAGAAGACUCAUUAACUUAUUUUAUGAUAUUAAAUUCACGCAGAUACCACCAAUGUUUCUCGACCAUGUUUGAAAGAGACCACCAACUCAUGCUGACUUGGAAGAUUUUCUUUAAGUAUAUAAGUGAAAGUUAUUACUCUAGUCUUCAAAAUUCUUAAACCUAAUCUAACUCAUUACAGCUGCAUGCCUUGCUCCUUUUAUUAUAUGUAUAUAUUUUAAGAUGAAUACAAUAACUUUUUAAUAAGAAGAAUUUUAUACUUUUCAAGCUUAAUAUUAACGAUAUUUUAUUUUAUUUUAAUUACUUUGAAUUGUUUUGGUUUAAUGACUUGAACAUAUUGAUUGUUUGCUAAAGUUGAAUUUUUAUUUGUCUAAUUAAUUGACGAUAGCAAUUGUAUAAAAUUUACUUAAAAAGAUAAAAUCUUAGUAGAUUACAGAAAGAUUUAGUAAUGACAAACAUGUAGCAGCCAAUACACAUUACCAUCCCCAACGGCUGUAAUAUGGCCAUGGGCAGUCUUAAUUGUUAGAAGGUGCAAAAUUAAUUAGUAAAAUGUUCAGCGGUAUCCUUGAAUUUUAGCAUAGAAUUAGAUAUAUCCCCUAGUUUUCAAAAUUUGUUUUUGAUUCCCCUAUUGUUUAAUUUAUAUAUAUAUAUAUAUAUUUAUUUCACUUGGAUAUAUAACUUUGUAAUGUUGCGCCAUAUAAAAUGUAUGCUUAAAAUGCAUGCUUAUUACUUUUUAUAUGUUGUUAAGAGAAAUUGAGAAUAGAAAUAUGUAAAAUGGAGUUUCAUUUAUUAAUUAUUUAUAUCCAUUAAAUAGCACCCAACGUGCAGUUCGUCUCAAUAGUAAAAUUAAUUAAACAAAGCAGAAAGAUUUGCUUUAGCAUCAGUAAAAAAAAAAAAAAAAGCACAAAGCGAGAAUCACAAACUUAUUUUAUGAUAUUACAUUCACGCAGAUGUCACCAAUAUUUCCCGAUGACGUUUGAAAGCGAUCACCAUCUCAUGCUGAUUUGGAAGAUUUUCUUCAAUUACAGAGACUUUCCUGAAAUUUUCAAACCACUUAUGCAAGCUUGGGAAUUUGUGAGAUUCAAAUAGUUUCAUUGUUAUAGUGCAAUUUAUGCACUAGUUUUGCAUUGUUUACUUCCCUUAAUAUCGAUGUUUUGCACUUAAUAAUAGUGAUUUACUUGUGUUUUACUUUUGUAGGUGCAAUUCUAUUGAUUUGUGAUAAAAUUGAGCUAUAAGAUGAUGUUUAAAGAUGAUUGUUCUCUUGGAGAAAUUUAGGGCGUCAGAAGAACUUUGUUGACAAGGCGUGGGCGCGUACUGUCAACUGCGGACCUGCAAUUUUUAGUUUAACGUGUUUUGUAUUUUUGGUUAUUUUUGUAAUUAUGAAUUUAAUAUUUCAGAUAUUAGUAUUUUAUUUUAAAUAGAACUCUAAAAGAGAAAAGAGAGAGAGUAUUUAAGGGAGGAAUCUAUUGUGAAAACGAAGAGAUUGGGGGAAAAAGAAAGAAACCCUAGAUCUAAACUUUUCUCUUCUCUCUAUGAAGAACUAAACUUAUUUUUCUGGUUGAAGGUUAAUAAAGCUUUGAUUCAUCACUACUGCGAGAUCUUUCUUAUGCUUUAAUUGUUUUAUUACUUUUUGGGUAUUUUUUUUAUUUUCUGAAUUAUUAUUAUGAUUAUGUUUGUUAAUUAGAUAAUUGGCCACUAUUUAAAUAUCAACUUAAUCUAUUGUCAAUUAAAUGAUUUAUCGUAUGAAGAUUUUAAUGUUUGUGACAAAUAACAUAGCAGAGAGUUGUGUUGUGAGAAUAAACAAUCUAAUUUAAAUGAACCAUCGUAUGUGUUUGUUGAUUAGGAUUUGGGUCUCUCUGGUUUUUCAGGCUGUCAAUUGAUUAAAUCCUAUGAUCGUAUCUAGGGUUGUCUAUUGAUUAGGGAAAUAACCAACGGUCGUACCUUGGUUAUCGACUAGUUAAGGAGAGAUUGGCUAUUAGAGGGUCUCAGUAGCUAUAACCGGUCUAUUCAUAAGAAAUAAUAAUUUAUAUUUGAAUCAAUGAUCAGUAGUCGAAUCAAGCUGAGUUAAUUCCUUCAACCAGAGCUUUCUCCAAUUUGAAUUACAACUUUAAUUUGCAUUCUUGUUAUUUUAAUUUGAUUUUUAUUAUUGUCAACAAAACCCCCAUUUUAUGUUUUACGUUUCAAAAGGAUUUAAAUAAUUACCGAUCUCUGUGGACACGACCCUAUUCAAUCACUGUACACAAUUUAUUUAGAGUAAGUAUUUAUUUUUGUUGGCUUCGACAACCAUAAAAUUUUGGCGCCGUUGCUGGGGAUUGGUGUCAUUUAUUUAAUCCUUUUUACGUUUUACUUGGUGUAUGGUUCGUUCUUCUCGUACAGGUACACUUUCGUUUGAUCCUGAAAUUGAGAAGACAGCUCGCCAGCUAAGACAGCAGACGAAGCUAGCUAAGUAACGAUCCUCGUCGCCUUUGAUUUCUGAAACAGAUACGGUGCCUGAUUUGGUUGAAUCAUCUAGCGAUUCAGAAGAACAAGUGAUGGAUAGAUUUGCACCUGUAGAAAGAACUCUUAGAGAGUUAGUUGAACCAGACUUGAAUCAGCAGCCACUCUGCAUUCAAUAUGUAGACUUAGAGGUAAAUUUUGAAUUAAAGUCUGGUCUCAUUCAUUUAUUACCCAAGUUUUAUGGUUUUGCAGGUGAAGAUCCUCAUAAACAUUUCAAGGAGUUUCAUGUUGUAUGUUCAAGUAUGAGACCACAAGGCGUGACUGAAGAGCAGAUUAAGCUGCGUGCUUUUCCUUUCUCUUUAGAUGACUAGCUAAAGACUGGUUGUACUACUUGCCUCCUGGAUCGAUUACAACGUGGAAUGGUUUGAACAAGCAGUUCCUUGAGAAGUACUUUCCUGCUUCAAGAGCUGCCAACAUCAGAAAAGAUAUUUGUGGGAUCAGACAACUUCCUGGGGAGACUUUGUAUGAGUAUUGAGAGCAAUUCAAACAAUUGUGUGCCAGCUGUCCUCAGCAUCAGAUUUCUGAUCAACUUCUUAUUCAGUAUGUUUACGAAAGACUAUCAUUAAUGGAGAGGAGUAUGAUAGAUGCUGCUAGUGGAGGCGUGUUGGUGAACAAGACCCCUACUCAAGCAAGGGAGUUGAUCUCAAAUAUGGCUGCCAAUGCACAACAAUUUGGCAGUAGGCAAGAUCCCACUUCAAGGAAGGUGAAUGAGGUAAAUAUUUCUUCUGUUAAACAACGUUUAGAUAAACUUACUUCUUUUGUGGAAAAGUUUGUUGUAGGUAAUGUGCAAUAGGUAAAGACUUGUGGCAUCUGUUACAAUAUGGGUCAUUCAACUGAUAUGUGUCCUACGCUUCAAGAAGAACCCGUUGAACAAGCCAAUGCAGUUGGAGGAUUUCCAGGCAUGCCUCAGAGGAGGUAUGAUCCUUAUACACAAACAUACAAUCCGGGGCGGAAGGAUCAUCCCAACUUCAGCUAUGGAGUUAGGCCGUCAGGAUUCCCAUAACAGUAUCCACCAAGAUAACUAGCACCUCCACAGUCAAACUCCAAGUCAGGUAUAUCUCUUGAAGAAAUUGUUAAAUCACUUGCGACUAACGCUCAACAAUUUCAACAGGCAACUACAACAAGCAUUCAGAAUUUGGAGAGCCAAGUGAGUCAAUUGGCAACUACGAUGAGCCGUCUAGAGUCUCAAGUAUUAGAGAGAUUGCCUUUACAAUCUGAGGUGAAUCCCAAGCAAAACGCUAGUGCCGUCAUCCUUAGAAGUGGGAAUGAGUUGUAAGAGCUUAGUAAGAAAGUGACAGAGCAUGUAGAACCUGAGCUUGAAAAGAAUGAAUUGAUGCCUAAAUCUCAAUAUACGCAACCCACCAGAGCGAAACCCCUACCUAUUGUGAUACCUCCUCAUUUUCCAAGCCGGUUUGCAAAAUCUAAGAAGGAGGAACAAGUGAAAGACAUCCAUGAGACAUUUCGCAAGGUUGAGGUAAAUAUUCCCUUAUUAGAUGCUAUAAAACAAAUACCUUGAUAUGCUAAAUUCCUUAAGGAACUGUGCACCUCUAAGAGAAAAUUAAGAGGAAAUGAAAGAGUUCACAUGGGGGAGAAUGUUUCAGCAGUUCUCCUAAGUGCAAGGAUCUAGGUAUGUUUACUAUCCCUAGCAAAAUUGGUAGUGUUAGAGUUGAGAAGGCUAUGUUAGAUCUAGGAGCUUCUAUUAAUGUCAUGCCUCGUUCUAUUUGUUCGUAUUUGAAUGUUGGUGCAUUAAAAGAAACUGGCGUGAUAAUUCAAUUAGCUGAUAGGUCUAAUGCAUAUCCUGAUGGGGUAUUAAAAGAUGUCUUAAUACAAGUUAAUGAGUUAGUUUUUCCUGCUGAUUUUUAUGUACUUGAUAUGGAAGAGGAUAACUCCUCUAAUUCUGUCCCAAUUUUGCUAGGAAGACCUUUUCUUAAGACUGCUAGAACUAAAAUGGAUGUACAUAAAGGGACUCUUACUAUAGAGUUUGAUGAAGAGGUUAUAGAGUUCAAUAUGUAUGAUGCCAUGAAAUAUCCCAGUGAGGAACAUUCGGUAUUUUCUAUGGAUGUUAUUAACCCUAUAGUGCAGGAAGUUUUUUAUUUGGAUGUUAAAGAUUCAUUGGUAGCUGCUUUAAAUAACAGUUUGGACCUCAAAGGAUUGCAAAAGGAUGAAAAUGAGUUUGUUUUAAAUUUUGUAUUGCAAGAGAUAAUUUAUUAAUUAAAUUCUUUGAGAACUUUAACUCAUCAUAUGUCUAAUAUUGAAUUACCUUAAUCUCAUGCAAAACUUCUUCCAUCUAUUUUGCAGGCACCGAAAAUAGAGCUUAAACCAUUGCCGAGUCAUCUAAAGUACAUGUUUCUAGGAGAUGAUGAGACACUUCCGGUGAUCAUCUCUUCAAAGCUUAGUACUUUAGAGGAAGAGAAACUUAUUAGAGUGCUGAAGGAUUACAAAAAGGCUAUUGGGUGGACAAUUGCAGAUAUUAAAGGGAUAAGUCCGUCCACGUGCAUGCAUAGAAUACUGCUGGAGGAAGAUGCCAAACCUUCAAUUCAAGCUCAACGUCAUUUGAAUCCACUCAUGAUGGAAGUAGUGAAGAAAUAAAUUCUAAAACUUCUUGAGGCAGGUAUAAUCUAUCCAAUUUCAGAUAGCAAAUGGGUAAGUCCGGUACAAGUGGUACCGAAGAAAGCUGGUAUAACAAUUGUUGAGAAUUCUUAUAGUGAGUUAGUACCUACCCGAGUUUAGAAUGGGUGGAGGGUUUGUAUUGAUUUUAGAAAGCUUAAUUCACUCAGUAGGAAGGAUAAUUUUCCUAUUCCUUUUAUUGAUCAGAUGCUUGAAAGGUUGGCAGGAAAAUCUCACUUUUGUUGUCUUGAUGGCUAUUUAGGUUUUCAUCAGAUACCAGUUGCGCCUGAGGAUCAGGAGAAGACUACCUUCACAUGUCCUUUUGGAACCUUUGCGUACCGACGUAUGCCAUUUGGUCUUUGUAACGCUCUCGCCACUUUUCAAAGGUGCAUGGUCAGUAUUUUUUCAGACUAUGUAGAAAACACUAUAGAGGUAUUUAUGGACGAUUUUACGAUCUAUGCUGAUUCUUUCGAUGAUUGUCUCUAUAAUCUGAAGAAAGUACUUGAAAGAUGCAUUGAAACAAACCUUGUCUUAAAUUAUGAAAAAUGUCAUUUUAUGGUAGAUCAAGGCAUUAUUUUGGGUCAUGUAGUCUCUGCUAGAGGCAUUGCGAUAGAUAAAGCUAAGAUAGAUGUUAUUAAAUCUUUACCUUAUCCCACAUGUGUGCGGGAAGUUCGUUCUUUCCUUGGUCACGCAGGUUUCUAUAGACGAUUUAUCAAUGAUUUUUUAAAGAUAGCUUAGCCUUUAUGCAAGCUUCUUCAGAAAGAUGUGACGUUUGAUUUUAAUGAAGCAUGCAAGGUAGCCUUUGAUAAGCUCAAAGAGUUAUUGACUUCAGCUCCAAUUAUACAGCCACCCGACUGGAGCCUCCCUUUUGAGAUAAUGUGCGACGCCAGUAAUUAUGCUGUUGGUGCUGUUCUCGGACAAAGGGUUGGAAGAGCUGCUCACGUGAUAUAUUACACAUCAAGAACACUUGAUAGUGCUCAGUGUAAUUACUCAACAACGGAAAAAGAACUUUUAGCUAUUGUUUUUGCUUUAAAAAAAUUCCGCUCAUAUUUGUUGGGUACUAAAGUGAUUUUUUUUUUCUGACCAUGCAGCUCUCAGAUAUUUACUCGCCAAGAUGGAAGCGAAACCGAGACUUAUCCGCUGGAUCCUACUACUUCAAGAGUUCAACUUGGAGAUCCGUAACAAGAAAGGAACAGAAAACUUAGUUGCAGACCACCUUAGUAGAUUUACCACGUGUGAAGAAGCAACACCUUUGAAGGAUGAUUUUCCAGAUGAGCAUCUCUUUGUAACUAAAGGUAUGGUUCCUUGGUAUGCUGACAUUGUCAAUUACUUAGUUACAAGAACACUACCUAGUGAUCUGACGAGGUCUCAAAAAGAUAAAAUUAAGAACGAUGCUAAAUACUAUGUUUGGGAUGACCUUUACUUGUGGAAACAUUGCUCUGACCAAGUCAUCAAAAGGUGUGUGUCUGAGUUUGAAAUUCCUUCUAUUCUUCAGUUUUGUCACUCAUAUGCAUGUGGUGGUCAUUUUGGUCCUAAAAGGAUAGCAUCCAAUGUGUUAGAAUGUGGUUUAUUUUGGCCUACUUUAUUUCGUGAUUCAUACAUAUUUUGUAAGUCGUGUGAGAAUUGUCAAAAGACUGGUAAUUUAAGUCAUAGAAAUCAAAUGCCACUUACCCCUAUUCUUGUGUGAAAUAUUCGAUGUGUGGGACAUUGAUUUUAUGGGACCUUUUCCUUCAUCUGUUGGCAAUGCUUACAUUCUUUUAGCAGUGGAUUACGUUUCUAAGUGGGUAGAGGCUAAGGCCACCCGGACUGACAAUGCUAAAGUUGUUGUAGAUUUUGUCAAGUAUAAUAUUUUAGCCAAGUUUGGUGUACCAAGAGCGGUGAUAAGUGAUAGAGGCACUCAUUUCUGUAAUUGAGUGGUGGAGGUUUUGUUCAAAAGAUAUCAUGUUACUCACCGAGUGUCUACCGCCUAUCAUCCACAGACAAGUGGACAAGCUGAGAUAUCAAACAGAGAAAUCAAGUUUAUUCUUGAAAAGACAGUUAGUCUAAAUCAAAAGGAUUGGAGUUUGCAAUUAGAUGAUGCAUUAUGGGCGUAUCGCACCACAAUUAUUGUAACAAUGCCGAAGAGGAAAGCAUUAACUUCCAAGUCAUCUAAAAAGACACCCGUCGCAAAAAAAUCCAAGAUUGCCGCUCCCACUACGGUUCCAUGGAACACAGUUUCAGAUUUACGCCAAGCCGUAAGACAAAGAUCGAAACAUGGAAAAGGCAUGAGUGUUUUGCCACUUGCGGAAUCCAAUCUCGGAGGGUGCCUCGCAUUCGCGACUCAACAAGAGAAAAAGAGGUACAAAGAUAUUUCCAUGCGCAAAAUACUUCCAGCUAAGUAUAUUCAUUACCCGACUCUUGAAAAAUUGAAUGUUAAGGAUAAUUUUGAUUCUUUGAUAGAUAAGAUUGGGUUGCGUAAGUUUGUUGAUGUUGAUUGUUUGGGUUAUGUUGAGUUGAUUAGGGAGUUUUAUGCGACUUUUCAAUUUAAUAUACCGAAUGAUUUUACUUUGCAUAUCCCGGAUGUCAUAAAGUUUAGGUUAAUAGGACGAAAUUUUUCACACUCUAUCACGGAUUUUAACCUAGCUUUAGGAUUCAUUGAUGAUGAUUAUUCUUUUAGUGAUGCAUAUUUAGGAACAACUUGUGACUUUAGCGAAAAUUUUGAGCCUUAUGGUCUUUAGCGUAAUUUAUUUGUUGAUCACAAUGCCUAUGACCCGAGUAAAUCAAAGAGUUCUUUCUUACGUGAUCCUGUUUUGAAAUGUGUGCAUCGAUUCUUAGCAUAUAAUUUUUUAGGAAAGAAAGAUCACUUAGUAGUUUUCUCUAAAACUGAAUUUUAUUUUAUCUGGUGCAUGUUAAAUGAUGUGAGGCCUAAUUUAGGUUUUUGGUUAGCGGAUCAAUUUCAAAGUGUGCUUAAACGGUAUAGGACUUUAUUUCUUGGUCCAUACAUUACUCUGUUAGCUAUAAACCUAUGUGUGCUUGAUCCUAACAAUAAUGAUUUGCAUCCUGCUUGCAAAAAGGAAUUUUUGGAUAUGUCUGUGUUUGAAAAAACAGGUGUGGUCGAAUUCAAGGAGGGGAGAUUUCAGUUUACUGAACCAGGACCCACUCAACCUCCAAAGAAGCUUUAUGCUAGGAGUGGUGCUACCUCUGAUGACGAGUUUGACGACGACACUGCUGCCCUGCCAACUAUUCAUUCUACAUCAGCACCACCUUUGAGCAUUCAGUUAGAGAAAAUGAAGCACAAGCUAAACAAGAUGGAGCAGAAUUUGGCCGCAUACUUCGAGAGUGUGGGAUUUAUCUCACCAUUUCCGCCAAGCCCAUAGAUGUUAUGUGGAUCAAAGUUCACAAUUCAGGGAAGUUUUUUUUUGCCUUUAAUCUUUUAUCUUUACGCUUUAAUUUUUAUGUGAGCUUUGAUUAUCUUACAUUAGGGACAAUGUAAGUUCUUGGUGUGGGGGAGGGAUUUUUGCAUUAUUGAUGUCUGGAAAUAUUAUUUUCACUCUACUCAUCUAUUUUCACUCUACUCAUCCUUAAAUGAGUUUGGAGUUAGUAUGUUUCAUAUAAUAUUAUUUUUCUUUUGUUUUCUUUCUCACUACUCUUUUUCCAUCUAUCUCAAAUUAUUUACAUCUAUUUUUUUUAUUCUAUCAUACUCUUUCACACUAACAUUUUAUCUUCCACUUUUUAUAUUACUACAUACAUCUUUCUCACUUCUUAUCAUUUUUACCUUUCCUUUUAUAUAUCACUCAUACCUUCUUCUCAUUCUAAACCACUAUUGAUGGUUGAUUCAUUUGAAAAGUGUACAUGAUUUGAUGGCAAAUUUACCAACUUUGUGAGGAUUUUAGCCUAUGAGCAACCACUUUGCUCUAAUAUUUUUGUUAUGUGAAUAUCAAUCUUAGUUUGUUUAUUCUAGAACUUGGUUUGUUAUGCAUGUUGAAGCCGUAUUACAGGAUUUUAUGCAUUAAAAUGAUAACGGCAAACCGUUUACAUUUUUCUAUUCUCGCAUUUUCUUUUUUUUUCUCUACCCGAAGACCUUUAUUUACUAUCUUUGUUUGAACCUUAACCAUUACCCAUCUAAUUCUCUCCGUCUACUUAACCAUGUUUCUUUUUUUUUGAGCUUCAAUUUAAGGAGAUUUUGGGACUCAUUGUGUGGAUAUAUUUUGUUGCUUUUUCUACCUUGUAUUAAAGUUUCUCAAUUAGAUCAACAAGCAUUAUACUUGAAUUAAAUUGUGCAAGGUUCGUUUCUUUUGUUUGAAAAAAAAAACAAAAAAGAAAAAGAAAAAGAAAAGAAAAAAGAAAAGGAAAAAGAAAAAAAGAGAAAAAUAAAAAUAAAAAAAAAUCAAAAAAAAGAAAAAAAUUGUUUACAUUCUUGGUGACUUGAGUAGAAAUAAGCAUUUUGAUAUCAUAAGUUCAUUCAAUGAAUUCAUUCUUCUCAUUUUGAUCUCUUUUUCUUUCGUAAACCUUUCUUUUUCAUUUAACCUAUUUAACCCUAUUACAACCUUUUUAAGACUCUUAGAUUUUUGCAUUUUAUUCAUGUUUUGUGGAUUGUGAUGUGAUAUAUGAGCAAGCUUAUGGUAAUAGCAUUCUUUGAUUUGAUUUGAAUGCAUAAAUGAUACCCUAAACACUUUGAGUGCAUGUAACUAUGGCCAAUGGGCCGUGCUGGCUGUCGGCCCACAAUGGCUCGUGGGCCGGCACGGCACGACCCACCAAUUUGGUGGGCCGUGCCCACCUUUUUUCCAGUUGAGCCCAGCACGGCCCACGGCACGAGCCCGCUCGUGUCGUGUCGUGGGCCAUGCCCAAAAAAAGCCCACCAACUUUUUUUUUUAGCGUGCUUAAAAAAGUCCAUGUGCCUAGCGUGCUUUAUUCAAGCCCACGUGCCUGACGUACUUUUUUAUGCCCACCAACAUAAUAAUAAUAAUAAUAUUCACAAUCAUAAUCAUAUUAAUUUUUAUUAAGAGAGCAAUUAACAUUUUAUUAUUAGUUUAUCACAAUUUCACAACUAUAUAUUUUAUUUCACAAUAAUCAAUCAUAAUUCAUAACACAACAAUACAUAAAUUUAAUUAAAUUUAAUUCCAUAGAUCAUAAUAAUAAUUAAUUAAAAUUAAAAAUACAAUCCUCGAAUAAUCAUUACAAUAAGUCAUAACUACGAAAUAUUAAUAUAACAAAUCAUAGGUCACAACUUACAAGUUACAACUAUAAAACACGAACUACGAUCAAUUGACGAAUAACAAGCACGAAAAAAACAUUUAUUAAUCACAACUAUGGAUACGGGAAACGAGCAAGGUUAAUUCUAUCUCGGCUGGUGGCGAGCUAAACAAUUUGACACGUGCCGACAUAAACCCAAGGUGCCGUGGCUGUUUGAAUAAAUAACUUCUCGAUGACAAUAGUUGCACCUCAAGAUCAUCCGCUUGUAAGGACGACGCAAACUAUUAUCUAUUAUUUCCUCCCUUACUGUAGUAAAAUUUUGAAAAAGCUCAUUUAGAAAACGACUUCUGGGCUGAUUUAGCCUAGCAUUUUGUUGAGGUCCAACUACAUUAACACCGUAUUCUUGAGGGUGUUGAGGUUCUUCUGCAUUCAUAUUAUGUUGCUGCGGAUUCAUAAUGAUUUUGGCUUUUAGAAUAUUGGAAAGUUUGAGGAAAAAGAAGAAGAAUAAGAAUUGUGAAGCAUCAUAGCAUAAUGGCGUGUAUAUAUAAUAUUAGAUAGUAAUAAAAAGACAAAAAUUAAUUUUAUUUACUUUGUCGGUGGGAGUAAAAAGAGUAAGUAAAAAAAUAUUUAGUGAAAUAUAAAUAUAGCCGUGAGGCAAGUGCUUGGUUGGCAUGUGGGAAACAAAUCUUAAAUUAUUUAAAAAUCUGCAAUUUGCACGUCUGCAUGUGCACUAUAUGACAAGCUGACAACUACCGUGUUGAAAAUUUGAGUUGAGAAUUUAAAUUCAAAGAAAUAAAGUACUCUACAUAAUGAAUGCAAGCUCCUCCCGUACUACUAGUUUGUUAUUAUAAUAUUAUCUUAUCAACACACUUGUGAUAGGAUUUAUUAACAUUGUGAUAGUUGCGUGAUUCUCUUGUAACAAUGAACCAUAAUUUUUUUUAAUUUAAUAUGUUGUUUUGAAAAAAAAUUAAUUACAAAAAUUAUUUUUAAAAAUAAAUAACAACGGUGCACUUAGAAAAUAAUUUUUUCUAAUUAUUAAAUAAUAAAAAAAUUCUAAAUUAAUUUUAUUACUCACCCAACGGAUAAAAAAAAUUUGAAUUAAUUCAAUUAAAAAAAUUCUGAAUUAAUUGAAUUACUCACCCAACGGACAAUUUUUUUUUUGAAUUAACAGUAAAAUUGAUAUGACUACUCAAUUUUACAGUAUAAGCAGUCGGACUCUGAUUAUCAAUUAAUGUUUUCUGAUUUUUAAUGACAAAAAAAAUUUAAAUCAAUUUCAUAUUUUCAUUACUCACCCAACGGACAAAAAAAAAACUGAAUUAAUUGAAUAAAAAAAAUUCUGCAUUAAUUGAAUUAAUAAUAAAGUUGAUAUGCCUUUCCAAAAAAAAAACAAUAAAGUUGAUAGACUUGACUAGUCAAUUUCACUUUCACAGCAUGGGCAUUCAUGACUCAACAAUUAGACUUAACUAGCUUACAGAAUUUGUAAGCUAUAGACUGCAGCAUCAGCCGUUGGAUGUGGAGUGAGAAACUAAACAAUAGACAAUCGAAUGGUGGGAAUGGGAUGACAGGAGACGUUUGUUACAGUCUUGCAGAAUCGGUACCAUAGAGUCAUAGACAGAUCCCUCAACAAUUAAUUUUUAAUAAUAAAAAAUUCUAAAUUAAAUCAAUUGCUCACCUUACAAUUCCAAGUUUCCAACGGACAAAAUGAAUGAUAAAAUGUAACUGUUUAAUUUGCUGCAGCCUUGCAGAGUUGCAGGAAGCUUUGCAGUUGUAGACUUGUAGGUUUGCAGCGUGUUUGUUCGUUUUUGACCGUUAAAAUGUUUACUUUUUUAUUUGCUCGUUUCUAACCGUUAAUAUGUUUACUUUUUUAUUCUAUUUAAACGAUUAAAUUAUUUUCGAAUUCAUCUCACAUUCUCACUUCUCAAUUUCUAAUUCUUUAUCUCCUCGUUAUCUCUCUUAUCUCAUCAAUCAUCUCUAGUCUCUGCUUGCCCAAUCUUCUUUACUACAAUUCCAGCGCCUUUAUUUACCAAAACACUAAUUAUAUAAAAUGUCUCACUCUCAUUUCGAGUUAGAUGAGAAUUUUAAUUUUGUUGAAGAGGGAGAGGAAGUUGCAAAUGAAGAAAUUGCUGCACCAGAAUUUGAUCCAAGUAAUAUAUUUAUUGUCCCACCUAAACGAUUGCCUCCUACUUCUCAAGCAAGUCAAAGUGGUUCUACUUCUUCAACUGCCUGUCCUACUACUACCUCCAAACGACAAAGAACAUCGAUUGUUUGGUCAUGUUUUACUUUGGAAAAACAUCAAAUCAAAAAAGGUGAAAUGGUGGAUCAAGCAGUGUGCAAAUAUUGUCAAUUUGCUUUAAGUGCCAAAAGCAAUGGUGGAACUAGACAUCUUAGACGACAUAUGGAAACUUGUCAGACAAAACACGAGCCACAAGACCCAACACAAACCCAACUCUCACAAUAUGGUUCUAGAUCUUCCGGUAUAACAUCAUUCAGAUAUUCACAACAGCACAUGCGAGAAGGAUUGGCUCGGUAUAUUGCUGCAGCAGAACAACCUUUAACAUUUUCAGAAGAUGAACGUCUAAUAAAUUUUUUGCAAAGGUAUGUUCAACCUCAACUUAAGAAAGUGCCUAGAAAUACAUUAAAACGUCAUUUAACUAAAAUUUUUCAUGACAUGAAAAAACUUUUAAUUAAUACUUUUAUCAAUUUUAAUGGUGUUAUUUCAAUUUCUUCUGAUUGUUGGACUGGUAUUAAUAUGGUUGGUUAUUUUUGUGUGACUUCGCACUCUAUACAUGAGAUUAAUGGUAAAUGGAGGUUGGAAAAAAAAUUGCUUGCAUUUCAUGAAUUAGAAUAUCCUCACACUGGUUCAGUAAUUUAUGCAGCUAUAAUGUCUGUUUUAAGAGAAUAUGAAAUUACUGAUAAAUUGUUUAGCAUAUCAUUUGAUAAUGCAUCUGCCAAUACAGUGGCAAUUGAUAUGUUUUUGUGGAAUAUUUCUACUCUCAUGCCUGCACGUGGUUCAAAAGUUUUUCAUUUGAGAUGUGUGUGUCAUAUUAUUAAUUUAAUUGUUCAAGCUGGUAUGACUCAUAUAAAUCAUUAUUUAGAAAAAAUUAGAGCAUCCAUUUUAUAUAUUAGAGCACCUUCAAGACGUCAAUAAUUUUUAGAGACAUUGAAAAUUUUUGGAUUGAAAAGGAGAAAAUUCAACCUUGACAUGAAAGUUCGUUGGAAUUCUACGUAUUUAAUGUUGCUUUCUUGUCAAAACUAUUCUGAAGCAAUUUCUAGUUUUUACAAUGAGAGAAUGAAUGAUAAAGAUUAUCAUAUCACUGAUUAUGAUUGGAAUGUUGCAUUUAAAUUUAUGAAUUUUUUAAAGGUAUUUUAUGAUGCUACUCUUGCAUGUUCUACUGUUUAUGAGCCUACUUCAUGUAGAGUGUUAAUGCACUUGUACAAUAUAAGUUAUACUUUUAAGACUUUUAGAGAGAAUAUUACGUUUAAAAAUAUUUGUGAUACCAUGGAGGAAAAUUUUCAAAAAUAUUGGAAAGAUAUUCCCCACCUAUUUAUUUUUGCAGUAGUGUUGGAUCCUACAAUCAAGGAAGUUGGUGCAAAACUUUUAGUUGAGGGUAUUAGUGAAAAUUUACAAACCGGACUUGAUACAAAUUUUGAUACAAUUAUGUCCUCUAUGCAUGAACUUUUUAAUUUUUAUCGAAAUAAAUUCGAAUUAAGCAAUACAUAUUCUAAUGUUCAACAAGCAUCGACUUCUUAUAAAAAUCCAGCUCACCUUUUGUUACUCAAAGGUAAGGGUGUUGCCUCUAGUAUUGAUACUAAUCGUAAUGAAUUACAAAGAUAUUGUUAUGCCAAUCUUGAAGAUUUAGCAACUCCUUCACAAUUUCAAAAUUUUGAUAUUUUAGAUUUUUGGAUGGGUAAGAUAUCUUUUUUCCCUAUAUUAUCCAUUAUGGCCCGUGAUCUACUAACCCCUCCAGCUUCAACUGUAGCAUCAGAAUCAGCUUUUAGUAUAGGUGGCAGAAUUCUAGAUGAACAUCGGUCAAGAUUGUCAUCAGAGACAUUAGACUCUUUGUUGUGUUUGAAAGAUUGGGAAGAUGCUGAACGCCGAGUGCAACAAGAUUGGCAAAAUGCUUUAAUUAAACAAAUUGAGAGUUUGAAUGUUGAUCAAGAUGAAGUGGAUCCAGAUUAUGCAGAGUACUGAACAUUGAAGCCACUUCCAAAUACUAGAAAAUUUUUUUUCUUGUAACUUUUUGAUACAAUUUUUAUUAGUGAGAAGGUUGUAAAUUUGCAAAUGAUAGAUGGUCCAGUAGGUGCCAACCUAGUUGGGAUGUACUGUUAACUGUAGUGAUGCAAAUUACACCUAAUUUUAUUUGAAUUACUAAUAUUAUAAUUGUACUUUAACUUCAUUUAAUGAAAAUGUAAUUUUUAUUUAUCAUAAUUUUUCUUGUGUAUAAAAUGGAAAAUAUUUCAUUCACAAAUGAAACGUAUCUCUAUUAAAUAUUAACUAAGUUAUGAUUUAAUAUUAAUAUGAAAAAUAUUUCAUAUAAAAAAUAUUUUAUUAUUAAUUUUGUAAAAAAAUUUAUUUUUUAUUUAUAAUUUAUAAAUUUAUUAUAUUUAUAAUCUUAUUUAUUAAAAUCAUGAUAUUUAGUUAUUUACUUAUUCAUUUAAUAAAUUAUAAACAUAAAUAAAUAAUUAAAUAAAUAUCAUAAAUAACAUUAUUCAUUUAAUAAAUAUCAUAAAUAAAAUUAUGAUAUUUAUAAUUUUAUUUAUUAAAAUCAUGAUAUUUGCUUAUUCAUUUAAUAAAUUAUAAACAUAAAAGAUUAGAAUAUUUAUUUAAACUAAGAUUUAAUAAUUUAAAUUAAUUUUUAAAAGUCUAUGCUAAAAAAUAUAUUAAAACAUUUAAUUUCAAGAUAUUGUACUUUAAUUUCAUAACAUUUUAUAUUUACUUUUUGUUAAAAAAAAUUACUUAGAUAUAUUUUGGCCCAAGUGCUAUUAAUGGCUCACGGGCCGCGUGCUAGCCCACUAAUGAACUGUGCUUAUUACGUGCUUUUUCGCGUGCCGUGCUUUGGCCCAUCUCUAAUCGUGCCGUGCUUUAAGGCCCGUGUGCCUAAAAUUCUAGGCCCGACACGGCCCACAUGCAUGCCGUGCCGUGCCUCGUGCCUCACCGAAACGUGCUCGUGUCGUGCCGUGCCACGUGCCGCCCGGCCCAUUGGCCAUCUUUAAGUGCAUGGAGUGAAGUCAAUGAGAGGGCUAUUAAAUCUUGUUGCACUUGAAUUUUGAAUGGAUCUUCUUGGUGGUUGAAGGUUUUUAUUCUAGCUUAUGAGAUUCUAUGCUUUAAAAUCCUUGCCUCUCAAAUGUUGAUUAACUUAAAUUCUUGAGGCAUGCUUGCUUAAAAUUGUUUUUGGAUGAGUUGAGAUGAGAAUUGAGUGGAAAUUUGGGAUUAGUCUUGAGUUAUAUGCUUGAGGACAAGCAUCAUCUUGGUGUGGGGGAAUUUGUUAGAGUGCAAUUUAUACACUAGUUUUGCAUUGUUUACUUCCCUUAAUAUCAAUGUUUUGCACUUAAUAAUAGUGAUUUACUUGUGUUUUACUUUUGUAGGUGCAAUUCUAUUGAUUUGUGAUAAAAAUGAGCUAUAAGAUGAUGUUUAAAGAUGAUUGUUCUCUUGGAGAAAUUUAGAGCGUCAGAAGAACUUUGUUGAUAAGGCGUGGGCGCGUGCUGUCAACUGCGGACUUGCAGUUUUUAGUUUAACGUGUUUUGUAUUUUUGGUUAUUUUUGUAAUUACGAAUUUAAUAUUUUAGAUAUUAGUAUUUUAUUUUAAAUAGAACUCUAAAAGAGAAGAGAGAAAGAGUAUUUAAGGGAGGAAUCUAUUGUGAAAACGGAGAGAUUGGGGGAAAAAGAAAGAAACCCUAGAUCUAAACUUUUCUCUUCUCUCUAUGAAGAGCUAAACUUAUUUUUCUGGUUGAAGGUUAAUAAAGCUUUGAUUCAUCAAUACUGCGAGAUCUUUCUUAUGCUUUCAUUGUUUUAUUACUUUUUAGGUAUUUGUUUAUUUUCUGAAUUAUAAUCAUGAUUAUGUUUGUUAAUUAGAUAAUUGACCACUAUUUAAAUAUCAACUUAAUCUAUUGUCAAUUAAAUGAUUCAUCGUAUGAAGAUUUUAAUGUUUGUGACAAAUAACAUAGCAGAGAGUUGUGUUGUGAGAAUAAACAAUUUAAUUUAAAUGAACUAUCGUAUAUGUUUGUUGAUUAGGAUUUGGGUCUCUCUGGUUUUUCAGGCUGUCAAUUGAUUAAAUCCUAUGAUCGUAUCUAGGGUUGUCUAUUGAUUAGGGAAAUAACCAAUGGUCGUACCUUGGUUAUCGACUAGUUAAUGAGAGAUUGACUAUUAGAGGGUCUCAGUAGCUAUAAUCUGUCUAUUAAUAAGUAAUAAUAAUUUAUAUUUGAAUCAAUGAUCAGUAGUCGAAUUAAGCUGAGUUAAUUCCUUUAACCAGAGCUUUCUCCAAUUUAAAUUACAACUUUAAUUUGCAUUCUUGUUAUUUUAAUUUGAUUUUUAUUAUUGUCAACAAAACCCCCAUUUUAUGUUUUACGUUUCAAAAGGAUUUAAAUAAUUACCGAUCUCUGUAGACACAACUCUGCUCAAUCACUAUACAAUUUAUUUAGAGUAAAUAUUUAUUUUUGUUGGCUUCGACAACCAUCAUUCACUCCCAUUACAUCUUCAAGGACCUGCAGCCAAUAAGCAAUGGCUCCAAAUGCUAGGUUCGCUAAGCCAAUAUCGUCUCCAUUGAAAAAUUUCUUCUCUCCUGGGCCAUGUUUUUCAACGGUUUGAAGCAUUUCCAAGGCUGCCUUCAUUGCAUUCUCCAGGUCUUGUCCAGUGCUGAAAAACAUUUUCCAAACAGCUACUCCCUGCCACAAGAUUUUAUAUCUAAUUCUUAUCACCACAUGAUUAACAAUAUAAACGAGGUAAAAAGAAAUUAGAUAAUAGGUACACACGCAUCAAAGUAUCUUUCAAAGCCUAGACGUUUCAAACUGUCAAAGUAUCUAGAAGAGUUUACCCACUAAUUUUUAGACUAAUUUAUUAUAACUUUUAGAGCUUAUUCAAGUAGAAUUUUUGUUAGUAAAAUUUAAUUGUUAAUGAAAAUUUUCAUUAAUUUUUUUAAAUAACUUUAAUAGACAAGUUUAUAAAGUAAAGUUAUGAAAUAAAUAAAUAAAAUAAUAUUAUAAAAUAAAUGAUGAACAUUUUAAACUAUUUAACUUUUUAAAAAAUCCUCAAACUUCUAUUUCCAAAAAAUUAAAUUUAAAUUUUUACUAGUAUAGGUAAAAGAAUUUAUUUAACCCCAAAAGUUCUUCUAAAAAUAAAACUAAACAAUAAUAAAAAUUUGAAAUGAGAUUUUUUGAUUAAAUAAACACUUAUUAGUAAUAAAUAAGUCAUAUCAAACAAAUACUUAAUGAUAUAAAAGGAAAAAUAUUAAAAAAAAAAUCCUCUUAUUGUUUUAGUAAAUUAUAAUUUUGCUUUCAUGUUUCGAAAGUCCUCAAAAUUCCCCCUAUCGCUAAAACAAUUAUAUUUUAAUAUUUUACCCUUGAUGCAGUAAAAUCCACGAUUAAUUAAGAAAAAUUUCUAAAGGUAAAAAAUUUAAAGUAAUUAACCGAAUUUUUUUGAUAAUUUUCUCUAAUGUAAAAUAAAAGGUUCAUUGAGCUUAGUCGGCCGUGAAUGCAUUUUGCACAUGCGAGGACAUUAGUUUGAGCAUUAAUAGUAGAUAAAAAUUAAUGUUUAGGGAGUCAUGUUUCUCAUAUACAAUGAAAAAUUAAAGUAUAUAAAGAAACCCGACAAGAUUAAUUAAAUUUAUAAACGUGUUAGCAAGAAAAGUUGUGAUGCGAACCUUGUCUUCGGCAAAUUUAAUCCAAAAACGAGCUUGAGCUCUAUCAUAAGGAUCACUUGGCAUCAACGAGGGAUUGUGUGGCCACAUCUCUUCAAUGUAUUCGAGAAUAACCAUGGACUCGAAAACUGGUUUUUCGCCAUGAACGAGCACUGGUAUUGUGAACUGGGUUAUACUUCAAAAGCGAAGCACUUUUGUUGUAGAGAUCUUCUUCAAUGUAUUCAUACGGGAUGCCUUUCAAUUUCAGAGCCCAUACUACCUUGUUGCUAAAUGGACUCGCCCAUCCCCCGUGGAGCUUCACUUCAGCCAUGUGUCUGAGAUCGAAUUUGAAUAUGUGUGUGGUUGUUUUGCUUAGCUGAUGAGUUAUUGCAUACGUACAUCUGAAUUUAUAAUGAUUAAUAUUGGAAUAUCGAGUGCGCUUGCUUGAGCAGGGAGCUUCAUAUCUCCAAUUUAUUUAAUAAAACGAUUCAAUUAAGUUGAAUUCAAUGAACUAAUGCUGCGACAUUUUAACAAUUCUGUUAUAUAUUCAACGAGAAGAGGUAUCGUAUUUGACGGGAAUCUCUUGAAACAGUGCUGAAUUAACAAGUAACCAAUGGUGGCUGUCACUUUAUCACAGUAUUUGCUUCAAGUUUUUUCCAUGAUGAUGGUUGGUCAUCUUGGUCAACUUGCUCUUUCUAGCACCGCCAUGGCCAUCUCUCUAGCUAGCGUCGCGUCCUUGUAAGUUCUAUAAUCCAUAUAUAGUUAUUUACAAUAUCAAGAUCAUGACACAAGCUUGUUUGUUCUUUCUUUUGAUAGGUAUUUGCAUCAUUGCAUGUGGGAUUUAAACAAACAGAUAUGCCAAAUUUCGGAUGUUAAAAAACGUGCAAUUAACUAAUACCCUGUUUGUAAAAAUGCCAUUAAUUUUUAAAGGACUUGAUUUACUCGUUUUUAAAAAAAAAAAAAAUUCUACAGCUAACUUGAAUUGUGUAAUAUUUUCUUUGAAACAGUUAGGAAUGGCAAGUGCUCUGGAAACAUUAUGUGGGCAAGCAUAUGGAGCUCAGCAAUAUCAAAGAAUUGGAACUCAAAUUUACACUGCAAUAUUUUGUUUAUUCUUAGUAUGUUUUCCGCUUUCCUUUCUAUGGAUUUACAUGGGAAGGCUGCUAGUUUUGGUAGGCCAAGACCCCCAGAUUUCACAUGAAGUAGGCAAGUUUAUAAUCUGGCUUCUUCCAGCUCUGUUUGCUUAUGCAGCAAUGCAGGCGCUUAUUCGAUAUUUUCAGUCUCAAAGUUUGAUCAUUCCCAUGUUCUUAAGCUCCUAUGCCGCUCUUUUUUUGCAUAUUCCCAUCUGUUGGGGUUUGGUAUUCAAGUCUGGACUAGGAAACCUUGGAGGAGCAUUGGCAAUUGGUAUAUCGUAUUGGUUGAAUGUAACUUUCUUGGCAAUUUACAUGAAGUUCUCCACUGCUUGUGCAGAAUCCAGGGCUCCAAUUUCAAUGGAGUUGUUCCGAGGAAUUGGAGAGUUCUUCCACUUUGCUAUCCCUCCUGCAGUAAUGGUUUGGUAUGUUAGUUAUCUUCUGGAGCUUCAUUUUCCCUUCUCAUAGACAUCGUAGACACGUCAUAAAUUUUCAUGCUUCUUUUGUUUAUAAUUUUGCAGCCUAGAAUGGUGGUCAUUUGAAUUGCUCAUUUUAAUGUCAGGGCUGCUGCCUAAUCCACAGCUUGAAACUUCAGUCCUAUCUGUAUGGUAUGUUGACAUAGACUUUGUAUGUGAAAGUUCUAUACAGAGAAGCACCUACCAAAGGAAAUAGAUUUUUUUUCUUUUUUUCUUUUUUUUCCCGACUGCUCAUUAUUUGUCAACUUCUCUGGGCAGUCUCAGUACUAUUCAAACCCUCUCUGCAAUCCCAUAUGGACUUGGUGCUGCAGCGAGGUUUGUUCAUAACAAUCACUUAAAUAAUAAUUGUUUUAUAUCAACUAAUUAGCAGAUUAACCAUUAUUUCCUUCUAUAGUACUAGAGUUUCAAAUGAACUAGGAGCUGGGAAUGUGCAAAGAGCCCGUGUAGCUGUCUAUGCUGUGGUCUUUAUGGCAGUCAUGGAGACUAUCAUAGUAAGUGCAUCUCUCUUUGCCAGCCGGCAUGUUUUUGGUUAUGUUUUCAGCAAUGAGGGACAAGUUGUGGAUUAUGUCACAACCAUGGCUCCUCUGGUUUGUUUGUCUGUCAUCAUGGAUAGCUUACAAGGACUCUUUUCAGGUUAAAUUAACUUCUUCAACUCUGUCAAUUGCUAAAUAGUUCUCUUUAAGUGGAAAUAAAAUUUUUCAGGUUUCUAAAUUCUUUUUAUUAUUUUUAAGGUGUUGCAAGAGGAUGUGGGUGGCAGAAUAUAGCUGCUUUUGUGAAUCUUGGGGCUUAUUAUUUGUGUGGAGUCCCAACUGCUGCCAUUUUGGGUUUCUGGUUAAAGUUUAGAGGAAGGGGCCUAUGGAUUGGGAAACAAGCUGGUGCUUUUACACAAACACUUCUGCUUGGCAUCAUAACAACAUUUACAGAUUGGGAAAAACAGGUCUGUUUCUCAACAUUUAAUCCCUUAAAAAUUAGAGAAGCUUAUUGGACUAUAUAUGUAAAUAUGUAGCAAUUUUUUUUUCCCAAUACGUAUCUGAUACCUUUUGACUGAAAGUUCAAGAUUAAAAUCACUCAGCUUGAUCUGAAAUGGUUAGUAUUAUCAUCUUCUGCAGAAAUGGUUUUGCUCAUUGAGAAAAUGAUAUUCAAUAACACAAAUGCAAACUCAUUUGAAAAUUUUGCCAUUGAGAAAAUGAUAUUCAAUAACAGACAUGCAAACUCAUUUGAAAAUUUGCUUUUUUGCAAGAAUUAUAACCAUUUUCUAGUUUGUUAAUUGUUGCAUCUUCUGUGUUUCUAAGGGGUUUCUCAUGUUGCAGGCAAGUAAAGCAAGGAAAAGAUUAUCAAAGGGAAGAUCUUUAGAAGAAAAUAGAAUAGUUUGUGAGUGAGCAGAGUCAAUCAAUGAGCUGAUAUAUACAUUUUCCAGUUGAAAGAGAUAAUCAUUGCUUGAGAAAAUGAGCUGAUCAUAUGUCAAUUGAUGGCCAAGAAGGUUCCCCAAUCUGAUCUACGGAGCAUGGCAUUUCAUAAAACUCUGUUUCUAGAGAAAAAAAAAAAAAUUAACAGCUUCUUAGGAUUGGAGCAUCAGGUGACUUAGUAUUUCCAGUAUGAAUGAAUUAUAAGAUAGAUGAUGCUGCAAAAAUGAAUAGAGAUAAAAUUAAGCAAGAGAAAAUGUUUGAAUGUUAUUAUUGAAACCUUUUCCAGUGAUUGUAGAGAUAAUUUUCUUUGUAUUGAAACUUUCAGCAUCUGAAAGAUAAGGAAAAUAUUAAAAGAAAAAAGAAAAUUCUUAAAUCUUUUCCAUGUCACUCCAGCAAAGUUGAAUUGUGAUUCUAAACCCUACACCAAAGUGUAAGGUGGCCUGUGGCCUAUAGGUAAUACACAAUUUGACAACCCCAUAUAUUUAGUAAUCUAGGUGGAUGCCAUUAAUUUUUUUUAAAAAUUUUUGUUCAUUUUUAAUGCAAACAACGCCUCUUUCAUUGAGACAUUGGAAUAUAUAAAGAUUUGUAUACUGAUUUUGGACCAUAAUUCACAAAUAAUGCGGCGCAUAUCUUUCUUUCAGUACUUCUUCAGGAGGAUAAGAUACAGACAUUGUUGUCUUUUUACCUGAAGCAAGUGCAUGCGCAUGAAUUGUUGUUGUCUGUUAAUCUGCUGCCACUUUGCUGCCAAAAAACUUGAAAAAUAAACCAGGAAAAUUUUCAAUAAGCAAAGCCAAACAACUAACCCCUGUUUUAAGUUAUUUUCCUAAGAAAACUUUUAAACACUCAAAUAAAGCACAUAAGUAAAGUAUUUCUGUCACAUUAGCUUUCGAGUGAGGUUUGAUUUACAUUUAUAUCAUAUAUACCAAGUGUUUUUUAUUCUUUUAAUUAAUGUAUAUCACAGCUUGGAAAUUCUAAAAAUUAAUCAUGCUUAAUCUUGAGCAACAAUAUCUGUAAUCAUCAUACGAGGUCAAAAGUGAGGAAAAAAAAGGAAAAGAAAAAGGAAAGAGUUAGUUUUAUGUAUAAAAGUGAAAGGAUCUGUUAUAGACUAUUUCUGUUGCAUGGUUUUCGGAGGCAUAGCAUUGUCCACAGCAUUUGGGCUUUGCUUCUGAUUCAAUGGCAUUUAGAAUUUGGUUUCAUCUGAGAUCAUAUAUAGCUUGAUCCUGAUAUCUUCCAUUUUGGAGGGAUUCAGUUAAAUUGAAGAAGUUUGAUGUUCCAGUUCAAAUUGGGAUUGCUGCAGAUAAUAUAUAUAAUUCUGUAGAGGUUUUCUAAUUUUUAUUUUUAGUAAUGUAUUCAUGUCCUGUCAUUCUUCUUUCUGCUUAAAUCCAAUUGCCCAUGUUGGAAUUUCUUUUCAGCUUUUGUAUUCUUUUUCCUUUUUGUUCAAUAAUGCUAUAGACGAUGCUCUACCAUUUAAAAGAUAUAAAUAACAAAUUUUAUAAAUUUUUACUUCGUCAAGGUGUGAAACCUUAUAAAAUUUAUAAAUUUAACUUAUGAACAGAGAAGCAUAAAAAAAAUGUUUGGAGUUGCUUAAUACCAUAGAAACAAAAGCAGAAAGAUAUGUUCAAGAACAAAACCCAAAAUUUUCAUCAAGUGGAGGAUCGAUCAUGCCAGCAUAAUAACAUAAUUACAUAAUGCUCGAAGAGCAUGCAUGACUUUCUCAAAAAAUAAUAUCACUUAAAUGAUCAAAAAACAGAAAUAAUUAAUUGAUUAUCCAUAUAUAUAAACAAGCCUAGCUCUCAAUGUGAAAUAUAUUAAAACAGCAACUAUAAGAUUUUCGGUGAUGAUAUUUCCACCCCAUAAAUUUUAUAAACCCACCCAUUUUUUAAAAAAAUUAUUAUAAUAAGUUCACAUUAUUUUUUAAAACAUUUAAAUUAAGAAGAAAUUAAAAAAUUAAUCAAUUAAAUCUAUAUUCAUUUCUUCUUCUUUUUUUAACUAUGUUUCUUUAUUAUAUUUCAUCAAUAAGGUUGCUUUAACAUAAAUUAAUAUGACUAUUUUACCGUUAUAAGGUAAAAGUACCAAAAUAUCACUUUAAUAAAAUUUUAUGCAAUUUUUUUUAUAUUUUAAUGAUAUAUAAGUAAUUGUUAGUACAAUUAUUAUUACUCCACUAAACUAACAAAAUAUAAUUAGGAUAGGGAUGGCAAAAAUCCCCACGGGGACGGGUACCCUCGGGGAUUUUUCCCAUUCGGGGAGGGUACGGGGAUAAUUUUAUACCCAAUUUUUUAUUCGGGGAGGGGACGGGGAAAAUUUUUUACCCAAUUUUUUAUUCGGGGAGGGGAUGGGGAUGAGGUGGAAUCCCCAUCCCCUACCCAUUUCCCCAUUUUAAUUUUUAAUUUUAAUUUUAUUUUUAAAAUUACUAAUAAAUAAAUAACAAAAUUAUAAAUAUUGUUAAAAAUAAUAAAUAUCAAAAUAUUUAUAUUAUUAAAUGCUAAUAGGUAUCCUACAUUAGCUCGAAUUGCUAGAGAUAUUUUGGCAAUUCCAAUUAUAACAGUUGGUUCUGAAUCAACUUUUAGCACCGGUGGUAGAGUUGUGAGCUCACACCAUAACAAACUUCAUCCAAGCACAUUGGAGGUCUUAAUGUGCUGUCAAAGUUGGUUACGAGCUUACAAUAGUAGUAUGAGUUUAUUUUACAUUAUAAUUAUAUUAUAUAAUUAUUAAUAUUUGCACUUAUAAGUUACUUUACUUAUAUCAUUUUCAUUGUUUUAGGUUUGAAAUCUGAGGCUAUCUCUCAAUUUGCCACAUUUCUCGAGGAAGAAUAGGAGGAGCAGGACGAGCAGGAGGUAAAUAGUUUUAUUAAAAAUAUUAAUUAAGUAUCUACAUUUAUUUCAUUUAUUUUAUUGCCGAUAUAAAAAUAAUUUUUUUUCUUUUUAUUGUAGGAUUAUGAAGAUUGAGUCAUUGACAAAGAUAAUUAUUUUAAUAAUUUAUAUUUUGAAUGUGACUUUGUAAUGGAUCAAUAUUAAUGUAAGAUAUGUUUUGAACUUUAUUUUUAUCUGAAUUUUUUAUUUUAAUAUGAUUAAUUUAAAAUUGAAAAUAAAAAAAUUUAUUAGACUAUUAGUUAUUCGGGGACCGGGGACCCUCGGGGAUCCCCUGUUAUUAUUCGGGGAGGGGAUGGGGAUUCUUUCAAAUAAUUCUGACGGGGACGGGGAGGGGACGGGGACAUACCAAAAUAUCGGGGAUGGGUAUGGGGAGAUUGGUCCCCUCCCCUCCCCUCCCCAUUGCCAUCCCUAAAUUAGGACAUGUGGUGGAAUGAAAAUAAUUAAAUUUUAUAUAAAAACCUACGCAAUUAGUUACAAUAAAAAAUAAAUAAAUAAAUAUAUAUAUAUAGUAAUUUGGUUAUUUUAUAUUAUAAGGGUAAAAUAGUCAAAUUAAAUUUAUCUUGGGGCAACCUUCAAAAGUUAAAGAUUGUUAAAAGCUGAAGGCCAAAAAAAAAAUUGAUUUAAUUAAUUAAUUAUUCAAAGCUUUUAUUAAUUUGUAAUUUUAUAAAAUAAUGUAAAUUUAUUGUAAUUAUUUUAUGGAGGUGGAGGGGGUUUAUAAAAAUAGUGGGGUGGAAAUAUUCACACCCUUCAAUUAAUAGUUAGGAUAAUUUUUAGAUACUUCCCCUAAUGUUUGGCUUUGCUACACUUUUAGAUCAUUUUGAGAGAGAAUGUAUCUAUAUAUUGACAAGAGUGAUGAUACAACUACAAAUUUUUAUACAAACGUAUCUUGUAUAAAUUGAUUUGUCAUUAAUUCAUUAAUUGAAUAAAAAUAUAUCAUGUGGGCCAAAAGAUAUUUAAUUCAAAUAAUUUUAUUAUAUCACAUUAAUUUAUAUAAAAUAAAUUUGUAUAAAAAUUUAUAACUAUAUUAUUAUCCUAUUGAUAAUAUACACCUUGGCCGUGUAUAAGGGUUAGGCACUGAUUAAGUAGUUGCAGUUUUUUUUUUUUUAAAUCUUACAAAAGCUAUUAUACUGUAACUAAUAAGCUAGUGAAACCCGAGGGGAUAGUAACCCAUUUUCAUUGUCAAUGCCUAGCUUCAUUUCUUUUUUUUUCUUUUUUUUCUCACUUGAUGAGUGCUUAGCUUCAUGUCGAAGGUCGUGACACCAACUGAUUUUAGCAAAAGCAGAGAUACUUUGUGAUGCAGUAAGCUAACAAGUUUCUGAAAUCAACUAUGUUUUGAACCAAAUUUCGGCGACGACCAGCAGCUGAAAAGCCGGUGAUUAAAGGGCACAGUAGGUGCGUAAUUCUAUCAAAGCUUAAAACUGAAGUUAGGUUUUAUUAUUUUCUUGCAUUUUGUUGAAAUUGCUGUUAGUUAGGUGCUUUAUUCUUUGUUCCCAUUAAUUGAGAAAAAUGUUUAGGGUUUAUAGAAAUUGAAGUAACGACCGAAUAUAUUUGAAUUGAUUUUUGAGUUGAUAGUCACUCGAAAUGUUGUGUAAACCAUGAAAAUGAUUUAUUUUUUGAUGAUUUUGGACUGUGGGGUUUUUUUUUUUUUUGAAUUACAUGAGACUAAUGCUCAGAUUACAACUCAUAUUAUAUGAGAUUUACAACUGAUAUUUACAAUCAGACAAUUACUGGGCCUAAUUUACAUUAAUUCUUAUAUAGCAUUGCUCAGAUUUUACCCUCUCUAAUAUUCGAGGGGUGUCUACUCCACUCACAUUUCGAAAGGGAGAAGACUGACUUCACUUAAUAAUUAAGGAAGGAAAUAAACCCCUACAUGCGUCGCGGGGGCUCGAACCGCUGCGCUCACAGUUGUGAGUACAGGGUCCUGGCCACUGGGCUAAAGCCCAGUUGGUUGACUGUGGGUUUUGAAUGCUUACUGAAAUUUGCUUGAUAUGUUCUUUAAAUUGAGAAAAAUCCAAGCUUCUUCUAAGAAUACAGAGGUGUUGCUGAGAAAAUGCUUAUGGUGUUGUUUUGUUUCUUUUUUUAUUUUACAAGUGGGCAGUUCAUGAACCAGUACAGUUGAGAAAGUGUCUUUUGGGACAUUCAUUUUAAUACACAGAUUAACAGAUUUAAUUACAUAAACACAAGACUUCAUUUGUUUAUCCAAGUAGUACUUCUGAUGCUUUCGUAUAAUGAAUGCCAAAGAGAUGACAUUUGCAAAAAGGCCAUUUGAAUGUACCAAUUGCUAUCCUUGUAAACCUCUAUUGUGAUUCUGUUAUCAUUAUAUGUUUAAUGAUCUGAUGAUUUCGAGAUAUCAAGAUGAGUUUAUGGUAGUACAUGUUCAUUUAGCUACUUUAGGUACUAAUACAUGCAUUUAUUGUAUAAUGCCUACUUAGCAGCCAUAACUACACUCAUUGUUGAAGCUACAGCAACACAAAUGAGAAAAAACAUGCUGAGGAACAACAUUGUCUUUAUAUCAUUGCAUUUUACUCCAUUUUGUUGUGCUUUUUGCAUCAGUGACUUCAAAUCCAUCAUAUCCUUUUGCAUACUCAUCAGCAGUUCAUAAUUUGCUUGACAUGUUCCUAAACCAUCAAAUAUAACACCUCGAUCGAUAUCAUUUGAGGAUGGCAUCCAAAACUUGAAAUAGCCACAACCAUUUUUGCUAUCCAUACAGCAAUAACAUAGCUUGUUUGGGUUGUCAUCUGAUUGCGCUACCUUCAUAGUAGCUCUUUUGUAGCAUUUACAAAUCUUGUUUGAAAAUCGAAUGAAUUUAAAAUAUUAUCAUUUAUUGUUUUUUUGUAGCAUUUACUAAUCUUCUGAUAUUCAGUAUUGUUUUUAUAUAAAUUAAUUUAAAAUAUUAUCAUUUCUUUAUCUUAUUAUGUGAUUUUACACUAUCAAAUUAUUUGUUUUAAGGGGCAUUUUGGUCUUUUCAACACUCAUUUGAGUUUUGUCUUAUUAUAAGAAUAUGUAAUGUCAACAGCAAUUAUCAUAAGAGUAUAAUGGCCUUUUCACUGCUCUACAAACCCCCCCCCCCCCAACCCCGCGGCCAAAAACAAUUUCGCCCCAAAUAUAAAGAUCAUCUACCGUGUCCAAUAAUUUUGGCAUUCAUUGAAAUAUGUACUAAAGGGCAUUAUUGUAUAUUCACUCAACUACCUAACGAGUGCCUAACCUUUAUACAUGGCCGGGGAGUAUAUUGUCAAUAUAUGGAUACAUUCUCUCUAAGUGUAUCUAAGCCAAACCUCAGGGGAGGUUUCUAAAAGUUUUCCUAAAUAGUUAAUAAUUUUGUACAACAGAUUCUUGGAUACGCCUCAAGUUCACUGAUUGUACGUUAUGGCUGACUUUCAAGAAAUUAAAUUCUACAUUAUGACCCCCAGUGAAACAUUGUCGCCGAUAAAAUUAUAAAAUAUAUGUGUAAUAGUAGUCAAACCUAAACCUACGUCGUUUAGCAAUUUACAAAAUGAGAAAGACGACAAAAGCCAGGUGUUGGACCGGCAACGAGCCAACGAGAUAAGCUCAAGUUCACUGUGUUUUUUAUGAACCCUCUGAAGACCCGAAACUCUGGGUUUGUUUUUUACGUUCCCUAACUGUUUGACUGCAUUUUUAUUCUUUGCUACGUUCGUUAUGAACUGUUCAGGCUAAGUGCUCGACGAAAUCCCUAAGUGAGUAUGUAUAAUGGUUUGCUCUUGUAUUUAUUCUGUUAUAGAAGGUUUUGCUUUGGGUGGUUAAAUGGAGGAGACUAGACAUUGAACUUUAUGCACUUGUAUGUUUUCAAGUAAUUGGUUGUUCAGGGACAUGUACUUUGAAUUGCUUCAUUCAUCUUCAGAGAUAUCAUAACAUUUUUUGCUUAGUGUGAGUCUUAUUGUUGUUAAUUUGUCCAAAGUGAAGGCUUUUUUAACUUUUAUUUCUUUGAUUUAUUUAUUUAUUGUUGUGUCGAAGUUCUGUGUCUCAACUUUUAUUUGAUAAGUUCUUUCAGACUACUAAUUAGAAGAAAAAAAUGCUAGAGAGUGAGUAUGAGAGGGAAUGAUGUUUGGGCAAGGGGUGAUUGGUUCACUUGGCUCAUGAAGAACCCCAACUAUAAUGGCAUGUAUCAAUUUCGCAGCCUAAUUGGCAGGUAAGCUCAUUUCUUGAUUUCCUUCAAUUUUCACUUUCAUUUUACUGUUUUCAAGUAGCAGGUAAUCUAAAUAAAAGUAAAAUCAGUAGUGAUUUGCUUCAAGUGCAUGUGGAUAGUAUAUCACAUGUGAGAAGAUUGUAUUUGUUAUAUGAAAAUCCUUAAUAACUUUAAUUAAAAAAUAUAUUCUCAAACCUGAUCGUGGAAUGUACUAUUUCUUAAUAUCUGAGUUUGGAUCAACACAUUUUUUGCCAUGCAAUUUGACAAGUUGUCAUGUCCUCAUUCUGCGCUAUUAUAAGUUUUGCCAAUCUGCAUAGGUGUUUUUAUAGAUUGAGUUAAUCUAGUUUCGAGAACAUGCCUUACUAAAGGGCGUCGAGUUUCUAAAUGAAGGCAAGUGCAACUAUAAUUAUCUAUUUCAUAUCCUCCCUGUUACCUCUAAAUUCUUUCAAUAACUUGGGGACGUUAAUCCUAUUAACGACAGCCACAUAUUAUAAGUCGAGAAAACUGAUUUUUUGAUUAUUGAAAAAUUAAAUUUUUUGUAUUAUUCUGUUGAUGAUCUCAGUAACCUACCUGUUGCGGUUGUCUUGUAUGGAUCAUUGUUUCUCUUUUAAGCUGUUAUAUUGACAAUUUUUAGCUCUUAUUGCAGAUCUUAAAGUCAUUGCAAGCACAUGCUCCAUUGAUCUCCAUAAAUUCAGAUACAUAUGUAUAGUUAGCUAUUCAAACAACCACACGGGUAUUCAACUUCAAUAUUCAGAAACAUGGCUGAAGUGAAGCUUCAUGGGGUAUGGGCGAGUACAUUUUGUUACAGAGUGAUAUGGGCUCUGAAAUUGAAAGGCAUAGCAUAUGAUUACAUUGAAGAAGAUCUCUCUAACAAAAGUGCUUUGCUUUUGAAGUAUAAUCCAGUUCACAAGAAGGUCCCAGUGCUUGUUCAUGACGAAAAAUCCGUUUGCGAGUCCAUUGUUAUCCUUGAAUACAUUGAAGAGAUGUGGCCAUACAAUCCCUCCUUGAUGCCAAGUGAUUAUCCUAUGAUAGAGCUCUGGCUCAUUUCUGGAUUAAAUUUGCCGAAGACAGGGUUCGCUUCAGAACUCUAGCUAAUGCGUUUAUAAGUUCAUUAUUUUCAUGUUUAUUUCUUAUUAGAGAAAAUGAUCAGUAUCCCCCAUUGUGUGUCAAAAUUAAUCAUUUCUUCUUUUAUGUUUUAAAACCUAUCAAAAUCUCCAUUGUUGUUAAAAAAAUUCUGUUAACUUUCAACUUUUUGUGUCUUUUACUAAUUUACCUCUGGAAAAAUUUUUAUUAUUAAGAAGUUGAAAGUUUAUUAGAAUUUUUUUAAUGGCAGGGGAAAUUUUGAUGGCUGUUGAAAUAUGAGGGAGAAAGGAAUUGAUUUACCAAAACAGCAUUGGGGUUUUGUUGUUCAUUUACCCUCUGUCAUUCGAUGUAGUGGUUAACCUUUGGUAUAAGGAUGCUUGACAAGGGUAUUUAGGUCCAAGUCUUUUAGCUCAUAUGUAUUAUUAAUCAUGUGGUGAUAUUUUGGCAGGGAGCUACUGUUUGGAAAAAGUUUCGUAGCGUACAAGAUCAAGAGAAUACAAUGAAAGAAAUCUUGGAAAUGCUAAAAACCGUUGAAGAACAUGGCUUAGGAGAGAAGAAAUUUUUUCAUGGAGACAAGAUUGGCUUAGUGGACAUAGCAUUUGCUUCUAUUGUUUAUUGGUUGCAAAUAAUUGAAGAUGUAGCAAGAGUGAAACUAUUUGAAUCUCACAAAUUCACUAGCUUACACGGCUGGUUUGAAAAUUUUAAAAGAGUCCGAGAAAUUGAAGAGAACCUUCCUAAUCGGGAUGAACUGUUGGUUUUUUUCAAACGUCGCCGUGAAAAGUUGGUGGCCUCAUCCUCAUUGCAUUAGCACAAAAUUUGUUCAUGCAAUUGUAUUGUUGUCAAGAGGCCGCUCUUUGCUUAGUUUUUUAUUGUCUUUUGUGCUCAAUUGGGAGGCCGCCGGUUUGCUGGGUACUUUCAUAUGGAUUUGAGUAAUAAAAGGGACUUGACUUUAUAUUUAUGAAUUAUUGCAUGUAUUUCGUUAAUUAUUAAUGGACUACUAGCGGUUAUGUAUUGUUUGGAAGGAAGUUUGAAUGCUACGAUGUACUAAUGACUUAAUGACAUGUGUCAAAAAAAAUCAGUUAAGUAAAGUCAACUCGAUUGAACGAAUGGUAAUAUAGCUCUCAAAAGUUAGAAAUAAGCUUCCUAUGGAAAAAGAUAGUUUCGGUAAUAUGUCUAACAUUAAAGGGUAUUAUCGAAACUUAAAUUUUAAUGGUUAGACCCAGUAUGUGAACAGUGUGCCAUUAUUUUUAGGGUUAUAUUUUGCUAAGAAUAACGAGCCAAUAGAACUUUAGAGAUUUUUUUCUAGAUCUAAUUUGUUGAGAGACUUCUUCAUCUUCUUCAUCCUCUAUUUUUAGGGUUUCUUUCUCCAUUUUAACACCACCAUGGAAAAUCUUAACCAUCUCAUCUCCAAAAGAAACCUCUUCCCUUACUCUUUUCUUGGAAAACUCUCUAAUUUGGGCCAGGCACCUAAAAUCUUGUGUGUUCUUUAUUGUUUAUGCUUAUUUUCUAUUUAUUAGGAUGAUGAUAAUGCUCAGAUCGUAUUUCAUAUAUGAGCUCACUAGAGGUAUACCACGAGCUCUAUUGGGUUCCCCAAAUAAGCUCUCUAGUUAAAGCUAUCCUUAAAUUCGCUAGAGCUACUCCCUAAACUCUCUUGACCUCCGCAAAUCAACUCUUGAAACUAAAUCCCAUGAGCUCCACAAAGCUUACCUCCCAACAGCAGAACAUCAAGCUUAUCUCAAUUCAUCUUCCAGAUCACCUCAGUUAUUUCUUUUGUCCCUAACAGUAGAAAAACACACUUAGAUUUUUACUAGCCCAAUCUCACCUCAAAUAUAAAUUUAUUUAUUUAAAUUGUCUUUGACCUAGAUCUAGUGAGGACAAUGAUUCAAAUCAGAUCCUAGAGGAAAUCCGGUCAAAACAUGUAUCUAUGUAUAAUAUUUAACAUCAUCCUAACGAUAAAUCCGAAUGCACUUGGAUUUGUUCUUAAUAGUACACAAAAGUAGAAAAAGCAUAGCAAGCAACACUUGCACACACGAGGCUCAAUACAAGUACGAACGUCACAAUUCCAAGCAACAAACAAUGAUCCAUCAGUACUAAUUUUUUCUGCAAGCCACCAAAUUGGAAAAUACCGCCAAGUAAUUAAUUAACCACUGUGACUUGCCAGCUUAAGCUAAUCCAAUGCUGAGAGUUCAUUAUUCUUCAAGGAUUGGUUAUUGUAAAUGUCUUUUAGAGUAAUUUCAGGAUAGAGCGGAGGAUUUACUUCUGAUAGCAACUCUUUAAUUGGACCAUAUCGUCUCGAGCAACUAUUAUUCAUGAAAACACUUCCGAUUGAAAUUCUGGAGCCUUCCUUAUUUGAUAACACUCUAUGAUAGGCACUCUUGAACUUAUCGUUGGUAAUCAGCUGCAUGAACACAAACAUGUUGGUAAUCAGCUGCAUAAACACACACUUCAUAUAAACGAUAAUUAAGUUAUCUGAUAGAGAUUCAUGCUCAGGUGUAGAUGUUCACAUGAAAUUUUGUGAGGACGAUUCUUUCACAGUAUUGUGAAAGUGUGUGUCCGCACAAGAUUUAGUGCGAAUGUCGCACCAGAGAAUUUUUGAUAGGUCCCGAUCAAAUACAGAAAAGCAAUGCCUGAUAUUUGUUCAGUUUAUGGUAUGAACAACCAGUAUUUGUUUAACUAAUUUAUUUAUUUUUUUUUGUUUAACUAAUUUUUUUUUUUGUUUAUUGAUAAUUCUUCUCCUUUUAUUCGCAGCGGAGAACUAAUUUAUAGUAGCUAACCUUACAAGUCUUUGAUUCCUAGCCAACAAUAUCAGCUAGAUUAUAGUAAAAUAAAACAAGAAGAAAUAUUUAAAGAUAACUUAGAGACCGAAUCCAAAUCAAACAUGACCACCACGCUUUGAUUCUCUUCCAAACAGGAAACGAAAAUUUUGACGUGGUAAUUCUCCUGCUCUCGUUUUGACACUCAAUAAACUCAUCCUGCACGUGAAACACGGUCUGCAUGAAGCCAUGCAUGGCUUGCAUGAGCACAGCUUGGUUCCUUAUCAAUACCCCCUCGUGGAAGAGGACCCUUGUCCUCAAGGGUCAGCAAAGGAAUUAUUGUUGUAGCAAUGCCGUAUCUUCCCAAGUUGUUCUCUUUUGUUUUCUUCACCAUGUAGUUCCUCUGCAACUUCUUCACAAGUGAUCUCGUUGGUGUCGUUGUAGCUCUCGAGAAGUAGAAGUUGAGGCCCUUGACAUUUAUGACCCGCAGUGAAUCGUUCGUUGCAAGUGAAACACAGUCCCUGAGCUCGUCGUCGUUGCAUUUCAUCCCACGGUAAUCUUUUGACAGGCACGGUUGGUGAUGCUUGAGUAGGUGGCAAUGUUGGCGGUGUGCGACUGGAGGGUGGCUGGAAUAAUCUCCGUUGGUGUGUUAUCUGGUCAUCUUUCAUACGAGCAAGGCUGAUGGCUUCCUUUAACGUACGUGGCCUGAACAUCCGUAUAUCCUCUGCAAUCUCCGGUUUCAAUCCUCCCAUGAAAGUUCCUACCAACGCUUUCUGUGACCACCCAUGAACUCGGUUUCCCAACCUCUCGAAUUCCUUCUGGUAUUCUCGCAGAGAACGUGUUUGUUCGACCCGAGACAGUGCUUCAUCAAAGUCUUCACAAUCCGUUGGUCCGAAGCGCGCCCAAAGCUCGUCAACAAAUGUUUCCCACGUAACCGGUUGGCCUUCUUCUUGGUAAGCCUUGCGCAUCCACUGCCACCAUUGAUUUGCUUCGCCCUCCAAGUGAUAUGACGCUACGACUACUUUCUGCUCAUCUGUGGUUUCUUGGUACUCAAAAUACUGCGUUACCCGAUUGAACCACUCCGUUGGGUCGUCGCCGGCAUAGCGGGGAAACUCCAACUUAGCAAUUCUUGUCGGCAACGGUGGUCGACGUCCUUCACUUUCCUCACGGAAUGGUCGUGAAGAUCCAAUGUGCUCGUUAGUGCCGCGACUGGCAGUGCCUCUGGUUGCACUAAAAGAUUCUGCCAAUUUGCUCAGAGUGUCCUCCAGACGCUGCAACUUGUCAUUGAUCCCAAUUUCUAUUUGUUCCAUCUUGUUCUGUAAGUUCCCGAUAUCAGCUUCAAUUCGUUCGAUGCGUUCCUUGUUGGUUGCCAUUAAUAGCUAGCUCUGAUACCAAUUGAUAGGUCCCAGUCAGAUGCACGCUAACAAUGACUAAAAAAGAUGAUAAUGUUGUUCUGCUUUUGGUGAGAACGGCUAGAGAUAAUUUAGUUUGAUAAUUCUUCUCCUUUUAUUCGCAGCGGAGAACUAAUUUAUAGUAGCUAACCUUACAAGUCUUUGAUUCCUAGCCAACAAUAUCAGCUAGAUUAUAGUAAAAUAAAACAAGAAGAAAUAUUUAAAGAUAACUUAGAGACCGAAUCCAAAUCAAACAUGACCACCACGCUUUGAUUCUCUUCCAAACAGGAAACGAAAAUUUUGACGUGGUAAUUCUCCUGCUCUCGUUUUGACACUCAAUAAACUCAUCCUGCACGUGAAACACGGUCUGCAUGAAGCCAUGCAUGGCUUGCAUGAGCAACUUGCAUGAGCACAGCUUGGUUCCUUAUCAAUUUUAAAUUCGAUGGAUAGUAUUUCUUAAUAAGUUAUCUAACACACACUUGCCUGCAUCAUGUAGCCUAAGUUUACAACUAGAGCUCCCGGAACAGGGGCAAUGUCAAACCACUGAUCUUCGUGAAAGACUUGGAGGCCACCAAUUUGAUCUUGUAUGAGCACAGUGACAAAUCCAGGGUCAGAAUGUGUUGCUAUGCCGAUGGACAAUUCUGGUUGAGGGCAUUCAGGGUAGUAACUAUUCCCAAUAGUCAUUUCCUCUACACAACCUAUGUCUUUCAGGUAAUUGGGGUCAAGCCCUAAAGCUUCGGAUAAAAGUUCAAACAGAGUGUCCCCUGUUUUCCACAUUAGGUUGUUGUAUGUGAUCAUUAUCUCUCUGCAAAUUAAUAAAGACAAAAAAUAAUCACUACUAAAAGAAAGGGAGAAUGACAUUUCGACUUUUAGAAAUUAUUUUUUUAUUGGGUUAACAUCUAGAUGAAAUGAGAGUAAUAAAACUUAUUAGGAACCCAAGUGAUGCAAAAAGUUCUAAGAAAGAGGCAGGUGUUAUCCACUGUAAAAGAAAUAAAAUCUAUUGGUCAUCGUCCACAUACCUGCAAGCUUCAGGCAAAUCUUCAGGAUUUGAAAAAUAGCGACCCAUAACACAACUCAAAGUAUCUUUCCAAAAGAGAGUCGGUGCACUAUACAAAUUUAAAUUUGAACAAUAUUUAAUUUUUUUGGAGUAAUCACGAGAAUAAUAUUUCUGCUUAACCUCAACAUCUUGUUCAAAAAACCUACGGAUCCCAUCAAUGGCUUGAUCCAAAAUGCUUGUUGGGAUUCCAUGAUUGAUCACUUGAAAGAAACCCCACUCCUCACAAGCACUUCUAAUUUGGUCAAUUACCUGAGAACGCAAGCUUGAAUCCUUGUGUAUUCUUUGACGGUCUAUCAUUGGGAUGCUGAUUUUGGGGUCCCUGCAGAUUGGCUUAUCAUCAAACUUAUGUUUAGUGUGAUGAUCUUGAAUGAAGAUCUGUGGAAUGGUUGUGAUCCCAGCAUCUACGAGUCCCUUAACGCCAGCUUUCGUGUCAUCAAAAGCUUUCAACUCGCUAACUCUGUCACAAGUAAUGCUUCCCAUUGCUUGGUGAAUUAUCUUUUACUCGGUGAAUUAUGAAGUACAUAUGCUGACUUGCUGAUGAUUGCUUUUGGGAGAUACCGUUUAUAUGAUUUCUAGCUUGCCACGUGCAACAUGUUGAAAUAUAACGUCACCAUGAUGAUAUGGAAAUUUGUAAAUUUGAUUCUGCAUUAUUUAUCAUGAUUAAAUUAAUUAUAAAUUAUCAAUAACAGUGAAUUCCGGGGACCACCAACCAGUGGGUGGCACAGCACAAUAAUAGACUGGGCUGUGGCUUUGUUUUAUGUGGACAAAAUUUCAAUUAGCAUAUUGCUGCUUGAUAGUUAACGUUUCACAUUCUCCAUUUGGACAUGCUAUUAUGGAUUCACAGUGUUGCUUAAAAGAUAGAUCUUAAAUGAAAAGAAAGCUUUAAUGGUGAAAUAAAUAUUAAAAAAAAUGAUAAAGAGACUAAAUGUUAACCUAAUGUUAACAAAAAUAAUGGUAAAAUAAACCUGUUUUAUCAUGUUAAUAAUAGUGGUACAUAUUUAACUUUAAUAAAUUUGGCCAUUUCGAUUUUUAAUUUGGCACCUUCCCUGCUCAGUCAAGAAAAAGAAUACUAUAAAAAUUAAAAUAGAAAAUUUGGCAAGGACAUAACUGCAGAAGUGUUAUAUAUCAAAGCAAUGUCAAAGUUAUAAUACUUCCCUUAUUAAUGAGAAGAGCACUAGCAUAUACAAGAUCGACAAUCACUUAAAUUAAGCCUUAAUAAUACUAAACUACAUACAUGGGAUCUAAUGCGUACAAGCAAUGCUUUCUGGUCACAGCAGCUUUAGGCUUUCAGCUACAGUAUAAAGUGAAACUGUCGCUUGAAAAUAAAAUUCAUGUUCGGCAGCCUCUUUCUAUCCGAGCUCCAUUUUUAUAACCAGGCAGCUAAAUAAGAUGAUUUAGAUGGCAACGGCGUCUGUAGUAUUAAUUGUUUUUCUGUAGUCCCUCAUUAUCUACUUUCUGAUCGCUUACUGUGUAGAGAAUCGACAAGAGCAAAUUGUAGCACACGUUCACAGCACUAAUAACUGUUAAACUCUUAUAGUACUUAUCAAGCCUACUACCAUCCAAGGUUUUAGCCAAGUCGCCUUUGUUUGCCAAAAUGAAAAAGAUGUUAAAAAUGCUUCCAAUUCCGACGAAAAAAGAACUUAUUGCUGAUACAUGGUACUCCAUCCGUUCAGGAAAAUGAGAGCUCGAGUAUUCAUCACAUCCAUGCAAAGCAAGCCCUUCCAUAAGACCCAAUAGACAGAAUUGUGGAACAAGCCAAAACAUGCUCAUAUUUUCCAAUUGUUUGAGCUUUUCCAACCUGCGAACCUCAACCUGCCAUGCCACUGCGCAGCAAACUGUAGUCAUCAUCAUUCCAAUGAAUGUUCUUAACACUUGAGCUUGUCUCUUUUUAUUUUUUGGAACAAAAUUGGAAAUUAAUUGUUUUGACAGACAAGAGAUCGUUGCACGAAUUAUCCCUUUACAAUUGUUUCAUUAUCACGACCCAAAUGAAAUGGCACUUGAGCAAAUGUACGAUCAAACAUGCUAAAAUCAAAUACCAAAAAAUAAAAUUGGAAUUGGAAGAGUAAAUAGCAAAAGAUUGGAUGAAAAUUGAAUACCAUAACAUAAAAAAAUUAAAAUAAAUUGAAAUGACAAGAGUUAAUUAAGAGCAAAAAGAUGCUUGACUUACCAAGAGCAAGGACCAAGCAAAUGGUGUUACAUUCGGGCUUGAUGGUGAACUGGUUGGAGAUGGGUACGAAUGUGAUCUCGUUGAGAUUUGGAGAAGAAAACGGGGAAAUAGAUGCAAUAUCUUUGUUACUGUUUUUUGUUUUAACUUUAUUUUACUGUUGAUCACGUGCAACUCAUUAAAAUUUCUAAACGCAGUUAUUAUUGUCGUUUCGGUGUUCUCGGGCUAUCACAUGCUCGGUACGUCUAUCACUAAGUCUACUCUUAAUAAAUUUGGCCACUUAGGUUUUUAAUUUUGGCUCCUUCCCUACUCAAUCGAGAAAAAGAAUGUUUUUCUAGAUAAAAAUUAAAAUAGAAAAUUCAGCAAGGACAUAACUGCGGAGAUGUUUGAUCCUGGAUUUAUAUAUCAAAGCAACAUCAAAAUUAUAAUACUUCCUUGUUACCGAGAAGAGAUAUAUUCAAUAGCACCAGCCUAAAUAAAGCCUAAACAGUACUAAACUACCUACAUGGAAUCUAAUGCGUACAUGCAAUGCUUUCUAAAGUGAAACUGUCGCUUGAAAAUAGAAUUCAUGUUCAGCAGACUCUCUCUAUCCGAGCUCCAAUUUUAUAACGAGGCAGCUAAAUAAGAUGAUUUAGAUGGCAUCGCUCCCUAUAGUAUCGUUUGUCUGUAGUCCCUCAUUAUCUACGAUCUGAACGCUCCCUAUAGUAUUGUUUGUCUGUAGUCCCUCAUUAUCUACGCUCUGAUCGCUCGCUAUAGUAUUGUUUGUCUGUAGUCCCUCAUUAUCUACGCUCUGAUCGCUUCCUAUAGUAUUGUUUGUCUGUAGUCCCUCACUAUCUACUUUCUGAUCGCUUACUAUGUAGAGAAUCGACAAGAGCAAAUUGUAGCACACGUUUACAGCACUAAUAACUGUUAAACUCUUAUAGUACUUAUCAAGCCUACUACCAUCAAGGUUUAGCCAAGUCGCCUUUGUUUGCCAAAAUGAAAAGAUGUUAAAAAUGCUUCCAAUUCCGACGAAAAAAGAACUUAUUGCUGAUACAUGGUACUCCAUCCGUUCAGGAAAAUGAGAGCUCGAGUAUUCAUCACAUCCAUGCAAAGCAAGCCCUUCCAUAAGACCCAAUAGACAGAAUUGUGGAACAAGCCAAAACAUGCUCAUAUUUUCCGAUUGUUUGCGCUUUUCCAACCUGCGAACCUCAACCCGCCAUGCCACUACACAGCAAACUGUAGACAUCACCGUUCCAAUGAAUGUUCUCAAUACUUGAGCUUGUCUCUGCUUCGUUUCCGGAACAAAUUUGGAAAUUAAUUUUUUCGACAGAUAAGAGAUCGUCGCACGAAUUAUGGCUUCAAAAGUAAGUAGAAAGAUUAAGUAACGUUGAGAAAUCAUUCUGGCUCCCUGCUCAGGAAAAAAUGUAUUUCCCGCUGACAGAACCAAUCCAAACACAAUGAAGCUAGACCACAAUGGCAACAAUUUAAGAAGAUAUUUUGACUCCCUGACCUGGGCCACAGUGCAAAGUGUGCCUGCCUCUUCUUGUUCUUUAGAAGUACUUGAUGUCUCUAUAAUUGCCGCUUUGUCUAUCCAUCUGCAAUUCAAACAAUUAAUUUAUUGGCAAUUUUUUUAAGGAAAAUAGGAAGCGACAGCUCAUGGUUUGGCAAAAUGAUCACAUAGACUCUUUUAUAAAUACACCUUUUUGGACAAAUCUUGGAGGUCAGUGUGACCAUUUCUGAAUACAAAAGGGUAUCAGUGUGUCCAUAAAAAGGUCUAUGUAAUUGUUACUAAAAAAAGAGGGUCUCCCCGACAAUUUUGCCAGACCACGAGCCGGGUGUGGGUUUAUACAUGUUAGGUAUAUACCUGAGUAAUUUGAUUCUGGGUGACAAGUGUAAUACGUUUCCCUCAUCAUUACUGAAGAACUGCUCCGGAGAAAGAGGAUAAUUGAGAUGCUUUUUCUUCAGGGAGGUUUUAACGACACGGAUUAUAGCAAAUCGGUCAACAGGAGGUAUUUGUCUACUAUGAUAAAAGGGAAUACCCAACAACAACAGGAUCAAACUGCCCCCCAUAAACAACAAUGUGAACUUGAAAGUAUUCUCCCAUGUUUCAAUAUUAUUUGCAUGGAAUGCUGCAGCUACACCGCAGCACCAGGCAAACCGCCACCACACUCUUUUCUGAGCCAUUACUUGAUUCUCAUUUGUAUUUUCUGUGCUCCCUUCUUCACCAUGUUCUCUUAAUUGAUCGGCAAGAAAUGGUCCCAAAAGAGGCGCCGCUCCAACUUCACCCACUGCUAACAGGACAAUUCCUAUCAUGUUGAGUAGCUCAAACUUGGUUUUUGAAAAUUUUCUGGACGCUGUAUAGAACAAUAGCCCCAAUGCCUGAAACGAAAAUUGUUGGAACUAAUUGUAUAGCAUAACAUUAUGAUCCUAAAAAUGCUUUGUUUAAUCAUUAUUAUAAUCAGGAGUGCAGCCAAAAUGAAUACAUGCCACAUCAAUUAUAGCUUAACUAUUGGGAUCUUUAGCAUUAUUUUCAUAGGGGUAAGGCUCCUAAUAUCCUCUUAUUACGUAUAUUUUUCUCUAUAUUCUGUGAAAUUUAACAUAUGCUGCAAAAUAAUAAUUUCUAAAUUUAGCCUAAAGUACUACAAAAUCCAGGGUCCACCCCUGGAUAUAUAUUUCUUGCAGAUGAUAGACAUAUGUUUUAAUUUAGCAAAUUUAAAACAUAUUUACUCACAAGGAUGUAGGAGACAGUUGAAAAUAUGAGGAUUCUGAGAGGACGGAUGGCAUAACACGAAAUCCAGGCGGCAACAACCGCAAGAGUUGCUAAUAUUCCAUCCUGAAUACUCGUAAAUAUUGCAGCUUUCAGAAGUGUGAAUAGUUCUGAAUAUUCGGAGUCGGAGAAGUAAGUUAUCAAGACGCCCACUACAGCCAAGUCUACCAGUUUGCGGCUUAUCAACAAACCUGGACUCAAAAUAUAAUCAUUAGAAGAAAUGUUCGUGCUCACUGAAAAAAGCUUACACAUGAAAACUACAAGAACAACAUAAAAACUGUUGCCAUGUUUUUAUUAUUUAGCCCAACUUAGUCUAAGAUAUUAAGUACACCCUCUUAACUAAAUAAAUACAUUUUUAAAAGAUAUGAUUUCCUAAGGCGCCUCAAGCAAAAUUACCUGACAUAAAUGCAGCAGCCUUACAAAAACAGACGUAAUAUCGUACCCAAGUUAUGAACCUCUUUUUAAGCUUCAACAACUGAGAAAAUGGAAACAUUGUAGUUUCUGAAACUGCUUCUUUUAUCUGCAAAUACUUCUACUUGUGAGCUGUGAAUCCCGAGACGAUGAAGAUUUUGUAAUUAUACCAAAGUCUUCGCUAGUCUUCUAAAAAGUUAGUUUAUUCAAAUUAAAAAAUAAUAAGUCGCACUUCAAGACCAGCUAUUGGUCACAUAAGUCAAAAUAAUGACUUACUGUACAGCUCAAUAAUUUUAGGUGGUAUGAAACACGUUUGAUGAGACGGUCAUAAUUACACUGUACCAUGAAUGAUCCUUAUUGAGUAUAUAACCCCUUUCUUUUUUCAAACAAGAUUUACGCUUUAAUUUUGGGAGGUUUGCUAAGUUCUUUCUUUUUGUAAUGGUUAAGGAGACUGACAAUUUUCUAUUGAAGUUAUUUAUACAUGUAUUUCACUUUUAGAUAAAUAAUGUUGUACAAACUAAUGUGAUAAUUUUUUAGAAAAAAGUAUAUGUAUAUCCUUAAGAUUUUAAAAAAUGGUCAUAUACACUCUGAGUUUUCAAUAAGGGACACCAAAAUACUUUUUUACUAUAGUAUCCUUAAUAGAUAGUAACAAAAAAUAUUGACUAAAUAUUUUAAUAAAUAUAAAUAAAAUUUAAAUAGUUUAAUUUGUCUAGUAGACUAAUAACAUUAGAAUGUUUCUUAAUAUAUAAAAUAAUUUUUAAAAUAUAAAUUAUUAUAUUUAUUUUAUUAAUAUAUUUUUACUUAUUAUAAAAAUUUUAAAUAAAUAUUUAGGUUAGAUUUUAAAUUUAAUAAAAUACAUGUCAUGUACUAAUAAUAUUAAAAUUAUUUUAUAUAAUAUUAAAAAUAAUUUAAAUUUUUAAAAUUUUAUUUAAUAUUAUGUUUCAAUUUAUUUUGAAAUUUAAUUUAUUUUGAAAUUUAGUUUAAUAUAAUUUAAUGUUGUAAAGUAUUAAAAUAUUUUAAAAAUAUUGAAAUUAUUUUAAAAUGUAUAUAUUGUUACAUUUAUUUUAAUAUUAUACUUCUAUUUAUUAUAAAAUAUUAAAAAUAACAUUUUAGUCAAAAGGGAGUUUUGGUGUCUCUUACUGAAAAAAUGGAAUGUACAUAACCAUUUUUUUGAAUUUUCAAGGGUGUACAAGUCAUUUUUCCUACUUUUUUUAUAAUCAGUUGAAUUAAAAAAAGUCAUGUGGCCACAUAUAUUAUUUCUUAUUUAUAUUUUCAAUCAGCAAAUCAUAAUGUGUCAUAUCUGUUUGUAUACGCAUUUAUGAACAUAAAAAAGUAAGGUUAGGCACUAGUCGGGUUGGAAAUCAACCCAUCCAACCCAUGUAUAGUGCUAAUUGGGUGAGUUGGACUUAUCUCGAGACCCAUUUUCUGUCUUUGAAAUAUCAAUAAGAAAUUAAAAUAAUUAAAAAAUAAUUUAAUAAAAACAACUAAAAAUAGAAUACAAAAUUACAAAUAAUAACUAUCCCUCAAACUUCAUUGUUAAUAAAAAAAUUAUUUGUAUAGGAUACUAAUCACACCAUAAAAAGUAAUAGGGUGAAUUCAAGAGUUGGGUUUGAAAAUUUUCAACACCUAGGAAAUAUAGUGCAUUUUCUCCACCCCUAAGAAAUUAGGGGUUGGCUUUCUACUUGAUUUUAAGUAGAGAAAAUGAUCAAAACUACCUUAUUGUUUGUUAAAAUUAUAGGUUGAAUUUAAGAGUUGGGUUUGAAAGAUGCAAUGUGUUCAUAUAUAUGGAAUGUGCUUUCUUUAUAGUGAUUUAUGGGAUGUGCUUUCUUUAUAGUGAUUUAUGGAAUGUGCUUUCUUUAGCACUUAGCCGAAAGAUUCAAAUUUCCAUUAAUAAGACGGUUAAUGAUGAUUUCAAAGAGCCAAAAAGAUUUCAAGAAAAUACAUGUUUUCAACUUUGUGUACAAAUUAAUUACGUCUGUAUUUGGAUGGUUAAUGUAAACUAGUCAGAUAAUUAACCACGCAUUAAUUAAUCAAAUUUUUAUUAUUUAAUAUCUUUGCAUCGGAUGAUCAUUGAUCAAUUAACAAUAUAUUUUCCUUUUGUGCAUGUAUCCACAUUGGACGUCAAUAUAGUAAUUUGUUAUGAAAAAAAAAUCAAUCAAAAUUAUUUUUAAUAUUUUUAAUAUUUUUAAUUUUCUAUCUAACUUAGUGCUUGUUUAGUAUAAAAUAUCUAACGCCCAGCAGUAGGAUAACUCCAACAAUUCCCCUCACACAUCGGACCUUGGGUCAGAAGAUAGACACUCGUUCUCUUUAUUAGAUUGUUGGGUUGAGAUUGUUGAUGAAUGUGGACUCUGAUACUAGUGUUAGGUAGUCUUAAACUUCUCUCAACCCCAAAAGUUAGUUUCAGGGGUGAGAUUUUCCUGACAUUUAUAAAAUCACCAAUAGUCCUUUUCACAAUCCAUGUGGGACAACUUCGAUAGUUUGAUUGUAUUUUGAGUAUAACUUUUGAAGAUUAAAUAAAUUAUUUUGCUUCUAUUAGUAAAACCUUAAAAAUUAGAUUUUUGAGAGUGAUGGUCAUAGUACUUAAAGAAUAAAUUGUGUAGAAUAACGUUUUAUAUAUUAAAUGAUCUUAUUCCAUUCUUUUUAUUUUUUAACCUAACAAAAACCUAGUCCCUUCCCCACCCAUUUGAGUAAGUUGCGAAUCUCAGAUCCCUUGCUUUCAACCAGAUGAUACCCAUAAAUUAGAUCAAAUCCUUUUCAUAAUAUCACUUGCCGCAAUAGUAAAAUUAAACAAAGCAAAAGUACUCUUUUUAACACCAAUACAAAAACAAAACAAGCAUAAAGCAAGACACAAAAUAUUAAAAUAAAAAUCAUAAUAUUGCAUAUCUCCACAUGCCACCAACAUUUUCCAUCAACUGUUUGAAAGAGAUCCUCCAUCUCAUCCUGCUUUGGAAGCCAUUCUAAGGAGACUUGCUUGAAAUUUUUAAACCACUCGUGUGUAAGCUAGGGAAUUUUUAAGAUUCAAAUAGCUUCACUCCCUCUAUGGCUCCAUUUUGUAUAACUUUUUAAAUAGAGUUGAUUUAAAUAGGCAUUCAAUUAGUAGAGUUUUUACAAAUAGAUCUUUUACCCAAAAAAAAAAAUUGUUUAGUUCAUUAGUUGUCCAAAGAGAUUUUAUUAAAAAUUAAAAAUUUAUUUUAAUGUACAAAUUUUCUAAGUUAUGUUGUGAAAUGGAUACGAAUAAAAUAAGAAUAUAAAAUAAAUAACGGGCAUAUUAGAUAAUUUAAUAAUUUAAAAAAGUUUUCUAAUCUCUACUCUAAAAAAUUCAAAAUUCGAGUUUUUACUAAUAGAGUCAAAAUAAUUUAUUUAAUCCCAAAAACUAAAUUCAAAAUAAAACCAAAGAACAACCAAAAUUUUGAAAGAAUUUUUAAAAUUAAAUAAAUAUAUAUGACCAUUAAAUAAGCUAAUACUAAACAAGCACUAUACCUUUGAAGGACUUGCAACCCAUCCAAACGCUAGGUCCACUAAGCCAAUAUUGUUCUUGUCCAGUGCUAAAAAAGCAUUUUUCCAAACAGCUCCACCCUGCCCCAAUAUAUAUAAAUAAUAUGGAUAAGAUUCUCUCUUUCUUUCUUUUUUUUUUCCCCCUCUCAUAUUCUUCAACAAUGUUGAAUUAACAAGUGAUCCUAUUUUUAAUUUAAAAAAGGAGUCAUGUUUUUAUUAAUUUUCAAAUUACAUCUAUGUUUUGAUUAAUUAAAAAGGCCAGCUAAUGAGAUCAUUAAUUUGGUCAACUACUCAGAUAACCGUGCAUCAAUUAUACAAUAGGCAUUUCUUUCCCAAAUUAAUAUAUUUGCGUCAUGCAUGACGAUCAUGGAUCACUUGUAUUAGAGAGCUUAGGUGCCCAGCGAGUAAGUUGCAAGCUGCUAUCUUUGGCCAUACCUUUGAAGCACAAAUACUUCUUUUUAUUCUUGUUUGAUAGUACGGUUAAAAUCAAGGCAUCAAUCAGGAAGGUGCGCAGCAAGUCAGGUUGCCCAGCCGCUGUCUUUGACUGUACCUUUGAAGCACAAGUACUUCUUUUCAUUCUUGUUUGAUAGCACGGUUAAAAUCAAGGCAUCAAUCAGGUGGGUGCCCAGCAAGUUAGGUUGCCGAGCUGCUGUCUUUGACUAUACUAAUGGUUGUCGAAGCCAACAAAAAUAAAUACUUACCCUAAAUAAAUUGUGUAUAGUGAUUGAGCAGGGUCGUGUCCACAGAAAUCGGUAAUUAUUUAAAUCCUUUUAAAAUGUAAAACGUAAAAUGGGGGAAUUGUUGACAAUAAUAGAAAUCAAAUUAAAAUAACAAAAAUGUAAAUUAAAGUUGUAAUUCAAAUUGGAGAAAGCUCUGGUUGAAGGAAUUAACCCAGCUUGAUUCGACUACUGAUCAUUGAUUCAUAUAUAAAUUAUUAUUACUUAUGAAGAGACCGGUUAUAGCUACUGAGACCCUCUAAUAGCUAAUCUCUCCUUAACUAGUCGAUAACCAAGGUAGGACCGUUGGUUAUUUCCCUAAUCAAUAGACAACCCUAGAUAAGAUCAUAGGAUUUAAUCAAUUGACAGCCUGAAAAACUAGAGAGACCCAAAUCCUAAUCAACAAACACAUACGAUGACUCAUUUAAAUUAGAUUGUUUAUUCUCACAACACAACUCUCUGCUAUGUUAUUUGUCACAAACAUUAAAAUCUUCAUACGAUGAAUCCUUUAAUUAACAAUAGAUUAAGUUGAUAAUUAAAUAGUGGCCAAUUAUCUAAUUAACAAACAUAAUCAUGAUAAUAAUUCAGAGAAUAAACAAAUACCCAGAAAGUAAUAAAACAAUUAAAGCAUAAGAAAGAUCUCACAGUAGUGAUGAAUCAAAGCUUCAUUAACCUUCAACCAGAAAAAUAGAUUUAGUUCUUCAUAGAGAGAAGAGAAAAAUUUAGAUCUAGGGUUUCUUUCUCUUCUCCAAUUCUCCCUUUUUUCACAAUAAAUUCCUCCCUUAAAUACUCUCUCUCUCUUCUCCUCUAGAGUUGUUUUUUUAAAAUAAAAUACUAAUAUCUGAAACAUUAAAUUCGUAAUUACAAAAAUACAAAACACGUUAAACUAAAAACUGCAGGUCCGUAGUUGACAGCACGCGCCCACGUCUUAUCAACAAAGUUCUUCUGACGCUCAUAAUUUCUCCAAGAAAACAAUCAUCCUUAAAUAUCAUCUUGUAGCUUAAUUUUAUGAUCAAUCAAUAGAAUUGCACCUACGAAAGUAAAACACAAGUUAAUCACUAUUAUUAAGUGCAAAACAUUGAUAUUAAGGGAAGUAAACAAUGCAAAAUUAGUGCAUAAAUUGCACUCUAACAUAUACCUUUGAAACGCAAAUACUUCUUUUCAUUUUUGUUUGAUAGCAUGGUUAAAAUCAACCAUCAAUCAUGUACUUAUUGUGAAUCGUUGAAGUAGAUCUACAAUGCAUAAUAAGUAAUAUUUAUUUAAAAAUUGAAGCUACUAGAUAAUUUCGAUAUAAAUUAAGUUCAACUUUUACUUCAUCAAGGUGAAACAUCAUAAAGCUUGUAAAUCUAACACAUGAACGUAAAAGCUUAAAAAAAAAUUUGAAGUUGCUUGAUAACAUAGAAAUACAAGCAAAAAGAGAUGCUAAAGAAUACAUCCCAGAUUUUUCAUUGGGUGGGAUUAUUGAUCAUGCUAGCAUAAUGAUGAGGGCUGCCUGGAUAUCCAGUAUUUUAAUAAUAUGGUUAAGGUUUUUGAGCUUAAGCUUUGGUGGUGUUUUUAGGAGCAGCUUUCAUUAUGGGCUUCUUUUAUGAAGUCUAAGUAUUGUACAACUGCACAUUCGAGUAUGAUUUAGUUUUAAUAUCCUACCUACCCUCUUUGGAGGCACCUAUGCUUGAUUCAAUAUGUUGCUGAGCUUCAUGUGUGUUGGUUGUUUGGCCGAGGGUUGUUUUUGGUAUGGUUGUUAGCUGGGUUCUUGUCCUUUGGCCUUUUAUAAUCAUGUGGUGGCUUUUAUGGUGCCAAUUUCUUUUUAUUAGCAACAUACAGUAUGAGAUAGGGGUAAGCUUCAGGAUGUCCUGCCUUUUUUAAUUGUUGUGCAUAUUCUUUUGAUUCCUAUCUCUAGUGGGGAACCAUAUGUGAUUUUGUGGGACCUUUCUCGUGAUGGUAGUUUUUGUUUGAGGAUUUGCUUCAGAUAUUGUGCAUUGGAUAAGGCCGAUUUUUGUUAUUUGGCAGCGACAUAUCUCUUCAUGGAUAUCCUUUUUUCUCUAGAGGUUGUGACACAAAUUCUUGACCACAGAUGAUGCCUCGUGUUCAGGGGAUUUCUGCGUAGUUUCUUAGUAUCUUUGUGGUCAGGCUUCUGAGACUUCUAGGUAUUUAUUUCUUGAUUGCCCUCGAGUUAGGCCGGUUUGGGUCCAUUUUCUACUUACUCUUGGUUUGCGCUAUGUUGCUUUUCUGUUCCACCGUACUUUAUUUCUUAAUUGGUAGUGAGAUGCCCUUUCUUGGAGCCAUAUUCGAGUUCUUCUUCCUUGUUUUAUUUUAUGGCAUGUUUAGAAGGCCUGUCAUGCAUUGAAGUUUGACUCAAUGGCUUUUUUUGUUGAUGACAUUAUUUAUUGGACGGUGUUGGAUCUUAGGCUUGAUGGUUUUGCCUUUGGUCUUAAACCAUUCCAAUUGUGAGGCGUUUUAGGUUCUCGGUUUGCAAAGUGCUUGAGAGUUGUUGUUUCAUCUAGGAGGCCGAUUCUUUUAGUUUCUUGGCUGUGGCCACCACCUGGGGCGGUGCAGUUGACUAUUGAUGGUUGCUUUAGGGGUAAUCCUAGGAUGGCUGCUUCAGAUAGUAUUUUACGUGAUCAUCGGGAUGUGGCUUUAGCUGCUUUUGGUUCCUUCCUUGGGCGCUAACGGAUCCUUCAUGAAGAAUUCAUGGUUGUUUUUUUAGGGGUUAUAGUUGGCUGCUCAGCUCCAUUAUUCUGUGCUUGAGGUAGAGUCAGACGCAGCCAUGGCGGCUUCUUGGAUUUUUUUCUAAGGCCUUGUUCAUUCGGACUAUACCUAUUCUUUGCGUCGGGUGUGUAGUUUGACAUUUUCUUCUACUUUGGUAAGUCAUGUGCUUUGAAAGGCUACUUCUACUGUUGAUUUCUUUGGCUUGCACUCUUCACAGUCAUCGGUGUUUCUUGGGUUCUCAUGAUAUCUCUGCUAGCUUAGCUAAUAAUCUCCAUUUGGAUGUGUGUAAUUUCUCAUCUCAAGCAAUACGAUUACUUAUUUUUGUCUUCCAUUUUUUAUCUUGUAUUUUUCUCUUUCCAUUCUUAUGUUCUUGCAAUUGCAAUUUUGAUUUAUAUUCACCUCCUUAUGUAUUUGAUUCAUUCUAUAAUUUAUAUGAAAGAUAGGGGUCCCACCUUUUUUUGUAGUUAAAAAAAAAAAUCAGGAAUCAAACCUAGGUCAUCAAGGUGAAACAUCAAACAGGUUGUAAAUUUAACAUAUGAACUUAAAAGCUUAACAAAACAUUUGAAGUUGCUUGACAACAUAGAAAUACAAGCAAAAAGAGAUGCUAAACAACACAAAAUUUUGAUUGGGUGUGAGUAUUGUUCGUGCUAGCAUAAUAAUGAGGUGCCUGAGAAUACCUAAGACUUUCUUGAUAAAUAAUAUAAUCUAAAAGGUUAGGAAUCACAAAUGAUUGUCCAGGUAUGAACAAACCUGGCUCAAAAUGUGAAAUGUAUUAAGAUUUUCAAACAUUUAAAUUAAUAGUUAAUAAUUUCGGACAAAGGACACUUGGAGACCCUAAACUUCAUUGAUUCUAUGUUAUGGCUCAUUGUCUCUCUCAACAAUUUAAUUUCUAGAUUAUUUGGCUCCUAUCUAUUAAAAGACAACACCGUUACUAAAAUUAUAGAUUAUAACAGUUAAACCUAAACUUAAGCCGUUUAGCAAUUUACAAAAGAAAAAAAUAUAACAAAAGCCAAUUGUUGGAGUAGCAACGUGCCAACGAGAAAACCUCAAGCCAUGUAAUAUCCUGUAUCAACUAAAAAAGAACAAACCACCACCCUCUAGGUCGUCGCUGCACUAACGCUGGGCCCGAUUUGAAUACUUAGAAGUUGUAACAUUAAUUAGGGAUUGAGGGUAAAAUUUUGGACUUUGAUUUAAUAAAAUUGAUUUAUAUGAGUCCCAAUAGAAAUAUGAUUAUAAAUAUAUCAAUGCAAUUAUAAUAUGUUUAAAAGAAAAAAAUUAUUUUCACACAACAUAAAACUCAACCCUUGGACGUGGGAUGUGUCUAAAAAAUAAUAGGGUGGAAAUAUUACCACCCUCAAAUUAGAUAUAUAAAUGUUUAAUGUUUUACUCUUAUAAUUUUGUAUUUAUUUUUUUUAAUAUUGGUAAGAGAAAGAUAGAAAUUAAUAUAUAGACAAAUCGAGUCCCUUAUUUUAUUAUUCAUAUCCAUAAAAAGUAACCACUAUGCUAGUCCCCCCGAACUUAGCAUAAGACGGUAAUUUAAAAAAAGAAAAAAAAAGAAUGUUUUUAAACACCAAAACAAAAGCAAAACAAACACAAAGCGAGACAUACAAACAAAUUUUAUGCUACUGCAUUCAAGCAGAAGCCAUCAACUGUUCACGACGAAGUUUGAGAGCAACCAAUAGUUCAUCCUGAUUAGGAAGAUUUUCUUCAAUCACAGGGAUUUGCUUGAAAUUUUCAAUCCAGGCAUGCAAGUGAGGGAAUUUGUGUGAUUCAAAUAGUUUAACUCCCACUACAUCUUCAAUGACUUGCAACCAAUAAACAAUUGGACCAAAUGCUAGGUCCACUAAGCCAAUAUUGUCUCCAUUGAAAAAUUUCUUAUCUCCCAAGCCAUGCUCUUCAACGGUUUGUAGCAUUUCCAAGGCUUCCUUCAUUGUGUUUUGUAGUUCUUGUCCAGUGCUACGAAACAUUUUCCAAAUAGCAACACCCUGCCACAAAUAUUUUACAUCAGAUUAUAUCACCGACAUGAUUAAUUAAUAAUAUGUACAUAAAAGCUAAAAAUCGUUAGGCAAUAUGUACACGCGUCACAAUAUCCUUUAAUUAGAGGUUUAUAUAAUAAGUUAACUAAGAGAGUUCAACCACUGAGUUGUAAAAUCUGUCAUUAGUAAAUUCACUUUUUCCCAACGCUUCAAAAGUCAUAAAAAUUCCCCGUGAAGUUAAAAACGGUUGUGUUAACUUUAACAGUGAAGACACCAGAAAUUGAAAGUUUAGAGAACUUUUUACAAAUAAAUAUGAAAAAGACCCCUGGGUGGCUGGGCUCGACUGGCUAUGAAUUCACUUCCGCCAUCACCCGAGUUCGAGUAUAUAUGGAGAGUAAGAGUUAGUGUUUGGUGGGUGGAUUUCAUUAUCCUCGUCACCUUAUCUAGAUCUUAAAAUAAAUAAACAAAUAAACAAAUUUGAAAAGAAUGAACUUAAUCAUAAACGUGUUUGCCAGAGUUGUGAGCGAACCUUGUCUUCAGCGAAUUUGAUCCAGAAUCGAGCAUGAGCCCUAUCAUAAGGAUUAUUUGGCAUCAAGGAGGGAUUGUGCGGCCAUGUCUCUUCGAUGUAUUCGAGAAUAACCAUGGACUCACAAACUGGUUUUCCGCCAUGGACGAGCACUGGGAUCUUCUUGUGAACUGGAUUAUACUUCAAAAGCAAUGCACUUUUGUUUGAGAGAUCUUCGGAAACAAAUUCAUAUGGCACGCCUUUCAAUUUCAGAGCCCAAAUCACCCUGUAAACAAAUGGACUCGGCAGUGCCCCGUGAAGCUUCACUUCAGCCAUGAUAAUUCUUAGAUUGAAUUUGAAUAUCAGGUUUUUUGGUCGAUCUUGAGUGUAGCUGAUAACUCAUUACACAUGUUUCUGAAUUUAUAGUGAUUUAUGGUAUGCACUUUCUUGAGCAGAAAGCUUCAAUUUUCCAUUAAUAAAACGAUUAAUGAUGAAUUCAAAGAACUAGUGCGAUGACUUUAAUUAAAUUUUUUUUUACGUUGUGUGCAACCGCAAUUUGAGGUUAAUUUAAAGGAUAUUAUUUUCUCCUGAUCAAAACUUUUAUAUAAAAAAAUAUAAUUAUGUAAUUGGUAAUUAUUAAGUAAAAAUAAAUUUUGACCGUAAAUAAAUAAAAGUUCAUACAUGUUAUAAAGAGAUUUUAAAACUCAAAUAAGUGGACACAAUUCCUAAUUUAAAGCGCUAGCCAAUGAGAUCAAUAAUUUGGUCAACCAGUCAGAGAUAACCAUACAAUAAUUAAUUUUGCCAUUUGUUUUACAUUUAAGACCUUUGCGUCAUGCAUGAUGAUCAAUUGAUCAUGGAUCAAUUAGUCAACGAGACAUUUGCCUUUUGUGCAUGUAUCCACAUUGGACGCAAAUAUAAUUUAUUAUAAAAAAUUGGACUAAAUUAUUUUUUAAUAUAUAUUUUUAAAAUAAUACACCUGAUCAUAGAGGAGAUAUUAUUUAGUUUGUGAAUCUUAUAACAGGACCCAUGAUUUUUUUUUUAAAAUCUUAUGGGUCCCCUAUUAUUUAAUUUGUGGAAUUGACGGAGGUAACUUACAGUUUCAUUUUUGUAAUUUACAGCUUUCAAUAAAUUCAGAUAAUAUUAGGUGGUAGAAGUCGGCCAGGCUGGAGGAGUAGAUCUAUAAAAUUUGCUAGCACUUUGCACUAUCUGGUAGGUGCCCAAAAAUACAUGUAUAUCAUCCAUUUUUUGUUGGGAUUUUAUGCUCUUUUAAAGCAUAUUAAUUUAUUUUCUGAUUAAUAAAAUAUUUGAGACAUUUUCAAUUGCAUAAAUAUAUAUUGAAUAAGGUCCAUUUAAUCAUAUUAUAUGUAUUUAUGUGAUCAUCAUAUGGAUUCACAGAAGACAUAAAUACAAGCUAUCUUAUGAUUAAAUAAAUUUAGUUCGCAGUUGAUAAAUAGAGUUGGGCGCUCUAUUUAUUUUUAGACUGUAGUAAAUUCAUUAAAUGAUUUAUCUUAAUCAUAUAUGAAUUUACUGAUGUAGGUUGACUACAUUGAGAUGGAUCACAUAUGAGAUUUAAUUAACCUUGAAAGGACUGUCAGACUUAUUAAAUCUCAUAGGCAUUCUUUUUAUUAUAAUCUUAAUCUUGAGUUGGUUAUGAUUUCAUGAUUGUAAUUGUUAUUCCAUUUGAGUUACCAAUGGGCACGACACACACUUGUGGUCAAGAUUACCGGGUAUCUUGGUGGGAGCAAUUAUGAGUAUUGGAGUUAUAGAUUAACAAUAUAAAAUUUGUACAACACAUCUCUUGAUGGGUUUUCGGCACUUGAUCAUAGAAUUCUCUGGCCAGAGUGUAUCAAUAUAUUUAGUAUGUUGAAAAUGAUCAUUAGAGAAAAUCAAUAAGUAUCAAGGAAUAAGAUGUAAUUAAAUCGUUUGGACAGUUGAGAUAUCAAUUUAAUUAAUGAUGUGGUACAAAUGAUUGUGCAGUAAGGAAAUUAAUGAGGCUUGGGAUGAAUUAUUAUUUGAGUAUACAAUUAUGGAGGUCAUUUCCAAUCUUUUAGUGGAGUAGAUUUGGAAUUAAAUAAUUGAGCUAGUUUAAUUACAGGCCUAAUUAUUGUAGCCACUAUUGUAUGUUCCCAAAUAAUCCCCAGGUUAGCUCAUUUAAUUGACUGUGCCGCUACUGGAUUAAUAAGUAAGAUAACUAGUUAUUUGGGUUAAAAGUCUAAAUAUAUUAUUUAGUGGGAAGCUCCAUAUAAUAUGUUUGUGUGUAAGGGGCUUUAUGUUAUUUUACAAGGUGGGCCCCUAUAACACAAGAACAAGUAACGUUGUCUUUGUUUUUUUAUUUUUUUAAUUUAAAUCAAAUUUGAUUUAAUAAAUUUAAAAAUAGAAAAUAUAGAGCCUAGGGUUUCCACUAGAUAGAGAUAUAAAAAGGGCUUAUUUUCUCCCAAAAGAAUAGAGAGGCCACAUUAUACAAAUUAGAGAAAAAAAAAUUCUCUCUAAUUUUGAGAGAAAAAUUUUCUCCUGCUAGUUGCUUUUAGUGGUGAUAAAGGCGCCCACACCUCAAAUGCAGAUCAAACUUGAGUCAUAACCUGGAAGAUUAUUUGGUGGCGAUUCGUGCUCUAACAGGAGUGGUGGUGACGGAUCGUGAUCUAGGAGUCCAAAUCACUUCAGCGGAAAAAACAAAGAUUGUUCACCUUCUCAUAUUUUCAAGAUACGAUUUCUAAAUUAUGAAUUCUUAUAUAUUGUAUGAGAUCGAUCCUAAAAUUUUUUUUUUAUAAAAAAUUUAAAAAAAAUGAUUUUUCUCCAACACUUUUUAUUUAACGCUGGGUUUUUUUCAACCCAAAAUAAUUUCUCUUUGUACAUCCACUUUUUAAUAAAAACUUUUAUUGUCAAAAUAAUUUGUUAUUAAUUACUUCACUAAUCCUUCUUUUUUUUUUUGCCAAUUUCUCUUUCGCAUCUGAAAAAAUUUAAUUCACAUCAUGUGAUAGUAUGAUUGCAAAUAAAUUUGAAGUUAUCUCUCGCAAAUUGUUCAAAAAUACAUUGACCUAUCUUGUGUAUAGAACUAAAGAACAAUAGCAAACCACUAUCCUCUAGCCGAUCGCUGCUAUUAGGACGGAAAAUUCGUUGUAAAUAUGUAAAUUUGUCUAAACCCAUCUACAAAAAUAUGUCCACUGCGAAUAAUUUUGUAGGUUACGAAUAAGUUUGGUAUUUUAAAUUUAAGUUUGUUGCAAGUUACAGAUAUAUUUAGUAUUUUAAAUUUGGCGGAUGCCUACCGACUAUCAUUUUUUUUAAUUAUUUAUGUUUUUAAUUUAAUCACAAAGAUUGUCUUAAAAAAAAUUUAAUCAUAAAAAUAUAGUAGUUAAAGUUAUUACUCUAAUCUUCCAAAUUCCUAAACCUAACCUAGCUAACUCAUUACAAUUGCACACCCUACUCCUUCAAGUAUGUAUGUAUGUAAAUGUAUACACACGCGCACACACCAAAAAUAAACUUUUAAUAAGUAGAUUUAGUAUUUUUCAAGUUUAAUAUUAAUGAUAUUUUAAUUUAAUUUGAUUACUUUUGUUUGUUUCGCUUUAACGACUUGAACUCAGUGAUUGCUGGCUAAGAUUGAAUUUUUAUUUGUCUAAUUAAUGGUCAAUAGUUGUCCAAAAUAUAUUUGUUAAUAUUGUUGACAAUACUUAUAUAUUAACUAAAAGAUAGAACAAGGCAUUAAUCUUAGUAAUGAUUAUUUGCGUACAACAAAAAUAUUUUAUGUUAGAAUGAUAUAUUUUGUGUAUUUGUUUUAAUAUUGAAACUUUAAUUUCUCUUUUACAUUGAUAAAAUCUAAAAUUGAGUAAUUUAUGUAGAUUUUGUAGGCUGUUACUAUAAAGUUAUAUUUUGAAUUAUAUAAUUCAAAUUAUUAGAUAUUAUUUUUUUAAUAUUUGUAAUUUUAAAUAUAAAAAUUUAUAAAAAAAAAACCUACUGCAUGUUAUGGGUGAAUUUGGUAAUUAUUAAAAAUUAUAGCGAACGAACUAAGGCCACCGGUUACUGGCGAGUUUAAUAAUGACAAACCCAUAAUAAGCGAUACCCAUUACCAUCAGCAGCUUCUGUAACGCAGGGCCGAAGGCGGUCUUGAAUUGUUAGAAGUUGCAACAUUAAUUAGCAAAAUUUUCAGCGGCAUCCCUAAAGUUUAGCAUAGAAUUAGAUAGAUCCCCUUGUUUUCAAAAGAUUAGUCUCUGAUUCCAUGUUGUUUACUUAAUUUUUUUUUCCCUUUUCAAUUGGAUAUACAACUUCGUAAUGUUGCGCCUUGUAGAAUGUAUGCUUAAAAUGCGUUCUUCUUAUUUUUUAUAUACUGCUAAGAGAAGUUGAGUAUAGAAAUAUAUAAAAUGGAGUCUCAUUCAUUAAUUAUUUAUAUCCACUCAAUAGCACCUAACAUGCAGCUCACUUCAAUAUAAAAUUAAUUAAACAAAAUAGAAAGAAUAUUUUUAACGCUGGUACAAAAACUUAACAAGUGUAAAAGAAGACUCACUAACUUAUUUUAUGAUAUUACAUUCACGCAGGUACCACCAAUGUUUCCCGACCACGUUUGAGACCACCAACUCACGCCAAUUUAGAAGAUUUUCUUUAAGUAUAUAAGUUAAAGUUAUUACUCUAGUUUUCAAAAUACUUAAACCUAAUCUAACUAAUUACAGCUGCAUGCCUUGCUCCUUCUAGUAUAUGUAUAUAUUUUAAGAUGAAUACAAUAACUUUUUAAUAAGUAGAAUUUUGUACUUUUCAAGCUUAAUAUUAAUGAUAAUUUAUUUUAUUUUAAUUACUUCGAAUUCUUGAACAUAUUGAUUGUUUGCUAAACUUGAAUUUUUAUUUGUCUAAUUAAUUGGCGAUAGCAGUUGUAUAAAAUUUAUAAAGACAAAAUCUUAGUAGAUUACAAAAAGAUUUAGUAAUGACAAACCUGCAGCAGCCAAUACCCAUUACCAUCCCUAGCUACUAUAAUGCAGGGACACAGGCGGUCUUAAUUGUUAGAAGGUUCAAAAUUAAUUAGCAAAAUGUUCAGUGGUAUCCUUGAAUUUUAGCAUAGAAUUAGAUAUAUCUCCUAGUUUUCAAAAUUAGUUUUUGAUUCCCCCAUUGUUUAUAUAUAUAUUUCAAUUGGAUAUAUAACUUUGUAAUGUUGCGCCUUAUAAAAAUGUAUGCUUACAAUGCAUGCUUAUUACUUUUUAUAUGCUGUUAAGAGAAACUGAGAAUAAAAAUAUGUAAAAUGGAGUUUCAUUUAUUAAUUAUUUAUAUCCAUUAAAUAUCACCCAACGUGCAGUUCGUCUCAAUAGUAAAAUUAAUUAAACAAAGUAGAAAGAUUUGUUUUAGCAUUAGUACAAAAAUAAAACAAGUACUAAGCAAGAAUCACAAACUUAUUUUAUGAUAUUACAUUCACGCAGAUGUCAUCAACGUUUCCCGACGACGUUUGAAAGCGAUCACCAUCUCAUGUUGAUUUGGAAGAUUUUCUUCAAUUACAGGGACUUUCCUGAAAUUUUCAAACCAACCAUGCAAGCUUGGGAAUUUGUGAGAUUCAAAUAGCUUCACUCCCAUUACAUCUUCAAGGACCUGCAACCAAUAAGCAAUGGCUCCAAAUGCUAGGUCCGCUAAGCCAAUAUUGUCUCCAUUGAAAAACUUCUUCUCUCCUAGGCCAUGUUUUUCAACGGUUUGAAGCAUUUCCAAGGCUGCCUUCAUUGCAUUCUCCAGGUCUUGUCCAGUGCUGAAAAACAUUUUCCAAACAGCUACUCCCUGCCACAAUAUUUUAUAUCUAAUUCUUAUCACCACAUGAUUAAUAAUAUAUAUGAGGUGAAGAGAAAUUAGAUAAUACGUACACACGCGUCAAAGUAUCUUUCAAAGACUAGACGUUUCAAACUGUCAGAGUAUUUAGGAGAGUUUACCCACUAAUUUUUAGACUAGUUUAGUAUAACUUUUCAGAGCUUAUUUAAAUAGAAAUUUUAUUAGUAAAUUUUUAAUUUUUAUAAAAAAAUGUUAAUUAUUUAGCUGUUAACGAAAAUUUUCAUUAAAAUUUUCAAAUUACUUUAAUAGACAAAAUUUUAAUGUUAUGUUAUGAAAUAAAUAAAAUAAGAUUAUAAAAUAAAUGAUGAAUAUUUUAAACAAUUUAACUUUAAAAAAAAUCCUCAACCCUCUAUUUCCAAAAGUGUAAAUUUAAACUUUUACUAAUAUAGGCAAAAGAAUUUAUUUAAUCCCAAAAAGCUCUACUAAAAAUAAAACUAAACAAUAAUAAAAAUUUUGAAAAGAACUUUUUUUUUAUUAAAUAAACACGUAUGAGUAAUAAAUAAGCCAUAUCAAACAAAUACUAAUGAAAUAAAAGGAAAAAGAUAAAAAAAUCCUCUAAUUGUUUUAGUAAAUUAUAAUUUUAUUUUCAUGUUUCAAAAGUCCUUAAAAUUCUCCCUGUCGCUAAAACAAUUAUAUUUUAAUAUUUUACCCUUGAUUCAGUAAAAUCCACGGUUAAUUAAGAAAAUUUUCUAAAGAUAAAAAAUUUAAAGUAAUUAACCGAAUUUUUUUUAUAAUUUUCUCUAAUGUAAAAUAAAAGGUUCAUGGAGCUUAGUCGGCCGUGAAUGCAUUUGCACAUGCGAGGACAUUAGUUCGAGCAUUAAAAGAAGAUAAAAAUUAAUGUUUAGAGUCAUAUUUCUCAAAUACCAUGAAAAAUUAAAGUAUAUAAAGAAAUCCGACAAGAUUAUAAAAUUUAUAAACGUGUUGGCAAGAAAAGUUGUGAUGCGAACCUUGUCUUCGGCAAAUUUAAUCCAAAAACGAGCUUGAGCUCUAUCAUAAGAAUCACUUGGCAUCAAGGAGGGAUUGUGUGGCCACAUCUCUUCAAUGUAUUCGAGAAUAACCAUGGACUCGCAAACUGGUUUUUCGCCAUGAACGAGCACUGGUAUCAUCUUGUUAACUGGGUUAUACUUCAAAAGCGAAGCACUUUUGUUGUAGAGAUCUUCUUCAAUGUAUUCAUACGGGAUGCCUUUCAAUUUCAGAGCUCAUACCACCUUGUUGCUAAAUGGACUCGCCCAUCCCCCGUGGAGCUUCACUUCAGCCAUGUGUCUCAGAUCGAAUUUGAAUAUGUUUGCGGUUGUUUUGAUUAGCUGAUGAGUCAUUGCAUACGUACAUCUGAAUUUAUAAUGAUUAUUCAUUAAUAUUGGAAUAUGGAGUGCGCUUGCUUGAGCAGGGAGCUUCAUAUUUCCAACUUAUUUAAUAAAACGAUUAAAUUAAGUUGAAUUCAAUGAACUAAUGCUGCGACUUUUUAACAAUUCUGUUAUAUAUUCAACGAGAAGAGGUAUCGUAUUUGACGGAAAUCUCUUGAAACAGUGCUGAAUUAACAAGUAAUCUUAUUUAAUUUGGUCAACUGGUCAGAUUUGGAUUAAUUAUAUAUUUGGCGUUUGUUUUAGGUGCCCAGCUAGCCCUGCUGCUGUGCUUUUGACUUUACGAUGGGGUGGAGUCGUGGAGAUAUCAUCAUCCCAACUGAAGACAGAUUAUGAUAUUCUCCUGAAAACUUUGUGAGACUCAUUUACUCUACAAUUUUAGCAUUUUAGGCCCAAUAACUCCAUAUAAAUGACGUUUUGUCCCCCGGCUCCAUCUCUUCUAUAUAAAUCCGAACACCUGAAAAAUGACCAGACCGGAACAACUCUCCGUCUUAAGUCUAUGCAAAUUUUACACACAAGAGAAAGAGAGGGAGAGGGGCAGCCAUGAGAGACAACGAUACAGAAAAGAAUAUGGAAGAGAGUUUAUUAAUACCAAAAGAGAGUUUAUCAUCAACAUCCACAACAUGGGAUUUGUUGAGUGGAGAAGUGAAAAAGCAAGGUUACAUAGCAGCACCAAUGGUGGCAGUAACUUUAUCACAGUAUUUGCUUCAAGUUGUUUCCAUGAUGAUGGUUGGUCAUCUUGGUCAACUUGCUCUUUCUAGCACCGCCAUGGCCAUCUCUCUAGCUAGCGUCACCGGCUUCAGCGUCCGUGUGUCCUACAAUCCAUAUAUAGUUAUAUACACAAGAUUGUUUAUUCUUUCUUUUGAUAGGUACUUGCAUCAUUGCAUGUGGGAUUUAAACAAAUAGAUAUGCCAAAUUUCUGAUGUUAAAAAACAUGCAACUAACUAAUACCCUGUUUGUAAAAAUGCCAUUAAUUUUUAAAGGACUUGAUUUGCUCUUUUUUUUUAAAAAAAAAAAUGCUACAGCUAACUUGAAUUGUGUAAUAUUUUCUUUGAAACAGUUAGGAAUGGCAAGUGCUCUGGAAACAUUAUGUGGGCAAGCACAUGGAGCUCAGCAAUAUCAAAGAAUUGGAACUCAAAUUUACACUGCAAUAUUUUGUUUAUUCUUAGUAUGUUUUCCGCUUUCCUUUCUAGGGAUUUACAUGGGAAGGCUGCUAGUUUUGGUAGGCCAAGACCCCCAGAUUUCACACGAAGUAGGCAAGUUUAUAAUCUGGCUUCUUCCAGCUCUGUUUGCUUAUGCAGCAAUGCAGGCGCUUAUUCGAUAUUUUCAGUCUCAAAGUUUGAUCAUUCCCAUGUUCUUAAGCUCCUAUGCCUCUCUUUGUUUGCAUAUUCCCAUCUGUUGGGGUUUGGUAUUCAAGUCUGGACUGGGAAACCUUGGAGGAGCAUUGGCAAUUGGUAUAUCGUAUUGGUUGAAUGUAACUUUCUUGGCAAUUUACAUGAAGUUCUCCACUGCUUGUGCAGAAUCCAGGGCUCCAAUUUCAAUGGAGUUGUUCCGAGGAAUUGGAGAGUUCUUCCACUUUGCUAUCCCUUCUGCAGUAAUGGUUUGGUAUGUUAAUUAUCUUCUGGAGUUUCAUUUUCCCUUCUCAUAGAUAUCGUAGACACGUCAUAAAUUUUCAUGCAUCUUCUUUUGUUUAUAAUUUUGCAGCCUAGAAUGGUGGUCAUUUGAAUUGCUCAUUUUAAUGUCAGGGCUGUUGCCUAACCCACAGCUUGAAACUUCAGUCCUAUCUGUAUGGUAUGUUGACAUAGACUUUGUAUGUGAAAGUUCUAUACAGAGAAGCACCUACCAAAGGAAAUAGAUUUUUUUUCUUUUUUUCUUUUUUUUCCCGACCGCUCAUUAUUUGUCAACUUCUUUGGGCAGUCUCAGUACUAUUCAAACCCUCUCUGCAAUCCCUAUGGACUUGGUGCUGCAGUGAGGUUUGUUCAUAACAAUCAUUUAAAUAAUAAUUAUUUUAUAUCAACUAAUUAGCAGAUUAACCAUUAUUUCCUUCUAUAGUACUAGAGUUUCAAAUGAACUAGGAGCUGGGAAUGUGCAAAGAGCCCGUGUAGCUGUCUAUGCUGUGGUCUUUAUGGCAGUCAUGGAGACUAUCAUAGUAAGUGCAUCUCUCUUUGCCAGCCGGCGUGUUUUUGGUUAUGUUUUCAGCAAUGAGGGACAAGUUGUGGAUUAUGUCACAACCAUGGCUCCUCUGGUUUGUUUGUCUGUCAUCAUGGAUAGCUUACAAGGAGUCUUUUCAGGUUAAAUUAACUUCUUCAACUCUUUCAAUUGCUAAAUAGUUCUCUUUAAGUAGAAAUAAAAUUUUUCAGGUUUCUAAAUUCUUUUUAUUAUUUUUAAGGUGUUGCAAGAGGAUGUGGGUGGCAGAAUAUAGCUGCUUUUGUGAAUCUUGGGGCUUAUUAUUUGUGUGGAGUCCCAACUGCUGCCAUUUUGGGUUUCUGGUUAAAGUCUAGAGGAAGGGGCCUAUGGAUUGGGAUACAAGCCGGUGCUUUUACACAAACACUUCUGCUUGGCAUCAUAACAACAUUUACAGAUUGGGAAAAACAGUUCUGUUUCUCAACAUUUAAUCCCUUAAAAAAUAGAGAAGCUUAUUGGACUAGAUAUGUAAAUAUGUAGCAAUUUUUUUUCCCAACAAGUAUAUGAUACCUUCUGACUGAAAGUUCAAGAUUAAAAUCAUUCAGCUUGGUCUGAAAUGGUUAGUAUUAUCAUCUUAUGCAGAAAUGGUUUUGCUCAUUGAGAAAAUGAUAUUCAAUAACAGACCUGCAAACUCAUUUGAAAAUUUGCUUUUUUGGAAGAAUUAUAACCAUUUUCUAGUUUGUUAAUUGUUACAAGUUCUGUGUUUCUAAGGGGUUUCUCAUGUUGCAGGCAAGUAAAGCAAGGAAAAGAUUAUCAAAGGGAAGAUCUUUUGCAGAUAAUAGAGUAGUAUGUGAGUGACCAGAGUCAAUCAAUGAGCUGAUAUAUACAUUUUCCAGUUGAAAGAGAUAAUCAUUGCUUGAGAAAAUGAGCUGAUCAUAUGUCAAUUGAUGGCCAAGAAGGUCCCCCGAUCUGGUCUAUUGAGCAUGACAUUUCAUGAAACUCUGUUUCUAGAGAAAAAAAAAAAAUAACAGCUUCUUAGGAUUGCAGCAUCAGGUGACUUAGCAUUUCCAGUAUGAAUGAAUUAUAAGAUAGAUGAUGCUGCAAAAAUGAAUAGAGAUAAAAAUUAAGCAAGAGAAAAUGUUUGAAUAAAAUUAUUUAAACCUUUUCCAGUGAUUGUAGAGAUAAUUUCUUUGUAUUGAACACUUUCACCAUCUGAAAGAUAAGGAAAAUAUUAAAAGAAAAAAGAAAAUUCUUAAAUCUUUUCCAUGUCAUUCUAGCAAAGUUGAAUUGUGAUUCUUAACCCUACACCACAAUGUAAGGUGGCCUGUGGCCUGUGGGUAACACACAAUUUGACAACCCCAUAUAUUAAGUAAUCUAGAUGGAGGACAUUAUAUUUUUCAAUUUUUUAAUUUUUGUUCUUUUUUUUUUAAUUCAAACGACACCUCUUUCAUUGUGGCAUUGGAAUGUAUAGAGAUUUGCACACUGAUUUUGGACCAUACUUCACAAAUAAUGCGACGCACAUCUUUCUUUCAGUACUUCUUCAGGAGGAUAAGCUACAGACGUUGUUGUCCUUUUACCUGAAGCAAGUGCAUGUGCAUGAAUUGUUGUUGUCUGUUAAUCUGCUGCCACUUUGCUGCCAAAAAACUUGAAAAAUAAACCGGGAAAAUUUUCAAUAAGCAAAGUCAAACAACUAACCCCUGUUUAAGUUAUAUUCCUAAGAAAACUUUUAACACCAAAUAAAGCACACAGCUAAAGUAUUUCUAUCACAUUAGGUUUCGAGUGAGGUUUGAUUUACAUUUAUAUCAGAUAUACCAAGUGUUUUUUCUUCUUUUAAUUAAUGUAUAUUCCUAAGAAAACUUCUAAUUGAUUAUCCACAUAUAUAAACAAACCUAGCUCGCAAUGUGAAAUAUAUUAAAACAGCAACCAUAAGAUUUUCAAACAUUUAAAUUAACGGUGAUGAUAUUUCCAUCCCAUGAAUUUUAUAAACCCACCCAUUUUUAAAAAAAUUAUUAUAAUCAAUUCACAUUAUUUUUAAAAAAUUUAAAUUAAGAAGAAAUUAAAAAAUUGAUCAAUAAAUUCAUAUUCAUUUCUUUUUUAAACUGUGUUUCUUUAUUAUAUUUAAUCAAUAAGAUUGCUUUAACAUAAAUUAGUAUGACUAUUUUACCCUCAUAAGGUAAAAGUACCAAAAUAUCUAAAAAUUUACUUUAACUUUAAUAAAUUUUUAUGCAAUUUUUUUAUAUUUUAAUGAUGUAUUAGUAAUUGUUAGUACAAUUAUUAUUACUCCACUAAACUAACAAGAUAUAAUUAGGACAUGUGGUGAAUUGAAAAUAAUUAAAUUUUAUAUAAUACAUAUUGGAUUAUAAAAUAUAAAAAAAAAUGUCUAAGCAAUUAGUUACAAUAAUAUAUAUAUAUAUAUAUUUCUUAGAGUAAUUUGGUAAUUUUAUAUUACAAGGGAAAAAUAAUCAAAUUAAAUUUAUCUUGAAGUGCUUCAAAAGUUAAAGAUUGUUAAAAGACUAAGUCGGAAAAAAUAAAAAAAAAAUAUUAUAAAAUUAAUUUAAUUAAUUAAUUAUUUAAAAUUUUUAUUAAUUUAAAAUUUUAUAAAAUAAUAUGAACUUAUUGUAAUUAUUUUAUACAGGUGGACUGGGUUUAUAAAAAUAGCGGGGUGGAUAUACUUACACCCUUGAAUUAAUAGUUAGUAUAAAUUUUAGAUACCCCCCUAAAAUUUGACUUUGCUACACUUAGAGAGAAUGUAAACAUAUAUUGACAAUAUACCCCCUGGUCGUGUAUAAGGGUUAGGCACUGGUUAGGUAGUUGAGGGCAAUAACGUACAUGUUGCAUAUUUUUUUAUUUUUAAAUCUUACAAAAGCUGCUAUACCGUAACUAAUUAGACAAGAGCAGCGAAAAUGCAUACAGUGCUUUGAAGCUAGGGAAGCCCAAGGGGAUAGUAACCCAUUUUCAUUGUCAAUGCCUAGCUUCAUUUCUUCUUUUUUCUCAGCAUAACUUGAUGAGUGCUUAGCUUCAUUUCGAAGGUCGUGACACCAACUGAUUUUAGCAAAAGCAGAGAUACUUUGUGAUGCAGUAAGCUAACAAGUUUCUGAAAUCAGCUAUGUUUUGGACCAAAUUCCGGCGACGACCAGCAGCUGAAAAGCCGGUGAUUAAAGGGCAAUCUAGGUGAGUAAUUCUAUCAAAGCUUAAAAUUGAAGUUAGGUUUUAUUAUUUUCUUGCAUUUUGUUGAAAUUGCUGUUAGUUAGGUGCUUUAUUUUUAGCUCAAAUUAAUUGAGAAAAAUGUUUAGGGUUUAUAGAAAUUGAAGUAGUGACCGAAUAUAUCGGAAUUGAUUUUUGAGUUGAUAGUCACUCAACAUGUUGUGUAAACUAUGAAAAUGAUUUAUUUUUUGAUGAUUUUGGACUCUGGUUUUUGAAUGCCUACUGAAAUUUGCUUGAUCUGUUAUUAAAAUUGAGAAAAAUCCAAUCUUUCUCUAAGAAUGCAGAGGUGUUGCUGAGAAAACGCUUAUGGUGUUGUUUUGUUUCUUUCUUUAUUUUACAAGUGUGCAGUUCAUGUAAGAUUGAGACAGUUGCUCUUGUUGCUUUUUGAUGUUUGUGUGGACUAAUUCCAAUCACUGAUUUUUGUUGGAAAAUGGAUGCUAUUAUUUGUCCUUUUCUUUGUGUAAAAAUUUGUACUUUGUUCCCAACAUAAAAUUCAGAUGCUUGCCUAUUACUUUUUGAGGUUGUUAUUAAGGUGUAAGAGAUAUAUUAGUUAUAGAGCUUGUAGGCAGUUGGUUUAUUGAAGAACUAGUACAGUUGAGAAAGUGUCUUUUAGGUCAUCCAUUUUAAUACACAUAUUAACAGAUUUAAUUACAUAAACACAAGACUUCAUUUGUUUAUCAAAGUAGUACUUUCUGAUGCUUUCAUAUAAUGAAUGCCAAAGAGAUGACAUUUGCAAAAAGGCCAUUUGAAUGUACCAACUGCUAUCCUUGUAAACCUCUAUUGUGAUUCUGUUAUCAUUAUAUGUUGUUUAAUGAUCUGAUGAUUUCGAGAUAUCAAGAUGAGUUUAUUCAUACAAUAAAUGUUGUCAUUAGGUUCAUAAUUAUUGUAGUACAUGUUCAUUUAGCUACUUUAGGUACUGCUACAUGCAUUUAUUGUAUAAUGCCUACUUAGCAGCCAUAACUACACCCAUUGUUGAAGCCGCAGUAGCAAAAAUGAGAAAAAAAACAUGUUUAGGAACAACGUUGUCUUUAUAUCAUUUUAUUUUACUCCAUUUUGUUGUGCUUUUUGCAUCAGUGACUUCAAAUCCUUCCUAUCCUUUUGCAUACUCAUUAGCAGUUCAUAAUUUGCUUGACAUGUUCCUAAACCAUCAAAUAUAACACCUUGGUCGACAUCAUAGCCACAACCAUUUUUGCUAUUCAUACAGCAAUAAUAUAGCUUGUUUGGGUUGUCAUCUGAUUCCGCUACCUUCAUAGCAGCUAUUUUGUAGCAUUUACUGAUCUUGUUUGAAAAUCAAAUGAAUUUAAAAUAUUCUCAUUUAUUGUUUUUUUGUAGCGUUCACUAAUCUUCUGAUAUUCAAUAUUGUUUUUAUAUAAAUUAAUUUAAAAUAUUAUCAUUUAUUUGUCUUAUUAUAUGAUUUUACGCUAUCAAAUUAUUUGUUUUAACAGGCAUUUUGUUCUUUUCAACACUCAAUUGAGUUUUGUCUUAUUAUAAGAAUUUGUAAUGUCAACAACAAUUAUCAUAAGGGUAUAAUAGCCUUUCACCCCCCCAGGCGCAAAAAAAAAAAUUGCCCCAAAUAUAAAGAUCAUCUACAGUGUCAAUUAAUUAUGAAGGGCAUUAUUGCACAUUCACUCAACUACCUAACGGGUGCCUAACCUUCAUACAUGGCCGGGGGUAUGUUGUCAAUAUAUGGAUACAUUCUCUCUAAGUGUAGCAAAGCCAAACCUCAGGGUGGUUUCUAAAAGUUUUCCUAAAUAGUUAAUAAUUUUAUACAACAGAUUCUUGGAUACCCCUCAAGUUCACUUAUUCUACGUUAUGGCUGACUUUCAAGAAAUUAAAUUCUACAUUAUGACCCCUAGGGAAACAACGUAGCCAAUAAAAUUAUAAAAUAUAUGUGUGUAAUAGUUGUCAAACCUGAACCUAUGUCGUUUAGCAAUUUACAAAAUGAGAAAGACGACAAAAGCCAAGUGUUAGAGUGGCAGUGAGCCAACGAGACAAGCUCAAGUUCACUGUGUUUUUGUUGAACCUUCUGAAGACCCGAAACUCGAGGUUUGUUUUUCACGUUCCCUAAUCGUUUGACUACAUUUUAAUUCUGUGCUACGCUCGUUAAGAACUGUUCAGGCUUAUGAACUGUUCAGGCUAAGUGUUCGACGAAAUUCCUAAGUGAGUAUAUAUUCUGUUAUAGAAGGUUUUGCUUUGGGUGGUUAAAUAGAGGAGAUUAGACAUUGAACUUUAUGCACUUGUAUGUUUUCAAGUAAUUGUUUGCUGAGGCACAUGUACUUUGAAUGGCUUCAUUCAUCUACAGAGAUAUCAUAACAUUUUUGCUUAAUGUGAGUCUUAUUGUUGUUAAUUUGUCCAAAGUGAAGGCUUUUUUAACUUUUAUUUCUUUGAUUUAUUUAUUUAUUGGUGUGUCGAAGUUCUGUCUCAACUUUAUUUGAUAAGUUCUUUCAGACUACUAAUUAGAAGAAAAAAAUGCUAGAGAGUGAGUAUGAGAGGGAAUGAUGUUUGGGCAAGGGGUGAUUUGUUCACUUGGCUCAUGAAGGACCCCAACUAUAAUGACAUGUAUCAAUUUCGCAGCCUAAUUGGAAGGUAAGCUCAUUUCUUGAUUUCCUUCAAUUUUCACUUUCAUUUUACUGUUUUCAAGUAGUAGGUAACCUAAAUAAAAGUAAAAUCAGUAGUGAUUUGCUUCAAGUGCAUAUGGAUAGUAUAUCACAUGUGAGAAGAUUGUAUUUGUUAUAUGAAAAUCCUUAAUAACUGUAAUGAAAAAAUAUAUUCUCAAACCUGAUCGUGGAAUGUACUAUUUCUUAAUAUCUGAGUUUGGAUCCACACAUUUUUUGCCAUGCAAUUUGACAAGUUGUCAUGUCCUCAUAUUCUGCGCUAUCAUAAGUUUUGCCAAUCUGCAUAGGUGUUUAAUAGAUUGAGUUAAUCUAGUUUCGAGAGCAUGCCUUACUAAAGGGCAUCGAGUUUCUAAGUGAGGGCAAGCACAACUAUAAUUAUCUAUUUCAUAUCCUCCCUAUCAGCGGGGCAGGUCUGUUACCUCUAAAUUCUUUCAAUAACUUGGGGACGUUAAUCCUAUUAAUGACAGCCACAUAUUAUAAGUCAAGAAAACUGAUUUUUUGAUUAUUGAAAAAUCAAAUUUUUUAUAUUAUUCUAUUUAUGAUCUCAGUAACCUACAUGUUAGUGAAUUAUAAGAAUAUGGAGGCAAAGAACAAAGAAUAUUUCUUAGGAUUUGAGACGUGUUUGCACACUUUCCUUUAAGGUUUUAUUUGCCCUCUCCAAUCUUAGUUUGCUAUAGAGUAUUAAUGGCAAAUUACCCCCAAGAUAUAUCAAAUCCUGAAUACAAUCUCUAGCAAAUAAGAUUGUAUUUCCAGAACAUAUAUAAAACCUACAAAAUCUGAUUUUUAAUCUUAUUGUAUGUCUUUCUUUUUAUGAAUAAGAUGUUUAUUUGAAAGAAUACAUCCAUUAGAAAUGGUACUUCUUCGAAAAAACUCUUUUGGUUUGAAAAUGCAUCGAUUUACAAUUGAAAUCUUUUCAAUCUUGCUAACCGUUUUUCAAUUGACAACUUUCUGGAAAUAAACGGUUAGCCGUUUUCUCAAUAAACGGUGAGCCGUUUAUUCUAGGACAUAAAACAUGCUCUCUGGACUUAAACGGUAAGCCGUUUUCACCAUAAACGGUGAGCCGUUUAUUCCAGAACAAAAAACAUGCUCUCUGGACUUAAACGGUUAGCCAUUUUCUCAAUAAACGGCAAACCGUUUUCGUCCAGAAUAUCAAACCAAACAGACUUGAAAGAUGUUACAAUCUCUCUUACAAUCCCCACUAGAUUGUAAUAUUUUUCAGAUUUAUUAAUGAUAAACUUAUACAUACAAAAGGUAUCUUUCGAUUUUAACCUUUAAUUAGUGAGUGUAUUUCAAAGCAUUUACAAGACAAUAGUGUGCUAAGCAUUAAACUUUGUCUCUUAAGUAAAUACCGGAGAUACAUCACAUAUAAGCUAUCCCAGAUUUCAAAGUUGUGUUCCAAUAGUUAGCACUAUUCCGGCCUUGUGCUCUAUCUUGGAUUCAUGAACAUUUACAAGAUUAAACUAUGACCUUGUUAGAAACGGCACCAUUUCUUAUGUUCACUUAGGUGAAGUUUCAAAUCAUGUCUUUAGCUACUAAAAGACUUGAACUUCAUUAAGAGUAAAUACUCAACCUCAAUCUCGUAGCUAUUUGCACCGAAUAUCUCGAAUGAGAUUAUUUAUUACUCGGUGUCAAACCAGUCACAUAACAACAACUUGUUAUUACCCAUUUAACUAUGGAGUAGCGGUAUAACUACUACAUAGUUGGGUUACCGUCGUUGGUGACUUUAUUAUAUAAAGGUUUCAAUCCCAUUCCAUAAGAUGUAUCCUUAACUAAGUCUCUUGAAAGACCUUUUGUUAAAGGAUCUGCUAGGUUCUUAUUAGUCCUAACAUAAACAAUAUUAAUAACACCAUCUGCUAUUAAUUGUUUCACAUAUUCAUGUCUUAAGCUAAUAUGUCUAGACUUUCCAUUAUACACUUUAUUAUAAGCUCUAGACAAUGUAGCUUCACUGUUGCAGUACAAAGAAAUAGAUGGCAUCGGUUGUGGCCACAACAUUAUAUCAAACAACAAAUUUCUCAGCCAUUCUGCUUCUUUGCCUGCAGCUGCAAGUGCUAUAAACUCACUUUCCAUUAUUGAAUGAGUUAUGCACGUUUGUUUCUUUGAAGCCCAAGAAACCGCUCCUCCAGCAAUUGUAAAAAUCCAACCAGAAGUGGAUUUAUUGUCUCUUGUAUUGGUUACCCAAAUAGCAUCUGAAUAUCCUUCCAGUACUUCAGGAUAAUCAUUAUAAAACAAACCCAAAUUAACGGUCCUUUUAAGAUAACCAAGUAUCCUACCAAUUGCUUUCCAGUGUUCAACACUAGGGUUACUCGUGAAUCUUGACAUUUUGCAAACUGCAAAUGCUAUAUCAGGCCUCGUACAAUGCAUAGCAUACAUCAAGCUACCAAUUGCACUAGCAUAUUCUAGUUGAGCUACUAUUCGGCCUGAAUUCUCUAGUAAUUUAAUACUAGAAUCAUAUGGGGUAUUAGCUU
RNAcentral lists this long non-coding RNA (105176 nucleotides) under Citrus x clementina. RNAcentral describes it as "Citrus clementina (C. clementina) long non-coding RNA (CCLE_LNC000208)". Lineage: Eukaryota; Viridiplantae; Streptophyta; Magnoliopsida; Sapindales; Rutaceae. The record is from RNAcentral.